This 91635-nucleotide long non-coding RNA is filed under the name Citrus maxima (pomelo). Its description in RNAcentral is "long non-coding RNA (CMAX_LNC001192)". Lineage: Eukaryota; Viridiplantae; Streptophyta; Magnoliopsida; Sapindales; Rutaceae. The record is from RNAcentral.
AAUGGUAGUAAAUUGAUAAUUUCAUAUCUUGCAAGUAAAUAAAAGAUUGUCAUUUUAGUUGAGGUAAAUUAAAUUAUACCCAAAUACAAAUGUUCAUUAAAAUAAACGAGUGCCUAUAAUGUGAUCUGCAUUAGAUUUCUAAACUUAUUUGAAAAGCAAGCCAAAAUUGACCUUCUAAAGUAACUCUUGCUUGCUACAAAUCAAAUUAUUAGGAACUGGUGGAGAACUUAAUUCAUUAGAAAAACUUUUAAGAUUGUGAUUGAUUUGAACUUGAAGAUUUUUCACCUAUAAGUAUAUUUAUUUCUUUCGCAGCACAAACAAAUUAUGUACUUCACAAAUGUGAAUAAAACAAUACCUCAAUUUGUUUACCUGCAACUGCGAGCUGCAAGAUAGUCAUGCCAUAAUCAUCCUCAGGAUUCAAAACUUGAGGAUCAUCCAUAUAAUCGAACAAAAAUUUCAGUGCCUCCAGCUGAUCGUGUUUCACACACAGAUUUAAGAUGGUCUCACCCCAUCAUCGUGGCUGAAGCUGCAAGCGGUCAGGUUCUGAACAACUCUCCCAAGGGCCAAGGCAUCAAUCCGUCCUUUCAUGGCUGCCAAAUGAAGAGGAUUUCUUCCAUCCAGAUCACGAGCAAAACACAUGGCAGGAUUAACUUGUAAAACUGCUUUUACCAUGUCAACAUAACUCUUUUAUGAUGCUAUGUGAAGUGCUGAAGAGUGAUUUGGGUCCAACUCUCUAGCAAGCUCUGGCUUUUGGCAUAUAAUCUCCUUCACAAAAUCCACAUGUCCAAGCAAUGCUGCCACAUGCAAAGGAGACUCAAAGAGCCAAUUCAUCCUAAAUCUGUUUAUGAUUAAUAGAUCCCGUUAUUCUAACAAGGUAGGCACGCUCCCUUUUAAUGCCUGCUUCAUAAAGCAUACUUUUCAUUGUUUCCAUAUCCAGUGCUAUUGUAAUUGUUCUUUGAUGUGUGGAAAAUUCUGCUUGCAUAAAUUAAAAAGUAAAAACUUUAGAUGAAUUAAAGACCAGCAGUCAGAGAUUCAUGCGUACAGAGCCUUGAGUAGACUUUAGAUAAAGUAAAAAGUUGUGUCCAAUUUUUCAAAGCAUAAAAUCUAUUUCAUUCCUAAUUUCCAUCCUGUGGACCUGUACUCUUUGAUAUUUUGAUGUGUUCGAAAUGUUGCCUCUUGAAUUUUUUAUACAUGUAGGACCCUAAUGCAUGGGGUUAUGGUAAAAUGUGAAAGAGCUGAUCAAUUUUUUUUUUAAAUCAAAUUGUUUGUGGUGAUGUGCGAAUUUCUUUGAAAGAGUUUAGGAGAAUGACAACUUUUUUUAAUUCUCAGAAUUUACAGUCAUAAUAUUCAUCAUCUCAUUAACUGGUCUAACAAUUAUUGUUGUUAAAUGACAAUUAGUUGUGUGAAGUGCUUCAUUAUUCCGUUUUGUCUACUUAUCUUUGCCAUCAUCGUUGGCGCGGUGCUUUACCAGUUCCAGCAAACGUAGACAACCAAAACAGUGAAAAUGUUGAUAAUAAUAAAAACCUGAGUUAUCGUUGAGGUUUAGGUUGCUGUCAAGAAAUUAUGAUAGAAGGAAAAUUCUGGCAAUAAAGGCUGCUUGCUCCAGGCUGCUUGCUCCAAGCUGCAGCUAUCAAAUCCUCAAAAUUUCCAGCUGCAGCUAAAUGCAACUGCACAAAAUUAAACGAAAAAGAAGCUAACAUUGUUCAUCCAUUACCCUUGGCCAGACUUGAAUUGACAUAAGGACACUAGAAUUUCAUGCCUUUUAACAAUUUCAGUUCCAACCCGACAAUUAAUCAUCAAAAUUUAAACUGCAAAUCAGGUUAGAAAGAGAGAACAAUGAAGACUUGGUGAUUAAGCAAUUUUGACUUACCACCUUUGCUGAUCAUUAUCUACAGAAUAUAUCUAUGAAUUUGCUGCCAACUGAGUCCAGGAGCUGGUUUCAUAUUCUAAAUUAAUUUAGACUUGUGAAUCAGGUAAUGGUUCAAACAUGUCAAUAAUUUACUGCUUUUGACAGGUUGAGCCACCACUGCUUCAUUCAUUUAUUUACAGAUGUGUAAAAUAUUAGAAAAUAUUGCGUAUUCUUUAGAGACAAAUUGAUUCAAAAAAAUUAAUGCUUUUCAAGGGAGAGCAAUUUUCCAAAAAGAGGCAACUGCCCACAAUGUUUGCCAUAACUGUUUAGAUUGGUUAAUGAGAUCAUCCAGCUGGGGAAACAGCGUUGCCUCUGUAUGGCUCUAUUGCUAAUUCCUUUAAAUUGAGAGGUGUCUGCAAGGCUUCAAGAAGUUGUUGCUCGUCAUCCUUCUUCCUCCAUCUUCAUCUUCCUCUGUCGAAAUUAAGUCUCAAAUCAAUGAGGUUUUUCAUUUUGUCUAGCUCUAAUCUCUUAGCCUCGCCCACAUCUGACACGUUUCAGAAUCCUCUGCUCCGUCCUCUAAAUAUCUGCCGCAAUUUUCAAACGUAAAACAUAAAUCAAUAAUAGAUCUGCAAAAUAGCUUAAACCUUCAAAUUAAUUUCAGUUUUUUUAAUUCAUAUAUAUAUUUCACCUGUCUAUGCGCACCAAAAUAAUUUCUGGUGACAUAAUAACAACUGGUAUCUCUCUGCGAGUAGAUGAUUCCUGCUCAGGAUUAAAAAAGAAAAAAUUAAAAAAAGGAAAACAAAAACAGAUCGAGAAAUGAACAAAAAUUGAUUCUGUCAAUUAAGAAAAAUAAUUGUUGAAUAAAUAAAGUUAAACAGAGUUGUUGCCUCAAUUUUCUUAAAGUAGCUCGUAUCCGGUCAUUCAGGGCAUACAGUAAUCUCUGACUAUCAAAUCCAACUCUAAACCUGAAUCCAGUGCACAAUUGAUUAGAAAUCAGCUCGAAUUUUAUUUAAAAAAUACAGAAAAUUGAGCCUAAUGUUUGAACUCUUAAUCCAGUUCAAAAUUCACUCACAUCGAAGCCAUUAGCGCUCUGUUCCUCAUCUAAUCCAAGGAAUUGCAGAGCUCUCCUUCCGCUACAACUGCAGUAGCUGCAAAUGGAAAAUAAAAUCAGGAAAAAAAAUUUAAAGAAAUAAUUGAAGAAAGAUGGUAAGAAAAUACAGAUCUCUACAAGAAGAGAUAGUUAGCAACCUCUCAAUGACUUUUCUAUCAACAAAGCUAUCGUUCAACUGCCGGGACAUGAAGUUCUUCAGCGUCACACGGCGAUAAAUCGAAACCGUUGAUCAUAUCAGACAUCAACCUCCAGGAAGCGACGCCGUUUGUCGUCGUCAUCUCUUUUCUUAGUUCUCACAACAAAAAAAAGAAGAAAGGAUUGUUGUUCACGUAGAAGUUACUUAAGGGGCCGAGUUGAAAAUUAGACCCCACAAUCAAAAACUCGUACUUACUUUCACUUCCGAUAUUCUUUUGUCCCCCUCUUGUAUUUAAUUUCACUUCCGAUAUUAUUUAAUGUAUGCACCAGUAAGAGAGUAUUGCCACCUCAAAUAAAAACAUUAGAGAUUAAUUAUAAAAUAAUAAUUAUGAUAAAAAUUAAUUAAGAAUUUUAUAGUAAAUUAAACUAAAAAAAAUAUUAACUUAAUAGAAAAAAAUAUGAAUUAGUACUAAACCGGAUAGUGUUUUUCCUCACGCAGGUAACUUUAAUUUGCAUAUAUUACUGUUUAUCAAUAGUCUUUUUCUUUUAAAUAUAUAUUACAAUUAUUUUAUUCAGAAUAUUUUACUAAUUGAAUCUAUAUUAUAAAUCGGAAGUUAUGAUAAUUUAUGCAUAUCUAUAACCUUAGGAAAGAUAAAGUAUUACUUUUUCAUUAUAAAAGAAGUUUGUAAACAAUAUUCAAGUUAAAUCGCAUUAAAUAUAUUUUAUAAAAUAAACAAUUUUACAGUUAAGAGUGAUAACCAAUCAUUUCCUUAAAACGAUUCCGACAAAAUAAAAAGUUUUGAAUAUUGGUGUGAUUGGAUCGUGAGUUGCAUGCGAUCGGAGCAACGUCGUUAGUUUAAAAGAAAUUGAAACACUUUUUUUUUUUAAUACUGUUAUAUAAAACUGUUAUUCAUAUUAUAUCAGGUAUUACAAUUAAUAUUUACAAACAGAUUAUAUAAUUGGGACCUUCGUCGUGGCACGUACUCCUCUAAAGCGCGGCCUAAAUUCUUCAAACAUUCUCAAAUAUUCAAGGGGACUGUGUCUCCACUCAAUUAUAUGAUAAUUGAGAGAUGAUUGAAACUAACCCCAUAAAUACUUUUAUGGAGGCUUGAAGUCUCGAACCCUUACUUUCAACAUUGUAAGUGUAAGAACUCUCCUAUUGAGACAGAGGCCCAUUGGUAAGAAAUUAAAACACUUGAUGAUGAACAAAAGAACCCUAGAGGAAGAAAUAUGUGGGUACUGGGUAGGUUAGAUGAUACAAGUUGUUUCGUUUGUCAUGGAGGUGGAAAUUUGGACUUUAAUUAUAAUAUAAAAUAAAAAUAAAAAUACGACGGGCGAAACUAACUAUAGUUAAGGGGAAGAAGUUGAGACAAAUUAAGCUUGGUUAAUUAAUCUAUUAAAGAUAAUUAAUAAUAAUUUUUAAUUAAAUUGUUAAUAAUAAUAAUUAACAAUAAUUAUUAUUAAUAAUUAAUUUUUUUAAUAAUAAUAAUAAUCACUAUAAUUAAAAUACAAAAUAAUAAUUAAGAUAAAAAUUAAUAAGGAUUUUAUAAUUGAAAUACUAACUCGGCAACCCAAGAGGGGGGUGAAUUGAGAUUUUAAAAAUUAUCCUAGGCAAACCACACAACAAUUUAAUCUAAUGCCUUAAUAAAUUCGAAAACAAUAAAUUCAAUAAAAGCACAAUAAUAAAUGAGUAAGGGAAGAGAAAGCAAACUCAAGGAUUUUUACGUGGUUCGGCAAUCCCCGCCUACGUCCACGCCUCCAAGCACACCGGGCUUGAGGAUUUCACUAUCCAAGCCUUUCCAAGGCUUCAAAUGUUUACAAUUGACUUCAAGGUGUCAAUGAACCUUUACAACAAGAGAUUAUAUCUCCAAUCUCUUCACCCCAAGUGUUUCUCACACUUGUACUCUCACAAUUUGAUGAGAAAUAAAAAAUACAACAAUGAAUCUCUCUUUAAGAGUGGAUAUACAAAUUGAAGAACAAAGAUGAUUUAAUGAAUGAUGAUUCAUGAAGUUGAAGCUCAAUAUAUGUUGUGUGCACUUGUUCUUGCUUGCUUGGAUCAUCAAAAAUGAAUUGGUUUUGAAUUUAUAUAGUUUGAACUCAAAAACUAGCCGUUACUCACAUUCUGAGCGUAUCCGGUUUGCCGGUUAUGGAAUCCGGUAAGCCGGAUUUAUGUUACCGUUAAGGCAAAAUUCAAAAUUAUGCCUAUCCGGCUUGCCGGUUUCUGAAUCCGAUAAGCCGUUUACGUUCUGGAUGCAUUCUGCCCCGUAUCCGGUUUUUCAGUUUUUGUAUCCGGUAAGCCGGAUGCUACAGUAACCUGCUACAGUGCACUAUUUUCUAAAAUUAUAGUUUGACCCCAUAACUUUACAAAACUGUACUAUGGCCUAAAAUGUUAUGAAACUUUGUAAAUAGAUCCAAUUUCAGAACUUCUAAAUAAUGUUUCGUUAAUCCCAAAACUUUUUGAAAUUAUGAUAUAGCCAAAAAAGUCCUUCACCAAAAUUUCAAGCAAUACUUGUUUAUUUCAAAGUUUUCAAAAUUCUUUCAAUUAAACCAUAAACUUUGAAAAACAACCAAUUUCAUAAAAUCAUUUUUCCAUUAAAUAUAAAACAUUUAUAAUGUGAAAAUAAUGAUUUAUUUAAAAAUAAUAUUAAAUAAUUUGAGCUUAAAGAUUUAUCAUUUUUAAUCUUGUUUGUUAUCAUCAAAAUCAACAUUAUGAAAAUAUAUAUGUUAACAAUCUCCCCAUUUUUGAUGAUGACAAACAUUUCAUGUAUUUAAAGAAUAAUUCCACAAAUUUCUCCCCCUAAAUAUAAUCUUCUUUUACAAUUUGCCAAUUAGCUAAAUUCAUGAUUUAAAUACAUGGAAUUUUCUCCCCCUCAUCAUCAAAAAGAAAAACUUAAUUGGCAAAGAAAAAAAUAGUAAUUUUUUUUUUUUAUAAAUUUGAAAACAUGUAUUCUUCUCCCCCUUCAUCAUAAAAAAGAAAACAUAAAGGAAAAGAAUAAGAGUAGGAAAUUUGUUACCCAUGUUGUCCAAGUAGAAAUUUCAAUACAUUCUUCCCCUAACAACAAGCAUCACUUCAAAUACAAGAUUAGUAAUAUCACAUCCAAAUUAUUAUAGAUCAUGAUAAAAGCCAGCUCCAUACACAAAUAAUCACACCAAAAUAUCAUGAACCAUUAUUCCAUUAAUUACCAAAUCAACAACUCAUAGCAUAAAAUUUAUCAUAUAAAACACCCAUGCAAUCAAAUCACCAUUAUAUCUCAAAAUCAUCAAAAACAUCAUCAUAAUCAAGUAUCAAUUAUCAAAACAAUUACUCAAAAUGCAUAUUAUUCAAAAAUCAUAUUAUAUGCUCCCCCUAAAUAUAUGGCCAAUUUAAAAAUUUAACCGAAAGGAUUUUAUCCAAAAACAUAUCAUAUUUAUCUCCCCCUUCAUCGUAAAAAAGAAAAGAUAGAUGCAAUUAAAACAAGAUAAAAAUAAUAAUAAUUCGAUGAAGAUAUUACCCAUUUUGUACGAGCAAAAAUUUCGGUAAAGUCUCCCUUUAAAAAUGGACAAAUUCUCAAAUACACAACAUGGUUAAAAAGAUAUAAGCUUCAACAAUUAUAACAAACCAAUAACUCCAUCAAUUCAUCAAGCAAUGCACAUAUAAUCAUCAAUCAUCAAAAUCAAUAUGAAUUCCCCCAACACUUGUAACAAUUAAAUCCGAGAAUUCCAUAAUCAUAUAUCAACCAUUAAAAGAAUGCUCAAAAUGCAUGUUAUUUCCCCUAAUUUACAUCAUUAAAAUGAUUUAUUACUUUGUCUCCCCCUUUGGACAAUAAAAAUGUUAAAAAAAAAACAUAUUAUCCAAAAUAUAACAAGUAAUAAGCUAAGAAAGGGAAUGCAAAAGUCAUAAGAGCAUAAUGUCAACAAUUCAAGCUCUAUAAUUACUAAUCACAUUUUAGAAAUCAAGACAACUAAACUCAUCAAAGAUCUAAUGUGACAUUUUAAUAUAACUUACACUCUCAUAUGCGCCAAGAUCUUAAUGAUCAUGCAUUUCUCCCCCUUUUGAUAUCAUUUAAAGCAAGUAAUGCAUAUUUAACAAUGCGUCAAGAAAGCACAAAAAUAUAUCUAUUCACCAAUCAUAAAUUCCAUAAGAUCAAAUUUCAUCAAAUACAAUGGAAUCAUCAAAGCACAUUCUUUAUCAUCAAAACUUUAGUAAAGCAUAAGUACAUAAUAGCAAUAUAUAGAUCAUCAAAAUCAACAUAUGCUUAAGAAUCUCAAAGUAGAUGUAUUUCUCCCUUACAUCUCAUAUCUCCCUCUUGAUCAUCAAAAAGUCAAGAUAAGCACAUUAGUUCCACAUUAUCCAAAUAUAAAACAUCCAAAUAGCAAACAAUAAUCAUCAUCAAUCCACAAUGAAAGCAACAAUGCAUAUGAAAAUGUAAGUGCAUAAUAUAAUAGAAAACUAUGGUAAAAUCCAUAAGGAAAGCACACUAUGGAAGUGGUAAUUUGAAAUACUCAAAAUGCAUAAAUUCAAAAUUUUCAAGAUAUUGAGUAAAAUGAGUAAGUUUGAAUCAAUUAAAAUGAUUUUAGACACAAGAAUGGAUGGGGAAUAAUUUAUAUGAAUCAAUUUGGAUUGAAAACGAAUGAGAAUGAUGGAUUUUGGAAUGAAAAAGAAUGAAGGAAGAAACCAUUUUUAAAGAGAGAAUGAGAUCCAGUUUGCCGAAAUGAAGAAGAAGAUGAAUGGUUUUAAAAUGUGCGAAUUCGGCUUACCGUUUAGCAUAACCAUAUGAUAACAAGCAUAUCAAGCCAUGUAGUAAAACAUGAAUUAAGAUUCAACAUUCAUCAUUCCAAGCUCAUGCCUUAUCUUUAUAAAAUGCUCUUCACUAAGAGGUUUUGUAAAGAUGUCCGCAAGUUGAUUUUCAGUGGAAACAAAUUUAAUUACAACAUCCCCUUUUUGAACAUGAUCUCUAAGGAAAUGAUGUCUAAUUUCUAUAUGCUUAGUCCUAGAAUGUUGAAUGGGAUUCUUGGAAAGAUUUAUAGCACUAGUAUUGUCACAUAAGAUAGGAAUUUGAUCAAGCUUAAUACCAUCACUUAUAAUCAAUAAGGCAAUAAUAGUUACCAAAACAAUUAAAUCAUCUUGCCUCAUUAUUUUUGCUUUAGACUAUGAUCAAGUGAUUAUCUCCACAAGCUUCAUCAAGGAACUUUCCACCAUUCCUUGUUUAUGGUACCUACAAAAACAAAUUCAAGUUGUACCCUUUGGUACCCAAAUACUCUUGGGUCCUUGAAUGUUAGAUUUAGUUCCUUUUGGAACCCAAAUACAUUUGACUCCAUAAUAUACAUUUCUCUUAAUUGGACAUUUAAAACUCAUAUGACCAUUUUCAUUGCAAUAAUGACAUACAAUUUGAUCAUUUGUGGAGGUAGCCUUAACAAAAUAAUUCUUAUAAUAUUUUUGUUUCAAGUAAGGCUUAUACCCAAGUCCUCCUUUAUCAAACACAUAUUUUUGUGAAUUAAGCAUGUUAUCCAACAUCUUUUGCCCAUUUGUGAAUUUCAAAACAAUCUCAUUCAACUCAUUGCUCUUUUUCUUAAGCGUUUCAUUUUCAUUUAUUAAUUCAUCAACAUGCGAUUUUUCAUGCUCAUACAAAGUACUUUGUUUACAUGUGAAUGAUGCAAUUCUAUCAUGCAACAUUUUAUUAUCUAACUCUAGUCCUUUAAUCUUUUCAUUUAAUGAAUCAUUGCAUUUUUGUAGAGCAUCAUUUUCAUUUUUCAAGUUAUCUACAUAUGAUUCUAGAUGCUUAUGUGAAGUGCUAGGUUUCUCAUUUGAUAAUGCAACUUUAUCAUGCAAUGUUUUAUUUUCUAAUUCUAGGCAACUAAUCUUUGCACUUAGAGUUUCAUUUUCAUUUGUGAGCUCUACCAUUUUCUUUUUAAAACAUGCAUUCUUUUUACCAAUUUUCAUCCAUUCAUCAUACAAUUCUUUAAACGCAUCAUGUAAUUCAUUAUAAGUAGGAAGAUCAUUUACCUCGUCAAGUUCACCAUCCGAUUCAUCUCCAAUCGCCAUAAGUACCAAAUUCGACACUUCAUGAAAUUCCUCCUCGCUUGUAGUCUCCUCAUACACAAUUUUAAGUUUUCUCCAAAUUUCAUAAGCAUUAGAACAAUUUGAAACUCUAUGAAAUUCCUUUUUAUCUAAGGCACAAAAUAAAGCAUUCAUAGCCUUGGAAUUUAAAGACAUCUUUUUCUUAUCCAACUCACUUAAAGCAUUCUUUCUAGGAAUGAGUAAAUCAUCACAAACAACUUCCCAAAUUUCAUAAUCUAAAGCUUGUAAAUAAAUUCUCAUCCUAGUUUUCCAAUAAGGAUAAUCAUUUCCAUCGAAAAAUGGAGGUCUAGUGAUAGAUUGUCCUUCCAUGAUGGUUGAGCUAAUUUGGGUUGCUAUUGAUCUUUAACUCUAGACGAUUAAGUCUACACAAGAGCACCUCGCUCUAAUACCAAAUGAAAUACUAACUCGGCAACCCAAGAGGGGGGUGAAUUGGGAUUUUAAAAAUUAUCCUAGGCAAACCACACACCAAUUUAAUCUAAUGCCUUAAUAAAUUCGAAAACAAUAAAUUCAAUAAAAGCACAAUAAUAAAUGAGUAAGGGAAGAGAAAGCAAACUCAAGGAUUUUUACGUGGUUCGGCAAUCCCCGCCUACGUCCACGCCUCCAAGCACAUCGGGCUUGAGGAUUUCACUAUCCAAGCCUUUCCAAGGCUUCAAAUGUUUACAAUUGACUUCAAGGUGUCAAUGAACCUUUACAACAAGAGAUUAUAUCUCCAAUCUCUUCACCCCAAGUGUUUCUCACACUUGUACUCUCACAAUUUGAUGAGAAAUAAAAAAUACAACAAUGAAUCUCUCUUUAAGAGUGGAUAUACAAAUUGAAGAACAAAGAUGAUUUAAUGAAUGAUGAUUCACGAAGUUGAAGCUCAAUAUAUGUUGUGUGCACUUGUUCUUGCUUGCUUGGAUCAUCAAAAAUGAAUUGGUUUUGAAUUUAUAUAGUUUGAACUCAAAAACUAGCCGUUACUCACAUUCUGAGCGUAUCCGGUUUGCCGGUUAUGGAAUCCGGUAAGCCGGAUUUAUGUUACCGUUAAGGCAAAAUUCAAAAUUAUGCCUAUCCGGCUUGCCGGUUUCUGAAUCCGGUAAGCCGUUUACGUUCUGGAUGCAUUCUGCCCCGUAUCCGGUUUUCCAGUUUUUGUAUCCGGUAAGCCGGAUGCUACAGUAACCUGCUACAGUGCACUAUUUUCUAAAAUUAUAGUUUGACCCCAUAACUUUACAAAACUGUACUAUGGCCUAAAAUGUUAUGAAACUUUGUAAAUAGAUCCAAUUUCAGAACUUCUAAAUAAUGUUUCGUUAAUCCCAAAACUUUUUGAAAUUAUGAUAUAGCCCAAAAAGUCCUUCACCAAAAUUUCAAGCAAUACUUGUUUAUUUCAAAGUUUUCAAAAUUCUUUCAAUUAAACCAUAAACUUUGAAAAACAACCAAUUUCAUAAAAUCAUUUUUCCAUUAAAUAUAAAACAUUUAUAAUGUGAAAAUAAUGAUUUAUUUAAAAAGAAUAUUAAAUAAUUUGAGCUUAAAGAUUUAUCAUUUUUAAUCUUGUUUGUUAUCAUCAAAAUCAACAUUAUGAAAACAUAUAUGUUAACAAUAAUAACCUUUAAGGAUAUUAAUUAUCAACAAAAUUCUCAAGGAUAUUAUCAUUCAUCUUUAUCUUCUUUAUAAUAUCGUCUCAUAAUAAUAAUACUUUCAUGAUAAAAGGAUUAAUAAAAAAAAAAAUUUCCUUUGAAUCCAUCGCUCUCUAAUAUUAAUUUCUCUUCAUCAGCAACCUUCAUCGAUAAUUGAAUCCAUCAUUAGACUCAUCACAGAGAAAGAGAGUGAGAGAGGGGAAGAAGAAAUGAGAAAAAAAAAAUGUUUACAAUUUUAUAGUGUAUUCACAAAAUAAGAAUCGAAAUUAGCUGGAAACAUAAUGAGUUAGAAUUAGAAUAGAUAAAAUCGAAAUGAGAAAUUGGAAUAAGAAUAAAUAAUUUAUUAAUGAGCUAUAUUAUCAUUUAUGUGUUUACUUUAUCUUAAAAUCAAAAUUGAAAUGAGUUAAAUUGUAACAAAUUACUAUAAAAUCUUUAAUUAAUUUUUAUCAUAAUUAUUAUUUUAUAUUUUAAUUAUUGUGAUUAUUAUUAUUAUUCAAAAAUUAAUUAUUAAUAAUAGUUAUUGUUAAUUAUUAUGAACAAAAAUUUAACUAAAAAAUUAUUAUUAAUUAUUGUUAAUAGAUUAAAUAAUUAUAAUACUUUUUAUUAUUUUAUUAAUAAUUAUUAUAAUAAUCCAUUUAAAUUAUAAUUAUAUUUAUAAUUAUAAUAAUUAUAAUUAUAAUCCUUUAUAAUAAUUAUAUUUUAUUAUAAUUAACUAUAAUUUUAUUAUAAUUAUAAUCCUUUUAAUAAUAAUUAUAUUUUAUUUAAAUUGAGGGUAUUUUGGAAAUUGAAAAAUUGUAAGAGAUGACUUUGAUACUAUAAAGAUUUUAAUAAAAUAAAAUAAAGUGCAAGAGGCUCAACGAAAUAUAAUACUUAUGGAUAAAUUUUGAAAAACAUAAAGCGCAAGAGACUCAACAAUAUUUUACAGUAACAAUUCGGCUCCACUAAUUAAACCAGAUCCGAGGGUCAAAAAUUAAAACAUCUGGAGUCCUUUUGUGGAUUUAAUUGGGCUCCAUAAUUAACCAGAUCCUAGGGUCAAAACUUAAAGUCAAUUGGAGUCCACAGAUCCUAGGGUCAAAACUUAAAGUCAAUUGGAGUCCCCUGAUCCUAGGGUCAAAACUUAAAGCAACUGGAAUCCUCUUGUGACUUUUCUAAUUAAACCAUCCUAGGGUCAAAAAUUAAAGCAACAGGAAUCCCCUUGUGACUUUUUUAAUUAAACCAGAUCCUAGGGUCACAAAUUAAAGCAUCUGUUUGUCAAAAACAAAAUAAAAAUUAAAGCAUCUGAGAGUCCCAUUUUCCCUAUAUAAACUCUCGCAUUUUUUUCUUUCUUGAUUCACAAACUUGCUUCUUAAUUCAAUUCAGUGUAUUAGCAGCUAGUAAAUUAAUUGACGUUCCGAACUCUUUUAAAAGUCUUGCUGCCCCUUAUUAACUAGCAUUUUCUAGUGGAAGAGAGAUUUGCAGCAGAAAGGGUAGCAAAGAAAUGGAAUUGCUGGGGCGUGAUCCUCGUCAAAGGUAUGAAUUAAUUCUCUUCUCUUCUCUUCUCUCAAUGAUAUAUAAGUCAUUUGCUUAAUUUCAAUAGUAUCCUUUUGAUUUCAUUACAAAAUUUGGGUUUCUAAGUGGCGAGAUAAAUGCAUUAAUUCAUAAUAGAGAAUACUACAUUUUGCAGGUCAUACGCUAUGACUAACAUGUCCAGCAAUAUAACCCAUGUACAUCGACCGACUAUUAUUGGGUAAGCAACUACUUUCAUUCUAUAAUUUAAAUUAUUUUCAGUGUCAUAUAUUUAGGUUAUUUUCGCUAUUAUUAUUAUCAGUAUAGACUUAAAUUAUAGACUUAUUUUCACCAUUAGAAUUAGAGACUUAUUUUAUAAUAUCCAUAAUUUGCUUAAUUUAAAUUAUUUUCUCUAUUAGAUAUUUAUGGGAAAGAAUAAGAAGUUGUGCUUUACACUAAUGGACAUAGAUCUUGUUUGUAUGUAUACGAUGCAACACCGCGAUAUAAAGCCAUGAUUUGUUUCAUCUUGCAUCAAAAUUGGCACAAGCCAUAGCUUUGUGAUCCAGGCUUUAGGCCAUAGCCCAAGAUGAUAUUUAUAACAGACAAUAUCACAUAUUCCUCAUCAUUUAUAUUACUUUGAUGUAACACUUUGUUAUCAAAUUAAGUAAUUAUAUCUUGUUUUGAUGGUUUUGCAGUGUACAAAAUUUCUCAUCACCAUCGGCACCGUACCACACACUCUUUGUAUUUCUAAUUCCAUUGCUUGUCGGAGUUAUUGAUAUUAAUAAUGUUCAAGAUAAAAAUAAAUCCUUGAUCGAGACACACCCGAUGAAUAUGUGUCCAUUUCUAUUGGCUCUACUCAUCUACGUCUUUGCAUAUUUUGCUGCCAUAAUAUCAGAGCGUCAAAUCUUCAAAGCAACUGUUGUGAUCUCAGGAUCUCUUUGCUCAGUCUCAUUGGUCUCCAUUAUUCUGCCACACCCAUAUGGAUAUUUCAGUUUCAUUAUAUGGGUUUUUCUUCUUCUUCUUGUUGCUUAUCACAAGAGCCUUCAUAAGAAGAUUUGGCAAUUUUGGAAUAGAUUUGGAGGAAACAACCAGCAAUUAUUGCCGAUAUACGUACCAGUAAGAGAGCGGCACACGCCAUAAAUUGCCAUCUCAAAUAGAAAAACCUAUACCACCUAAAAAGGCCAAUAAUAAUAUGGCACUGCCGAAGACCUGAUAUAAGCCAAGUCUACUGCAGGGGGCCGGGCCAGUAAUAUUCCUUCGGUGGUAGUCCAUUGAAGUAGAAAUGUGAUUGCUCAUAGAUUAGUUAAAUGUAUAUGCUGUUAGCAAACCGAGCGGUGCAAUUUGGUUGGACGAAAUUCCAACUCAUGUACAUCUUUUCAAUUUAAGUGUUUAAUAGAAGUUUUCAAUUUUUUUUUUCAAAAAAAAAAAAGUAAUCCUUCAUAGCUAUUUAUCAAACGUAUAGUUUUGAGAUUCUCAUGGACUUAUUAUUACACAAAUACCCAUAUUUUAGGAAAUUAGAAGUAUGAAAAAUUGGGCUUUUUCUACAGCUUUAUUAUUAAUAGUUUGUUGUAGGUGUAUUUAGUGACAAAUUGUUUGCUACAAAUUACAGUUGUCUUAUGCAUAUUUGAUGAAAAAAGCACUAAUAAAAUAAUGUUUGUUAGUCACUCAUCUCUAUUGAUCUUAUUUUGAAACAUUUUCGAUAAAAACAAGCUUUGAUAGAAGACAUAUAAGAUAAGACAUUGGUUGAUCUUUAUCAUUCAUCUAAACGAUUACUCCACCUGUCAAGUUUCACUAUUUAAGCUUUGAAUAUAAUUGACUUGUGAUGUAAUCCUAGACAGCCAUAUUACUCCACCCUUCUAGUUUUACCAUUUUGUCCUUUAAAUAUUUUUUACUUAAUAAGUAAUCCUUGAUAGCUAUUUAUCAAACUUAUGGCAUUGAGAUCCACAUGGGCUUAUCAUUAUAGAAUUACCCAUAUUUUAGGAUCAAAAGAAAUUAGAAGCAUGAAAAAUUAGGCAUUUUCUAUCACCUUAUUAUUAAUAGAUUGUUGUAGGUGUAUUUAGUGAAAAAUUGGUUGCCACAAAUUACAAUUCUCAUAUGCGUAUUUGAUGAAAAAAGCACUAAUAAAAUAAUACUUGUUAGUUUACUUUUUAUUUUUUAUUUUUUGAUGAUUUGGUUUUAAAAAGAAUGUUUAAAUCAUGAAAGAAUCCUAUUGUCAAAAGGUACUUUAAUCAAAAUAAAUCAAAGCCAUCCAUUUAUCUUUUUGAAGGUAACUAUAGAAGCUUAUGAACAUAAUUAGAAUAUGAAGUUUUGAAUCGGACAGGUGUUUGAAAAUUUAGCACUAUCAGAAGGUUUUCUGUGAAAGAAUAAAAACUAAAAAUGAUAGUGAUAACUGACGAAAUACAUAUAUAACUUCCUAAUAAACUCAAAUCCGAAUACGUCCUCUCAUUUCUCUCAUCGUCAAGCUCCCAAAAUUCACUCCAUGCAGCUUUGUCGAGAAUCAUAAACAAGUUUUUGGCGAACAAACCGAGUUAUGACAUUUGCCUGCUCAGUAUCCUUGACCUGAUUAUAUAGACAACCGAACAAAUUUACUCAAGUUUAAUCCUGAGAGUUUCAAAACAAUGAAAAAGAUGAUAUAUAGCCAAGGGUUCAGGUUCCACAGCUUCUGGAAAGUCUUGGCAACAGAAUCUCCAAGCAACAGCUUAUCACAUCUAAUUUAAGCAAUAACACGGGCAGCCAUCAAAUCCUCAAAUUUCCCAGCAGCAGCUAUACGCAAGCAUGCAUACGGCUCUCACUUGAUAGCACACCAAAAUGCACAAAAGGCAAAGAAGCUAACGGCCUUCAACCAUUAAACUUAUUCAAACGUACAUGAAUUGACAUGUGGCCACAAUAAUUAUUGCAUGCCUUUUAAAAUUCAAUGCUUCUUUUGAGUUUUAACCACAAGAAUUACUGUAGGUUAGCCCAAUGGCUUUCUAACAAUACCAGCUACAACCUAAUUUCAAAAAAAAAAAAAAAUUGCGAAUCACCUUUUAGCUCACCAUUGUCUACACUUUAUAUGGAUUUUCUGCCAACUGCUUCCUGGAAGAGGUUUCAUUAUAUUUUUCAAAAAUGAUGUCAGAAGAAACUUUUUCCUGAGCUCUGUUUCUGUUUAUUCGUUAGGUAGUACAUAUGCCGCAAAGAUAUCAAUGCAAACAGAUGGAAAUAAAAUAUUAGAAACUUUUACAUAUUUCUGCUAUAGAAUUUCUUUGAAAUACUUUAUGCUUUUGGAUUAGAGAACAAACAACGACAGAGUAGGAGAAGAAAUCACCUGAGGCAGAGGAUGAUUGUAAUUGCAAAUGACAAAACACUCAAGCUCCCAAAAUUUGCUCACACAGAAAACUAUUUUAUUAUCCUUGCUAGUAUCCUUGUCACCACACCAGUUAUGAACGAAAAAACUGAAUUCUGACGUUUGCCUAAAUAAGCUGCUGAGUAUCCUCAGCCUGAUUACAUGGAUAGUUGAAACAACUUUACUAAAGUUUAAUCCUAACAGUGUCAAAACAGUGUGAAAGAUGAUAUAGUUGAUAACAAAAACAUGAGGAGUUUCUUGGCAAAAGCAUGGGCAGCCAUCAAUUCCGAAAAUUUCCCAGCAGCAGCUUAAUGCAAUCAUACAUACAGCUGUCGCUUGAUAGGACCAAAAGAAAAAGAAGCUAACAAUGUCCAACCGUGAAAAUUCCUUUCUUGUGUUUUGUUUCUGUUUGAUCUUGUAACAGAUGGAAGUAAAAUUUCCUGAUUCAGAUAAAUCAGCCAAAACACAUACUCUGUAGAAUUAACUGAGUUCAAGCUUUCACUAAAAAGCUUCUCUUCUCCCUACUCCUGCUUGCUGCCUGCUUCACAUGUACAUUUAGCACCAAAGAAAUUGAGAAUUUAUCAAUCAACUGGACAAAAAUGGAGACUUGUGAAUCAGGCGCUGGUUCAAAGAAGGCAGAAAAACUGCUGAUAAUUUACCUCCUUUUGCAUUAAUCCCCAAUCUAGCACCAUUCUCACUCUUCAUCACUUGCUCUGCAAUUGUCAAAAAUGAUUCGGUUCAAAAUUAUCCUACAUUCAAUGACAGACAAAAAGGAGAGAUUACCAUCAUUACACCCAUACCAAAAUUUUAGAAACUGUUGCAUAUAUUCCUAAUAUAGAAUUUGAUUAAAAAUAGUUUAUGGUCCUUAAUUAGAUAGCAGAUAACAAAAAUGCAGAAGAAGAAAUUACCUUUGGCUGAGGAUGAUCAUAAUUGCAGUGCAACUGGUUGAGAAUUUUGUCAAUUGCUGCCAUGAAAUGGUUUCAUUUCCUUUGGGUUCUGUCAUGGGCAAUCCUUCCACUAGUAAGCUUCUCAUUUCAUUUCCUGCCCUGCUUCCUGCAUCAUAUGAUACAUUAGAUGACAAUACAUGUAAUCUGUGGUCACUUGACCUGCAAAAGAAUUGCUUGUAUUGCACUAAUAAUCUUUACAGUAACGUCAUCAUAUCACAAAUUAAAAAUUGUAUAUUCAUAGGAUAUGAAAAUCAGAAUAUUAGAAAAUAUGUAUUGCAGAUUUUGAUUCAAAAUGAAAUUUAUGCUUCUUAAUUAGAUUAAAAAUAACAGCAAAGCAAAUCAAAGUAAGAGAAUAAAUUACUUGUCAACGCCCAAUCUCAAGGUUGGGAAUGUGAGAUAUCUUAGGCCAGUCUUCUCCUUCCCCCCUUUUGUAACGUUCUACCAGAAUAUCACAAUCCCACCCAAUGCGCAAUUCCUUCAAUGUUGUCCUUUGAUGAAUGUGGUCGGGCAGUGCCUUUAAUUUGGGGCAACUGAAAACUUCCAAGGAAGAAAGACAUGGCAUGAUGUUGAUGAAGGCGUCUCCCGUUCUUAUAAUCCCAUAAUCCCACUCGUCCAAUUCCUCCAAUCUCCCUUGAUCCCUUGUGCAGAAAAUUGUCAAUAAUGGCAAUACAUGCAAUCUGUGGCAAAUUAAGCUUCGUUUUUUUGUUGUCCUGACCUCGAAAGGUUAUUGUUCAACUCCAACGCCAAACUAAAUGUAGGUCACUUGUCCUGCAAAAGAAUUACUCAUAUUGCAUUAAUAAUCUUUUACAGUAACGUUACCUAUCUCACAAAUUAAAAAUCGUAGGAUGUGAAAAUCAGAAUUUUAGAAAGUAUGUACUGCAGAUUUCUGAUAUAGAGUUUGAUUCAAAAUGCUAUUUACGCAAUUACGCUUCUUAAUUAGAUAAAAAACAACAAAGCAAAUCAGACUAAGAGAAGAAAUUACUUGUCAAUGCCAAAUCUCAAAUGCGCAAAUAAUUAAUAUAUAUGUUGGGAAUGUCUGAUAUCUUAGGCCAAUCUUCCCCCUCCCCUUGCGGUAACGUUCUUCCAGAAGGUCACACCCCCAAAUGCUCAAUCCCUUCAAUGUUGUCGUUUGAUGAAUGUGGUCGGGCAGUGCCUUUAAUUUGGGGCAAACAGCAAUUGCCAAGGAAGAAAGACGUGGCAUGAUGUCGAUGAAGGGGUGUCCCGUUCUUGUAAUCCCAUAAUCCCACUCCUCCAAUUCCGGCAAAUCCUCAAUGAAAAGUGAUUGCAAUUUGGGGAAGGCAAUAAUAACCGAUGAAGAUGAAGAUGAGUCAUGAUGAUCACUUUCUAUCCCCAAAAUUUCAUUACCCACUCUUUUCACACUCUUCAUGUCCGAUAUAUAGAGCUUUUCAAGGGAUGGCAAUUUUCCCAAAGGAGGCAGCUGCUCACAAUUUUCGCACAAAUGGAGAUUUAAACUCCUUAGAUUGGUUAAUGACAUCAUCCAGCUGGGGGAAACAGUGUUGCCUCCGUAUCCCUAUAAAUAAUUCCUUCAAAUUCAAAGGUGGUUGCAAGGCUUCAAGAAGAAGUUGAUCGUGCUCGUUAUUCCUCCUUCCUCCGCUUUCCUUCACAUCAAACCAAAGUCUCAAACAAGAGAGGUAUUUCUUUUUGUCAAGUUUUAAUCUCUUAGCCUCAUCCACAUCUGACACAUUUCCCAAUCUACGUAUGCCACAUACUUGGAGGAGUUCCAAGUUUUUAAGAGAUUCAAGCCUACAUCCUUUGCGACCAUCGACACAUUCUCCUCCACUCACAUGGAACUCAUCCAAUGUCCGAAGACUCGGUAAUCUCGCAAUCCCAGCCGGCAUGUGCCCUAAGGAAUCAGUUCUCUCAUUUAGUAAAUGCUUCAUGUUUAUUAACUUCCCAAUUCCUUGAGGUAAUGCUUUAAGAUUAAUACAGUAACUAAUAUCUAACUUUUCUAGAUUAUAUAACCCACACAACGUCUCAGGAAGUUUCCUUAUAAGCGUCACAGAAGACAAAUUAAGGUAUCUUAAAUGUACCAGCUUUUCUAUAUUUCUUGGAAUAUCUAGAAUGGAAGAACACAGUGUGGCAGACCAGUUUCCUAUAUCUAAUGCCCUCAAACUUGUCAAUUUCCCAAACAAUUCUUUUAGCAUCUUACCAUUUAACGAUGAAUUGUCAAGCAUGUUACCACUAAUAAAGAGGCUACGCAUUCUUUUAAUUCUACAAGUGGAGACAGGAAAUGAAGCUCCUAGACCAAUAACUAACAUUAAAUGACAAACCUUCUCAUCCAAAGAGUUUAUGGCGUUUGGUUCUUUGCUACCAUUAAUUUCCAUCGAAGAACAUUCAUUUUGACUUACAAAUUGGGCAAAAUUGUGUACUAUAUCAUGCAUCUUGCACGCUACAAUAAGAUUAUCAUGAUCUCUCUUAAACUCUUGAAAGAAAGAGCGAGUGGCUAAGAUGUUAAAAUACUCUUCACCAAUUAUGUCCAUCUCUUCAUCUUGUUCUGCACUAAAGUAACCUUGAGCCAUCCACAUGCUAAUUAGUUUCUCUUUCAUUAUAUUGAAGUCCUUUGGAAAGACAGCACAAUAUGAAAAACACCUUUUCACUCUGGACGGCAAAUCAUUAUAACUCAACAACAGAGGAGAUAGAACACCUUUCUCAAUCUCUUCGAUUUUCCACAAAUCAUUAUUUAAGAUUCUACACCACUCUUCUUCGGUUUUUUUGGAACGCAUGAGACUCCCUAUUAACUUUGCUGCAAGAGGCAAACCUUUGCAUCUACUUGCAAUUUGUUGCCCAAUUUGCUCUAAUUUUUCACAUUCUUCAAUGGCCCGACCAUGAAAUGCUAUCCGAUUAAACAAUAACCAACAUUCCUCUUCAACCAAUUCUUUGAUGGAGAUAAUAUCUAAAGAUCCCAUCAUGCACGCAACUGACUCUUUACGUGUGGUAACUAAAAUUUUACUUCCAUGGAGACCAUUCUUUAGACAAUGGUAGAAUGGUUCCCAUUUCAUGUAAUUUCCAUCCCACACGUCAUCUAAGACAAGAAGAAAGCUCUUCCCUGCAAUGGAUUCAUAAAUAUGUCUAAGAAGAGAUUGGAAUUCACCUAAAUGAGAUUCAUGACCAUCCAAAGCUUCGACCAUUGCUUUGGCAACCCUGAACUCUUCAAAAGUUUCUGACACACACACCCAUAGAAUUUUAUCGAACUUUCUUAAAUAUAGGCAUGGGGAUGCAAUUACUUAUUUGGAUGUUUCUAUUUUGGAUAGUAUUCUCGAAGGCAGGGUGCUUAAUGUAGGAUAUAUUAUUGUUCAACAUAUGCUUAGCACUCCGUGUAUAGGCAAACAUUCCUUACCUUUUGGUAGCAUUAUCACCCGGAUUCUUAAACAUUUUUUAGGUCAUAUUACUGAACCACUCUCUUUCGCACUAAGGAAUUAGGAGACAAUGCUAUAGCAAAUUUAGGGUUUGUAUAGAUGGAAGAUCAGUGGGUUAAAGAUAUGAGGUACAAUGGCAAGAUUGUUGAACUAGCUCCUUCAGAUCAUCAUAUCUUCAACGAUAUACUUUCACCAGAAGAACUCAUUGACCUCAGUAAUCCAUAGCGUUAGCAACCUCCACCUUCAAAAGAUCCUUCACAUUCUGGUCCAGCCGCUCCUAAUCAUCCAAAGCAGUAGCUAUUGGUUGAAGUGCAUUCCAUUUCCGAGCAACAAAGCCAACUUCAAUCCCUGUUUGAGGCCUUUCAAAUUCACUCCAUUUCUGAGCAGCAAUGUCUCUUUGAUUAGCAGCAGUGCUUAUUUGAUGAACAACAACAACUCUUUGCUCAACAAAAAUAUAUUUUUAACAACCAGCAGCAACUUUUCACUACUCUUAUGUUUCCACCACCAUCUUCCUCCUGACAUCCGCCAUCUCCGUGGUGUCCUCUCAUUUUUUAUUUUGUUUAUAGUUCUCUGUUUUAUUUUGCACCUGCAUUAUCAUGUACAUUAACUAUGUGUGUUUUAACUAUAAUUUAAGGAUUCUUGUUUGAUAUUUAGAUGCUUUGUUUUGGAUACUAUUUCUGGUUUCUUAAAUGCUUUGAAUAUUUGGUUAUUCAUUAUAGGUUUCUUGAUUAACAAUUAUGAAGUUAUUUUUUAUCUUAGCAUGAUUUGAUAAGUAAUUUUGAUGAUGAAAGGGGAAAAGUAGCAUGUAUUUUAAUCUUAAAGUAUUGAUGCAUGAUUUUAAAAUAUUUAAGGGGAGCUUACAAUUGUUGUAGAUCAUGUAUUCAGGGAGAGUUUACAUUUGAUUUAUAUGUUGAAUCAUGUAUGCUUUAUAUUAAAGGAGAGUAUAAAUAUCAAAAUACAUGAGAUGUUUGUCAUCAUUAAUAAGGGGGAGAUUGUUAGCCUAAUAAGGUAUAUAAGUUGUAAUUUUGAUGAUAACAAAUACGUGUCUUAAGUAAUUUGUUUCUUGAAGGAAAAAAUUUAUUCAAGUGAAAUCAAGCUCAAAACACUCAAUGAACAAUGGCUCGAUCAAGAACAAGUAUUAGCUCAAUGAAAUUAUUAUUGCGACAAUUCUUGUAAAAAUGGUAUGAUUUAAUAUAUGCGUGGUUUAGCAUUUGAGAAGCUCAAGUAUUUAUUUUAUAAGUAAUCAUUUUUUUCAUAAACCAAAAGCUUUAUAAUCAUAAGACAAGUAUUUUAUAGAUUUGGGUAUUUUUCAAGUUUUGGACUAAAUUGAAAAGGUUUUGAAAACUUUGAGUAUUAUGUUAAAAAUUCUGAAAACUUUGAGUAUUAUGUUAAAAAUUCUGAAAUGAACCUUUUUGAAAAGUUUUAUAAAAGUUUUGGGCCACAACAUAAUUUCAUAGAGCUUUUAGAAUAACUAGUAUUAUCUUGAAAUCUGAAAAUGGACAUGUUUGCAAAGUUUUAUGAAAAUUUGGACCAUAAUCAAAUUACAUAAAGUUAUAGGUAAAACAAUAAUUUUGAAAAGUAGUGUUACUGUAGAAAAAUUCAAAUUGUAACGAUAACUUGCACUGUACUAAGCUGCGAUCCGGCUAUUUAAUAAGCUAGCUGGCAAAACUUCAAAUGUCAAUAAUGUCUAGUUUUCUUUCAAAUUUAAUAACUUUUGCAAGUAAGAACAAGUGCAUACAACAUAUUUUGAGUUUCCAUUUCAUAAAUCAUCAUAUAGUAAAUCAUUAUUGUGCUACUACUUGUAUAUUGACUCUAAAAUAGAGUAUUUGUUGUGAUCUUUAAUUUCAUUAUUAAACUUGUCAGUGUUCAAGUGUGACAAACACUUGGGUGAAGAAAUUGGGGAAUAAUCUUUUGUUGUAAAGGUUCGUUGAUACCUUGGAAGUCAAUUCUAAAACUCUUGAAACCUUGGGAGACUUGAAUACUGAAAUCCUCAAGCUUGGUUUGCUUGGAGGCGUGAGCGUAGGCGGGAAUUGUCGAACCACGUAAAAAUAUCUGAGUUUGCUCUCUCUUCCCUUACUCUUUUAUUUUUUAGCAUUGUUAAAUUUAUUAUUUUUUAUUCUAUUAAGGCAUUAGAUUAAAUUGUUGUAUGGUUUGUUUAGUCUAAGUUUUAAAAGCCCAAUUGACCUCCCUCUUGGUUUGCAUAGCUAGUAUUUCAAAAUUAAGGUACAAUAAGUGAAAAAGACUCCAAAGAAGUCUCCAACAAAGACUACAAGAACGUCUCCUAAAAUAAAAAUAGCCCAAUAAAGUAAAACAGCGGAACCUUAUAUUAUCCAUGUUGGAGUUAAGCCUCCUCCUCCAAUGAAGGUAAAGGUGAUGAAACCAAAUGCCAAUAGAAAGCUGGUAUUGAGGAAGAAUGAACACUAGAUUAGCUACAUAGGAGAGAAAGAACACCGGUCAAACCAUUAAUAUGUUUUUCCUAGUAAUUGACAGUUUUCCUAAUUAAGAGUUAUUGAUCGAACAUGAUGAAUCAAUUUUUAUUUACAUAUUGAAAACACUGUUGAAUAAGGUUGUUUGUCAAGUGAUCAUUGAUUUUAGUUAUCAGAGAAAUAAAGUGAUUGAGCAAUAGCAAAGUAAGUCAUUAUUUUGAAAUAAUUAUUGUUUGAUUUAACAUUUUUAAGUAAGUCACUAUCUUUAGAACAUUAAUAAUAAUUUAUUAGUCUUAGAUGUAUUGUCACAUAGACACUUACAUAAAGUCAUGGAGAAUGAUGGAAAGUCAUUUCCUGUGGGAUUUAUUCAAGUUAUGAUCAGUUCACUCAAUUCAACAGAGGAGGCUAUAACUACAAAGUCUCACUAUCUAUUUGAACUGCUAAAAGCAACUCUAAUUGAACAGUUGAUAUUAAUCCAUACAAGCCAGGAUAAGGACUUCUAUCCUUAUAUUUUCUAUAUAUUAACAUGUAAUAAAUUCAGAAAUUAUAGAAUAAAGCAGUUCUUUUAUAUGUUGACAUUAUUAUUUAAUGGUUUUAUUCUUGUUGUUGUAGCAAUCAUUGGGUGUUGGUUGCAAUCGAUAUACUGGCCUUCAUUGUCUAUUAUUUUGAUUUAGUAUUUACACAAAAAGUGAAUUGUCAUUCAGAGCUAAUAGAGCAGUUAAGUUUUUCCAUACUUAUAUUUUAGUAAUUUAUAUAGUUGGAUAAUAAAUUUUAGUAUAUUGAUCUUUAUAUUCACUGCAUGCUUUCAUGUUCAGAUGAGUUAGGAUGUAUCAUGCAACAAAGCAAAAGCCUAAGCUGAACUUGAAGUGGAUGUUAGUCCAAGUAAGGAUAUAAGUGAUAUGUUCAUUUUGUCUAAAUGUGGGUAGUUUGUUAUAAAGUAUAUGUAAGAGAUUGUGCAAAAUCCAAACAUAUUGGAGCAAAAUGUAAGCUUCAAACCUCUGCUUUGUUAGUUAUUUUAAUUAUGAACAUUUCGUUUAACGCAUAAUUUUCUUUCUUAUUUUUUGUAAUUGAAGUUUAAACGACUAAUUGAGUACUUGGAUGAGGAUAUUCUAAAGGUUUGUGAUGAGCAAGCUGCAUAUGUGGCUAACUUGAUCACUAGUUUAAGAAAAUAGUUAACUAUCACUUGUUUGUUCAUGUUUUAUAAUUAAAGAUUCUUGAUGAGUGGACUGCGUAUGAUGUAGUGCUCCGUUUGUUGUUCUUUUAUUACUUUCAAGAAUGUACCUUUGUUGGUUGAUUUUAUUGGAAUUGAUCGUAAGUCUGAUGGCUUCUUAUUGCUACUGUUACUCAAGACAUUGCAAAUAGCCAUGGUUCUCUUGAUUUUUCUUAAGUUACAUUUGCCUUUUUUUUUUUUGUUGUUGUAGUUCAAGCCGUUCAAGAUAGCAAUGUUGUUGCUGCUUCUUAUUCUAGUUCAUUUGUCUUAUUAAUUAUUACUCAAGUUGUUGUGAUAAACAAGUUGUAGUUUUCUUAGUUUGGAAGUGGUUUUUGCUACUAUUGUGCUAUUGGAACUAUAGUUGAUGAAUUUGGCUGUUGAAAAAGUUUGUUUAUUGAAUGUUGAGUGUUAACUGUUGAAUGAAGCCUAACAACAAUUGUUAAAUAUAGAAUUAUUCGGUUCUGUUUCCAACAUUUGUUCCAUUAUUAUUGUUGACAAUUGUUGUUUAUUGGUUUUAAUUUUAGGCUAUUGGUAAUUGUAACAAUGAAAAUCUAUUAUUUUUAAAAAAUUUCCAAACUAUUGACACCAAUUUAGCAUAUGUUAAUAUUAAUAUUCUUGAAUCACAACAUAAACAAUAUUAGUGCAUCAAAACCUACUUCAUACUAAAGAAUCACUAUCUGCGUGACUGUAUAGAAUCACAAUUAUUUUGAUAUUAUUGAAUCACAAUUUGUUUGCCAUUAUAACAUCAAAAUCUAUGUGAUGUUUAACUGUUAGCAUUUCUUUAAUACUAAGGUGUUGCGGAAUUACUGAUACAAAAGAUAUGUGUCAAUAAGUUUCUUGCACCCCAUUUAGUGACACUAAACUCAGUGUCAAUAAAGAAUGUUACGGAUACCAAAAUAGUAUAAGAGAAAGUCAUUUUUUUACUAGUACACAACAUAAAAAUUUACAUGGAGGACUCCUAUACUGGAGAAAAACUACAGCCGCUAAUGAGAGAAAAAUCUACUAUGUAAAAAAUUAUUACAAUCACUGUAAUAUUUUCCUCACACCCAAUCUCUCAAUAGGCUUACCGUUUCUCUCACACUAAAAACUGUUUACUUGCAAAAAAAACUAAUUAUUGAGUUAUGCAAAUAAGUGAACCUAACCUACCAAUAUAUAGUGAUUAUUUUUUGUAGAAGUAUUUCUUUUCUUAUACUAGUUGUAUUCCUCCUCGAGUUAAGUCGCAAAGAGGAAAUUACUUAUUUUUUAAAUAGGAGUUUCCUGAAUAAGAAAAAUUAUUAAAUAAGAAAAGCGUAGGAAAUAUCUUAAUUUAGGAUUUACAAAUUCUCAUUAAAAAAGGAGACAUAUUUCCUAACAUAUAUGUAUACAUGGUCCUUACAUCCUUGAUUGUAGAUGUCUUUUCUUGCAUUAUAAAAAUAUCUAUUUUCUCUCCUCUCACUUCUAAUGUUAAAAUGUCUAUUGUGUCUCUUCUCUUGUCAAAUUCUUCUUUUUCCUUAAAAAUCUUUCUACAGUUUUUGUGAAAUUUUGUAGCAAUUAUUUUUUAUCCGGGAUCUUAAAGUGCGGGAAAAGUCCGAGAAAUCUUUAAAAUUGCGAGGUUUUAAAGGCUUAUAACUUGAAGCGUUUAAACCACACGGUUUAUGCGUUUUCCCGGACGUUCCCGCACUUUAUAAUUCUGAAUUACAACAUUUCUAUGUAUGUAUGUAUGUAUGUAUGUAUGUAUAUUGAGAAAUAACUUCUUAGGUUGUUUCUAUUAUUUUUGAUGUGGUUAUACAUAUGAUCUGCAUAUGCUGAGAUAUCUAAUUAUAGAAGUUACUGGAAAAUUAGUACUCAGAUUAUUUGAUUCAAAUUGUUUGAUGAUUUCUUCAUUAAUCUAGGGGUUUUAAUAAAGAAGUUUUAAAAAUCUUGAAGUGCAAUUUUUGAAUGGUUUGCUAUCCAUCACUUUGGUAUGAUACUAAUUGAAGAUGUUCAAGAAUUAGUUAUGCAUUUCUAAGUAAAUUAACAUUCUAAUAAUCCACAAAAUUUAUAUACUUUUAUUUUUAUAUAUAAAUAUGAUAUUAAAUUUUACAAUAAACCUGGAAAAAUUGGAACUCCUGUUGAAGGAAUCCAUUUAUUGCCUGAAAUGAAUUUUUUUACUGUGAAGUUUUCUGCUUCCAAGCGCUUUAUUAUUCUAAAUCCUUUCCAACGGACCCUACCAGUAGUUUUAGAGCCACGUCCUCUGUUAUUGUAUUCAGCAUAGUAAAUGGUGUCCACGCUCUGUCCUUGCCAUUCAAGCCAACCUUCAGGGUCAAUUAUUUCAUCAAGAAAAGUUUGCAAGAUUACUGUUCUUGAAUAAUUUCUCCACGGUCGUCCCAUGUAUGUCUUGAUUGAUGUUCUGUUCUCAGAGAAGUCUUCUGCAGCAGUUAUGGUGCAAUUAUGAAUGAUUAUUCCUCCAUUUCCCUCAGGUUUUUCUCUUCCUUCGGCCGUGAUUGUCUUUACAUUCCCACCAAGGAAACGAACGUAGAUAUUACAAUUUUGGAACACUGCACUUGCGUCUCCGAAUAUAAAAUCAAUUGUACCAUAGAUAUCACACUCUCGAUAGAACUGUUUAUUGCUUUUUGCGUAAAGGGUGUCCUGAUACCCAUCAAGCUUGCACCUGUAGAAGGCAGAGUCCACUUCACUUACUAAUUCUACUGCCUGGCCUGUUUCCUGGUCUGGUCCGGCUGUGUUCUCAAAUGUUAUAUUCAUUGCCACAAAUCCAGCCCCUUUAAUCGCUGCAUUAAUUUGAAAAACAAUACUGAUUAAUAUAUGUUAGAAUAUAAAAACCAGAUUUACGGUUCUUAUUUUUAUUUGUUGUUCAAUUUAAUGCAUAUAUACUACAGUUCAUGAGGAGAAAAAGAAGAGAAUAAAAUUGCAUAGCUGAUCACUCACCAACAGUAGCAGUCUGGUAAGUGGAUAAAUGAUCCUUUCCGUGGCUUUUAUUCCCGGAAAUGAUUGUGUUGUUGAUUCCAUUGCCAAUUAACACCAAAUUCGUUUUCUCUCUGCCAACCACAACAUAUUCAGUGUAGUUUCCUUCUUUAAUUUUUAUAUAAUAGGGUUUUCGACGGAAUGAAGGAGCAGCCAAGAUAGCAUCUGAAAUUUUUGUGUAGUUGCCUGAGCCAUCUUGUGCCACAAUCACAUCAAUUCUUUGUGUAAUUUGUCCUUGAGACAUAUGGCAACAGAGAGUUAAAAGGAUUAUAAUUAGCCACGCCAUAUAUUAAUCUCCUCAAUAAUCUGCAGCAAAUGUUUCACAAGUUUAGUUGCACUAGUGCCAAUACAAAUUGAAGUAGUGCUACAUAAAAUGAACAGCCAUGCAUAUAUUAAUUAAAAACGCAAAAAUAAAAUAAAAACAAAGAACUACGUGGUCCAGAUUAUAUAUAUAUAUAUAUAAAGGAAUUCGGGACAUUAAAUAGCUUAUACCCAUAAAUAUCGUAGUUGACAGAGCAUGUCUUCGUUCAUGGUUCAUGUCAUAACAAGCGAAAAUUAUAAGCAGUACAUCUUAAAACUUUCUCGUUAUUAAAAAUAUUAUAAAAAUUUAAAAUUUUCGAUUCUACUCCUAUACUAUGUAAAGUGUAUUAUUUUUUCAUUUUGUCAAAUUUUUAACAUAAUAUAAAUAAAAUAACUAUUUUACUCUUAAACUUAAGCUUAUUUUUUAACUUUUCACCUCUUAAACUUAAGCUUAUUUUUUAACUUUUCACCUUUAAUAAUAAAAUAAAAUUAAAAGAUCGAAAAUAACCAAGACCCAACGAAUUAAUAAUCACCCAGGUGGUGUUACCAAAUCUGCCAGCAGGUUUGAUCAGGAACUCACAGGCCUCACUACCUUCCACCAUAGCCUUGUCUUGUUUUUGUUUUUUUAUAAUAUAAACAUCGAAAAAAAAAACUAAAAAACCCAUCACCAUCAUUUUAUAAUACAAAUCUACAAAAAAAAAAAAUUUCUUAAAUGGAAAAAAAAAAACCAUCAACUUGUUACCAAAAUGCAUUUAUUCACAGACGACAUCAACUCCGCUGGCUACCAGCAUCAUCAAAAAACUAGCAUGCGCGGCAAAGCAAGCACACGGAGGAAAGAUGUACGUGGGAAAGAAAGGGAGGAAAUUGUGGUGGUUCCGAUGAGAGAAAGAAAGGGUGGGGCAUAUAGAAAAGAAGGAAAACAAUUUUAUCUACAAUCUACCUCAAAAACAACUUUAAAUAUAAGCAAAUACGGAGAAGUACAUAUAAAGAGUGAGCAUAUAGAAAAGAAAGAAAAAAAAAAAGAAAUAAAAGAAAAAAAUUAUAUAAAAAUAAAAAUUAAUAUGGAUCAAUAGUUUCUUUUGUUGAUGUAAAAAAUCAUCCGAAAAUGAAACAAAUGAUAUAUGGGGGUGGGGGAGCAAAAUUACUGAACUCCAUUGCAAUCAUAAGAGAAUUCAGUGGCAAGACAUAAUGACAUAGACGGUAUAAAAGAUACCACCCGUGACGGAGCAAAUCACUGAACAGUUUCUGAAUUAUUAUGCGUAGGUGGAUACUGGAUACAAAAAUUAAAAUCAAAAUUUGCAAGAAACUCGUUCUGUGAAGUGAAUCUGGUGUAGCUAUUAUGCCUGAUAUUGGAGAGGAGAUGUAUUAUAUAACUAGGUCCAACUUAGGCUUCUUUAUUUAUCGACCAAAAGAAGAGUUGAGAUAUUCAUCAAACCCCUAUUUUUAUUUAGGGUGGGACUAUUUACACUCUAACAUAUACUUUACACACUCUAAUUUUAGUCAACUUUUAUAUUAUUAAAAUAAUCCUAAUAUAAUUUAUUGAAUGAGUGUGUAGAGUAGAGAUGGCCAACGGGCCGUGCCGUGCCGGCCCAGGCCCAUCAAAGGAAGCCCAUGCGUGCUCGUGCUCGUGCCGUGCCGUGCUCACUAUUCAUUUCGUGUCGUGUCGUGCCGUGCCGUGCCCACACGUGCUCGUGCUCGUGCCCACUCGUGCCGUGCCAUGGGCCGUGCCUAAGAAAAAUAGUUCACUAAGCGUUUUUCUUUUUUGCUUUUUUUAAGAACGUAUGCCAAGUUGUUGUCUUUUUUUUUUCAAGCUUAUGUAUUUUUUUUGGAUUCAUAUGCCUUUAUUUUAAUUUAAUAGAAUAAAAAAUUCAAAACUCAAGUCCAUAUUCAAUAAUAAUAAAUUAAUAAUAAUAAGAGAAUGUUAUAUUAGUUGCUAAGUUUGACUUUAUGGUAUUAGAAUUCUUUUUUAGCACUUAACAAUAACAAUAAUAGUAAUUUUUUUAAGGGUUAACUUAAUUGUUAACUUGGAAUUACGUAGAGUCAUAUAUCAUAGUUUAUAAUAAUAUUAAUACAUAUUUAUAAAAUCAUUAUAUUUAUAAUUUUAUUUAUUAAAAUCAUGAUAUCAAUUAUUUAUUUAAUAAAUUAUAAACAUAAAUCAAUUAUAAUUUUUUUGAAACUAAGAAUUAAAUAAAUUUAAAAAACUUGAGCCAAUAAAAGAUAUUAAAAGAUUCAAUUUCAAGUUAUUUAUAAAAUCAUAAAAUUUUAAGUUUACUUUCAUAAAAAAAUGAAACGUGCUUAUUGCGUGCUUUUUCGCGUGCCGUGCUUUGGCUCAUCUCUAAUCGUGCUGUGCUUUUAAGGCCCGCGUGCCUAAAAUCUAAGCUCGGCACGGCCCACGUACAUGCCGUGCCGUGCCGCGUGCUCUACCGAGACGUGCUCGUGCCGUGCCGUGCUGUACGAACACGUGCCGUGCCCGUGCCGUGCCCGUGCCGUGCCUCGUGCCGUCCGGCCCAUUGGCCACCUUUAGUGUAGAGUAAUAGAGUGUUCAAAGUAAAAUUUUGAGGCAAAAAAUCAUGCCUUUUUAUUUAUAAUUUAGAUUUACAUAUUUUGUCACAUAAAUCACACACUCAUUCCGCAUCGAAGUUCACCAAACACUCUUUCCUUAUCUAGCAAAUUACAGAUCUUUUUUGUUUAUUAAAAGGCAAUUAUCAUCUUUCUUUGACAAGACUUCCAUAAUUUCUUUUCACAACACAAAAUUUUCUUUUUUUAAUAAUUAAAUUUAAUUAAUCAGUGUAAUUUUUCAACUGCAAUAUGACUUAGCAAUAACAUAUUUAGGACUUUGCAAUAAUUUUAAAAGAUAAAUUUUGGCUAUUAGAAAAAGAAGAUUCCUUAUAAUUAGAAAAAAAUUAUUGAAAGUUUAUAAUUACAUUAGUAAUUUUUAGGAUUUUUCAAAUUCAAAAAAUAAUGUAGAAUACGAAGAUAGUACAAUUGCAAAAAAUGAAUAGGCUUGAUGAUAAUUUUCUUACAAAACAUAAUAAACACUUUGAGCAAAUAAAAUAGAGGACUAUCGAUAUACAAUAAUUAUAAAAAGUAAUAUAUUUUCCUAAAGUGAAGAGUUUGGCAAAGUGAAGAGUUUGGCAAAUAGUGGAUAAGAUUUUCUUCCAAGCGGCUGAUUUAAUAAAUACUAAGUGAAGAGUUUUAAAAAUUUCAAAACAAGAUCAUAUAAAUUUGGCAAAGGGAAUGAUUUUAAGAGUUUGAAAUGUGUUUAAGAAAAUACAAAAUAAGAAAAUAUUCACAUAUUUAAUAAAUUUAGUGGCUUCUGCGUCAGAGAAAUUGAGGAUAUGGAAUCAAAGUAAAGUUAACCUAUUUAGGGAAUUUUAACCUAAAAUAAUUUUUGAAUAACUUGGGCACCCAAAACAUCCUAAAUUAAUCAGGGUGCAUUGUUUGCUUGGAGAUAUUUUUAUAAUCAAAUUAAUGCAUCGAAAAAUACAUUAGAAAGGAAUACCUAAGAUGAUAGUUUUAGUAACCAAAAAGAAAGAUAAAGGUACAUUGCUUAAGUAUGAGGCAAUUAUACGUUCAAUGUAUACGUAUAACAGAGAGUUGAGUUUUCAAAAUGUUGGUAAUUGUACUACUUUACUACUAAUAUAGAUACUAUCCUCUCGGUAUUUAUAAUCAGAGAGGUGCUGGCGCAUCUUUGAAAUGUUUCAACCGUAUAAUGCCAUUAUAUAAUUUAAUAACUUUUUCAUACUUUAACAAAGUCUAAUAUCCUAAAUUAAUGUAAUAAACAUCAAUUUACUGUUAUCUAACUUGAUAAAUUAAAAAAAUCAUGAAGUUUUUAUUUAAUUUGAACCGCACGCUCAAUUUGAAAGCUAAAAUUAUGGAAAGGAGUACCCCACACGGUACAUGUUGAAGAGAGAGAAUGCAUUGAUUUAAUUGACUCGCGUCAACUUUAUACACUAAAUAAUCGCUCUUUCCAGGAGAUUAUUGCUCUAUUAAUUCUUCGCUUUUUUUUUUCCCUCUUUUUCUUUUCCAUUAACUAACUUUGUUACGUAGACGUCGAAAGGUUUCUACUUUCAAUCGGAAUUUCUCACAAAAGGCUUGUACUUUCAAUCGAAAUUUCAAAAGCAUUUCUUAAAAACGUGGCCAAAUUUUUUCUUUAAAAAAAAAAAAGGGUCGCGGAGGAGAUAUUUUUGGAUAUGUAGACAGCUAAAAUUAGCAUCUUUAUUCUUAAGCUUAAAGCAUUAAUUACAAAUGCGAUGGCAGUUGCCAGAUCCACACAUUUUUAGGGCAUUUUUGAAGACAUUUUUCUGCGCAAUCACCUUUGUUUUGACAAAGUCCAGGAAAAUCAAUGCAUCUACAAUAAUCAUGAUAACAAAAAUUUUUGCAGAUCCUCAUCGCCAACACAUAUAAGAUAUGCGCCUCCUAAGAAUGUUAACAACAGACUUAAUUUCAGAUAACCAAGCGAUAGAUGCAUCUACAAUACAGCGGCUAAUCUGUUAUAUAUACUCCAAGAAUCUCGUAUGCUGUAGGUAACAUGUCAUAAGCCAAGAGUAUAACAAAAAAUUUAGAGUUUUCAUUAGAAAUGUGCUCACUAAUACUAUUAAAUAUGCAAAAUACAUUAUUUAAGAAGUACAAAUGCAAGCUUUUAAAUAAGAACUUCUGUGCAUUUUACAGUGUUGUUUAUUUCUAAAUUCACAUUUUAAAUACACUAACUUUCGCCAAAAAAAAAAAAAAAGAUUAAUGUAUUUUAUGGGAUGGAAAGAGACUAACGAGAUUAUUGCACAAGAUGAGAAUGAUCAGGACUGAGGUCUUCAAAGAAGUUGUCUCUGUAAUGGGCCGAUAAUUUUAUAUCCAAACCUUUGAGGCGAUUAAGCUAGGUGCAAUUAGUACUAAUGAUGGUGAUAUCUUCUGGCCCAAUGUGAGAUUAGAAUGUCAGCUAAGCAAUUGCAUCAUUCACUAAUUAUCAUAACUUUGCAGUUAAUAAUGGCAAAAAAGUCUGGUUAAAAGUCAUAAAUACACGGUUAAUAACGGCCAACAAAUCCAGUCAAUGAAGGCACAAUAUCCGUAUGAAUAUCCAAGUUUGUACUCUUUGUUGCAGUACAUAUUCUAAUAACUGUUUGCUUCCUCUCAUUAUUAGUCCUUGGGGUUGGGGGGGAAAAACUCUAUGGUCUCACUUGAAUUAUCCAUAGAUUUUCCUAAUUUCUUUGUUUUAAUAUCUCAUUAUUAGUCCUUGUUGCAAUGCACAUCUUUUGGCUAAAUUUGUCCUUUGUCUCUUAAUUGAUUUCUUGAAGCAAUUUAUGAUAUAUGAAGCAAUCGCUAAUGUUUAGGGAAUGAAAUAGGAUGACCAAGAUAAAGGUGUUUGCUCAUACAUUAUCGUGCUCUCCUCAAAGUAAAAGUGAGCAAAUGGCUGAGCAGAUCACCUCGACCAGGAUGUUAUUGGUCACCUCGACCAGAAUUUUAUUAGUCACCUCGACCAGAAUAAUAUGUGGUAAUCUCGAGCAUUUCAUCUCGACCAGGAUGUUUUUGGUCACCUCGACCAGAAUAAUAUGUGGUGACCUCGAACACAUCACCUUGACUAGGAUGUUAUUGGUCACCUCGACCAGAAUAAUAUGUGGCGACCUCGACCACAUCACCUUGACCAGGAAGUUACCAGGAAGCACAACUCAGUCAAAAUAUUUUCUCUGAAAUAUUAGGGACCAUAUUCUUAGUGGGUUGAAAAUUAGUAGUUUUCUUGAGAAUUAUAGGGGAGAUGAUAAAAACCGCUAUAAUUUCCUAUUAAACCCUGGGAAGAGGAAGGAAAGGGGAUUCUUCUUCUUUUUUUUCUCUCUCUGGGCAACUGAACCCAUUGGACCUUUUUCUCUCUCUACCACUGGGAAAUUUCUAUUUCGCUUAUGAUUUCUUUAAGAUUAAUUAUUUUCAAUUAUUUCCUUUAAAUUUACUUAAAAGCUUUUUUGUUUAAAGCAAUCAUAAUUAAGCCACAUGAAUUGUGGUAUGGGUUUUUCCAAGUAAGACCCAAAUCGCUAACUUGAGCGUCGGAGGGUUCUCGCCGGAAAAACUUUCAGCGCCUCCUAACUGUUGGCUGUGCUCACAGGCUCACAGGUUAUCUGCUCAUGGAUCGUCUGCUCAUGAAUUGUCUGCUCAUGGGUUGUCUGCUCAUGGAACAUCUACUCAUAGAAAAUCUGCUCAUGGUGCUAACAAAUCAGCGGCUUCCCACCAAACAAAUUUAAUGUUGAUGCAGGGAUCUGAGAUUUGACCAACUCAUCCGGAUUUCGACAUCAACAGCUAACAAAAUGAAUUAAUGUUCUGCUUUGCACCCACUGCCAUUCAUUAUCAAGCACCCACACCUAUAUAAAAGCAUGUAAUCAUAUAUAUUCACUCCAUAGACUUUAAUUGUAAACAUCUGAAGCAGUUGGGGGUUCAUAAUCAUGACCAUCUUAAGCCUGAAUGCGACAAGGUCUUCUAAUUGAUUUUCUAAAAUACAAUAUCACCUUGAUUGUAAGGGGAAUCAUGUGCCCAAGAAAUAGAGUUCCCCCCAAUGCAAAACCAUACGUAAGAUAAAAUAUAUGGAGCAGAUGGAAGCAAUGAAACGUAUAUGGUCUAGCAGGAAAUCUAUAGAGGCCAUGUAAGUCAUUGCCAUAGCUGUGAUUACUACCCACAUUGUCCCCAUUAAAAACGACACAAGAAUCCUACGCUUCUGUAGUGGCAAGCCGCUUAUGAGCAGUAGUAAAAUGCUCAGAGAACCCAGAAAACCAGUGGUAUUGAACAAUAAAAAGCAGGUGUAACGAUGUGUAGUUGCUGAUGUCGGCAAGAAGAAGAAGAAGUGUCAUGCCAAGGACUAUUGAGGAGGGUCCUCACCAGCUUGGAAAGCCAUGCAGCAAUCAGUGAUGCCACCACCAUUAUGGCAUUUCUCAUUUUUUCCAACCAAUCAUCUUCCAGCUUUUUAGUUGAAUUUUCUAACCCUUUACCUUGUUGAUUUUGGCUUUUACUUUCAAGGGAUAUUAAGCUGUUAGUCUGUUCACUUGCUGACAAUUGAACAUCCUUUGCUCUAUAUGCCCCAGCACGUCGAAUCAACUCCCCAAUCUCCAAUCUUUUAUGUCUCUUUUGCUUUGUGCUAGUACAUCCAAUGCUGUGAAGCCAUUUGCAUUAAGAGCAUUCGCAUCUAUGAUAACUAGUUGUCAAAACCUUAUGACCCGCAUAUUUGAUUAUUAGUAUGUGAUAAAAAGAAAGCAUAAAUUUCAAUUUACAUACGCCCACCUAGAAUGACAAUAUUCAACUAACUCCACAAGGAUCAGAAAACAUAACUUUACUCCAUUCGUCGUUAAGAAGAUAAAAAGAAUUUCAUCAAUACGCUCUCAUUUUGCUCUCACCUUUGAAAAUGAAAAUGGUAGUAAAUUGAUAAUUUCAUAUCUUGCAAGUAAAUAAAAGAUUGUCAUUUUAGUUGGCGUAAAUUAAACUAUACCCAAAUACAAAUGUUCAUUAAAAUAAAUGAGUGCCUAUUAUGUGAUCUGCAUUAGAUUUCUAAACUUGUUAUUUGAAAAGCAAGCCAAAAUUGACCUUCUAAAGCAAUUCUUGCUUGCUACAAAUCAAAUUAUUCGGAACUGGUAGAGAUAAUUUAACUCAUUAGAAAAACUCUUAAGAUUGUGAUUGAUUUGAACUUGGAAGAUUUUUCACCUUUAAGUAUAUUUAUUUAUUUAGCAGCAGAAACAAAUUAUGCACUUUACAAUUGUGAAUAAAACAGUACCUCAAUUUGUUUACCUGCAACUGCGAGCUGCAAGAUAGUCAUGCCAUAUCAUCGUCAGCAUUCAAAAAUUGAGGAUCAUCUAUAUUAUCCAUAAAAAAUUUCAGUGCAUCCAGCUGAUUGUGUAUCACACACAGAUGUAAGAUGGUCUCACUCCAAUCGUGGUGGCUGAAGCUGCAAGCAGUCUGGUUCUGAAAAACUCUUCUAAGACAUCAAUCCGUCCUUUCAUGGCUGCCAAAUGAAGAGGGUUUCUUCCAUCCAGAAACACAAGGCAGGAUUAACUGGUAAAAGUGCUUUUAUCUUGUUAACAUGACCCUUUUGAGUUGCUAUGUGAAGUGUUGAAUAUUGAUUUGAGUUUAACUCUCCAGCAUGCUCUGGCUAUUGGCAUAUAAUGUCCUUCUCAAAAUCCACAUGCCCAAGCAAUGCUGCCGCAUGCAAAGGAGACUCAGAGAGACAAUUCACCCCAACUCUGUCUAUGAUUAAUUGAUCCUGUUGAAGUAAUUCUAACAAGGUAGGCACACUCCCUUUUAAUGUUGCUUCAUAAAGCAUACUUUUCAUUGUUUCCAUAUCCGGUGCUAUUGAUCUUUGAUGUCUGGGAAAUUUUGCUUGCAAAAAUCAAACGUAUAAACUAUAGAUUAAUUAAAGACCAGCAGCUCGACAUUCAUACAUACAGAGCCUUGAGUAGACUUUAAAUAAAGUAAAAAGUUGUGUCCAAUUUUUCAAAGCAUAAAAUCUAUUUCAUUCUUAAUUUCCAUCCUAUGGACCUGCACUGUUUGAUAUUUUGAUGUGUUUGAAAUUUUGCUUGUAGAAAUAUUAGACCUGCCUCUUGAAUUUUUUAUACAUAUAGGAUCCUAAUGCAUGGGGUUCGGGUAAAAUGUCGAAGAGCUGAUCAAUUUUUUUUUAAAAAAAUCAAAUUGUUUGUGGUGAUGUACAAAUUUCUUUGAAAGAGUUUAGGAAAGUGACAACUUUUUUCAAUUCUCAGAAUUUACAGUCCUUAUAUUCAUCAUCUCAUUAACUAGUCAACAAUUAUUAUUAAAAUUUCAUUAUUGUUGUUAAAUGACAAUUAGUUGUGUGAAGUGCCUCAUUACUCUGUUUUUGUCUACUCAUCCUCGACACUGAUAACCACAUCCCAAUGUUCUUAGUACCUUGCCAUCGUCGUUGGCGUGGUGCUAUACCAGUUUCCAGCAAACGUAGGCAACCAAAACAAUUCUAACUUGCGAGAAACAGUGAAAAUGUUGAUAAUCAAAACCUGAGUUAUUGUUGAGGUUUAGGUUGCCGUCAAGAAAUUCUGAUAGAAGGAAAAUCCUGGCAAUGAAGGCUGCUUGCUCCAAGCUGCAGCUAUCAAAUCCUCAAAAUUUCCAGCCGGCUAAAUGUAACUGCACAAAAUUAAACGAAAAAGAAGCUAACAUUGUUCAUCCAUUACCCUUCGCCAAACUUGUUUGAGUUGACAUAAGGACACUAGAAUUUCAUGCCUUUUAACAGUUUCAGUUCCAACCCAACAAUUAAUCAUCAAAAUUUAAACUGCAAAUCAGGUUAGAAAGAGAGAACAAUGGAGACUUGGUGAUUAAGCAUUUUUGACUUACCACCUUUGCUGAUCAUUAUCUACAGAAUACAUCUAUGAAUUCGCUGCCAACUGAUUCCAGGAGCUGGUUUCAUAUUUUUGCAUCAAUGAGUGCUAAACUCUUUAGAUUGGUUAAUGAGAUCAUCUAGCUGGGGAAAACAGCGUUGCCUCUGUAUGACUCUAUUGCUAAUUCCUUUAAAUUGAGAGGUGGUUGCAAGGCUUCAAGAAGUUGUUGAUCGUCCUCCUUCUUCCUCCAUCUUCAUCUUCCUCUGUCAAAAUUAAGUCUCAAAUCAAUGAGGUUUUUCAUUUUCUCUGGCUCUAAUCUCUUAGCCUUGCCCACAUCUGACACGUUUCACAAUCCUCUGCUCCGUCCUCCAAACAUCUGCCGCAAUUUUCAAAUGUAAAAACAUAAAUCAAUAAUGAAUCUGCAAAAUAGCUUAAACUUUCAAAUUAAUUUCAGUUUUUUGAAUUCAUAUAUAUAUAUUAGCUGUCUAUGCGCACCAAAAUAGUUUCUGGUGACAUAAUAAUAAGUGGUAUCUCUCUGCGAGUAGAUGAUUCCUGCUCAGGAUUAAAAAAGAAAAAAUUAAAAAAAAAAGGAAAACAAAAACAGAUAGAGAAAUGAACAAAAAUUGAUUCUGUCAAUUAAGAAAAAUAAAGUUAAACAGAGUUGUUGCCUCGAUUUUCUUAAAGUAGCUCGUAUCCGGUCAUUCAGGGCAUGCAGUAAUCUCUGACUAUCAAAUCCAACUCUAAAACCUGAAUCCAGUGCACAAUUGAUUAGAAUAUUGAGCCUAAUGUUUGAACUCUGAAUCCAGUUCAAAAUUCACUCACAUCAAAGCCAUUAGCGCUCCGCUCUGCUCCUCCGCUAUCAACUGCAGUAGCUGCAAAUGGAAACAUAAAAUCAGGCAAAAAAUAAUAAUUGAAGAAAGAUGGUAAGAAAAUACAGAUCUCUACAAGAAGAGAUUGUUGGCAACCUCUCAAUGACUUUUCUAUCGUUCAACUGCCGGGACAUGAACUUCUUCAGCGUCAGACGGCGAUAAAUCAAAACAGUUGAUCUCCACGAAGCGACGCCGUUUGUCGUCGUCAUCUCUUUUCUUAGUUCUCACAACAGAAAAACAAGAGAGGAUUGUUGUUCUCUUUAAAAUACUUACGUAGAAGCUACUUAAGGGUCCGAGUUGAAAAUCAGACCCCACAAUCACAAUUCACAAACUCGUAUUUACUUUCGGAGCUGGCUACGGUACAGAUUCUGUACCUUACAGACCAGGUUAGCCAGCUCCCCAAUGGUGCCAUUUGCUGACUUUGUUUCCACAUACAGGGACACGUGGAGUGCAUGGAGUGGGGGAUGUAUGUUACAGAACCUGUAACAUAGACUUCUCCUUACACUUUCGAUAUUCUUUUGUCCUCCUCUUGUAUUUAAUUUCACUUCCGAUAUUAUUUAUGUAUGCCCCAGUAAGAGAGUGACUCGUGCCUUAAAUUGCCACCUCAAAUAGAAAAACCUACACCACCGAAAAAGACCAAUAAUAAUAUGGCAAAUGCUAAGUUACAAUAAUUGUAACAUACAUUUAUCAUGUGAACCACAUAAAUUAUCGGUUCUAUAAUUUUGUAUGAUUUACAUGAGGGAUGUAUGUUACAAUUAUUGUAACUUAGAGACUCCCUAAUAAUAUAGGAUUGGCGAAGACCCAAUCUAAGCUAAGUCUACUGCAUGGGGCCAGGCCAGUAAUAUUCCUUCGGUGGCAGCCAUUGAAGGUUUAUUUAGAUGUAUUUAUCUAAAAAUUUUAAACCCCACUCGCAUACGUUUUUUUUUUUUUUUAAAAAAAAAAAGGUUCCUUGAUGCCAUCACCUAAGGCACUUAAUUCUAGGGAUCUCGACAGCAACAUUGGAGAAACUGACAAACAUAUCAACAGCAUUGCGCCACAUAUAGCCGUUGUAAUUCUAAUUUUACUGCUAAAUAAGUUUGAAUUUUGGCAGAAAGCCAAACAGGUCUCCAUGCAUAUAUUUGAACGUAAAUAUUAAGUUUUUUUUAAAAAUAAAAUAUAAUUUUUUUAAUAUAUAAUCUCAUAAAUAUUAAUAAUAUUUAUUUUUAUUUUUUAAAUUAUAAUUAUAAAUAUAAAGAGAUAUUAUAAAACAAACUUACCUAAAAUCUUAUCAUAUAUAGGAUUCUCAUUCACAAUAAAAAUUAAAAAUUAAAAAGUUUGUUUAUUAUUGGACAGCCUCUAUUUAAGCUUCGAUCAUUAAUCGAUGGACUUAAAAGGGGUGUCUUCCCUUCCAUGAUAGGAAGUGUGUUUUUAUUUAUUUAUAUAGCCUCUAUCACUUCCAUGAUCCAUCACCUAUUCAUCUGUUUCCACUUCGUGCCAUUUUCUGAUGUUUGCUGUCUGCGAGCCACCAACUGGCACAUACGUUAUUCUGACAACUACAAAGCUAUUAAUUAAACCAGAUCCUAGGGUUAAAAAUUAAGCUUUGACUGGAGUGCUAUGCCGUAAAGGAACUUGAUUCAUGUCCCCUAUUUUCAAUUAUUUUUUAUCUAGCGCGUAACGACGACGGAAUCGUCCUACCCAAUAUGAUUGGUGUUCGACGACGGAAUCAUGUCCCCUUUUGUAUCCUUUUCUAUUCAUCUUUUCAAGAGAAUUAUUCUUUCUGGAAAAGGCACACAUAAUAAUUUCCUAUAUAAACGCUCUCAUUGUACCCUUUGUUGAAUCACAAACUUGCUUCUUAAUCCAAUUCAGUGUAUUAGCAGUUAGUAAAUUAAUUAACGUUCCGAACUCUAUUAAAAGUCUCGUUGCCCCUUAUUAACUUGCCUUUUCUAGUGGAAGAGAGAUUUGCAGCAGAAAGGGUAAGCAAAGAAAUGGAAGUGCUGAGGCGUGAUCCUCGUCAAAGGUAUGGAUUAAUUCUCUUCUCUUCUCUUCUCUCAAUGAUAUAUAAGUCAUUUGCUUAAUUUCAAUAAUAUCCUUUCAGUUUCAUUAUAAAAUUUGGGUUUCAAGUGGAGAGAUAAUUGCAUUAAUUCAUAAUAGAGAAAAUGACUUUUUGCAGGUCAUACACUGUGAUUAACAUGUCCAGCAAUGUAACCCACAUGCAUCCACCAACUAUUAUUGGGUAAGCAACUACUUUCAUUAUAUAAUUUAAAUUAUUUUCAGUAUUAUAUAUUUAAGUUAUUUUUUAUGUAUAUAUAUGUGUGUGUAUAUAAAAUAUCCUUUGGCUAUUAUGUAUAACAGUGAAAAUAAUUUAAAUUAUAGACUUAUUUUCACUAUUAGAAUCAGAGACUUAUUUUAUAAUAUCCAUAAUUUGCUUAAUUUAAAUUAUUUUCACCAUUAGAUAUUUUCACUUGUUUGUAUGUAUAUAUGAUGCAACACGGUAAUAUAAAGUCAUGAUUUGUUCAUCUUGCACCAAAAUUAUGCAAAUUAAGGCGGGGGUGAUCUGGGUUGGGCUUGGCACAAGCCAUAGCUUUGUGAUCCAGGCUUUAGGCCAUAGCCUAAGAUGAUAUUUAUAACAGACAAUAUAACAUAUUCCUCAUCAUUUAUAUUACUUUGAUGUAAAACUUUGUUAUCAAAUUAAGUAAUUAUAUCUUAUUUUGAUGGUUUUGCAGUGUGCAAAAUUCCUCAUCACCAUCGGCACCGUACCACGCACUCUUUGUAUUUCUAAUUCCAUUGCUUGUCGGAGUUAUUGAUAUUAAUAAUGUUCAAGAAAAAAAUAAAUCCUUGAUCGAAACACACCCGAUAAAUAUGUGCCCAUUUCUGUUAGCUCUACUCAUCUACGUCUUUGCAUAUUUUGCUGCCAUAAUAUCGGAGCGUCAAAUCUUCAAGGCGGCUGCUAUGAUCUCAGGAUCUCUUUGCUCAGUCUCAUUGGUCUCCAUUAUCCUACCACACCCAUAUGGACAUUUUAGUUUCAUCAUAUGGACUUUUCUUCUUCUUCUUGUUGCUUAUCACAAGAGGCUUCAUAAGAAGAUUUGGGAAAUUUGGAAUAGAUUUGGAGGAAACAACCAACAAUUAUUGCCAAUGUAGACCUGUUUGGGAUUGUAGUUUAGAAGUUAUAAUACUAAAUGUGUGUUUGGAUAUCAGAAUAAUGUGGUAGUAUAACACUAUUCACAUUAAGUUAUUAUCAAGGGGAUGUUUGGUAAAACUUGGGACCUCAUUGUGGUGUGUUAUAAUGCACCACAAUGACCCAUUUAGCUGCAUUACACAAAUUUAGGGUUAGGGUUUCUAGAUUAGGAGUCCAUAAUUCCCAAAAUUGAUCAUUCUAUAUUUUUUAUUUUAUUCACGAUCAUACCAUUUGUCAUGAAAUAAUACUUAUUGUGAUGAUUUUUAAAAUCAUAGCCAAUUAUUUCGUUCUAGCUCAUGUUAUAUUUUGUAACCAAGAAUAUUUGUUUUAGGACCCAUUAAAUAGUCACCAACUCAAAUGUUUUGCGACCAACAUCGACCAACAUAAAAGGAAACUCUCAUAAUAUAUUUUGCUUGAACCAAAAUGAGAUCAAAACAAGAGAUGUUCAGGCUAUUCAUUUCUUUUGAUUUAUCACUUAUCUACAGAGUAUAAAUAAAAAUACAACAUUUAAAAAAUAAAACAAUGAAAAGAAAUUACCAUUUGGCUGAGGAGUAUAUGCUGUUUCAUGAUCAAUUUUUCUUUUUCUCGCUUGUCUAGGCUGGUAAUACACUGAUACUACAUAAAUCAAUAAACUACCUUUACGAAGGUAAAUGCAUAAAUCAAUUAAGCUUUUUUUUUUAAAUUCAAUUUUUAACCAACAAAAUGUUUAGUAAACGCUAGAAGUGAAAUCCGAAUUUUUAAUUAAUUAUUAUAUGCGAUAUUAAUAGUUUUUUCUUAAUCUCAAAUUUGUCAAAAUUUGUUUGAAGCAGUGAUUUAUAUAUGUAACAGUAAGAGAGCGACACAUGCCGUAAAUUGCCAUCCUAAAUAGAAAAACCUACACCACCUAAAACGGCCAAUAAUAAUAUAGCAUUUCCGAAGACUUGAUAUAAGCUAAGUCUACUGCAAGAGGCCAGGUCAGUAAUAUUCCUUCGGUGGUCUGGUAGUCCAUUGAAGGAGAAAUGUGACUGCUCAUAGAUUAGUUAAAUGUACAUGCUGUUAGCAAACCCAACCGUGUAAAUUGGUUGGCGUAAAUUCCAACUCAUGUACAUCUUUUCAUUUUAAGUGUUUAAUAGAAGUUUUUAAUUUUUUUUUUCAAAAAAAAAAAAAAUCCUUCAUAACUAUUUAUCAAACGUAUAGUAUUGAGAUCCACAUGGACUUAUUAUUACACAAAUACCCAUACUUUAGGACCAAAAGAAAUUAGAAGUAUGAAAAAUUGGGCAUUUUCUAUUGCUUUAUUAUUAAUAGUUUGUUGUGCGUGUAUUUAGUGACAAAUUGGUUGACAGUUGUCUUAUGCAUAUUUGAUGAAAAAAGCACUAAUAAAAUAAUGUUUGUUAGUUACUCAUCUCUAUUUAUCUUAUUUUGAAACAUUUUCGAUAAAAACAAGUUUUGAUAGAAGACAUAUAAGCCAUUGGUUGACCUUUAUUAUUCAUCUAAACGAUUACUCCACCGGUCAAGUCAUUGAGAUCAACCAAUGUUAUAUACAGGCACUGAUCUGUUAUAUAUAAUCCUAAAAUUUCCUAUGUUGUAGGUAAGAUGUAUAAGUCAAAAGUAUAACAAAAAAAUUUAGAGUUUUCAACAGAGAAUAAAAGCGUUAUAAAUAACAGCGAUUGUACUAUAUUUAUUCUCGCUAAUAUUUUUAAAUAUACAAGACAUAUAAUUCAAUAAGUACAUAUUAAAGUUUUUAAAUACAAAUGACUGUGUAUUUUAUAGUGUUGUUUAGUUUGAAACUCACAUUUUAAAAUAUACAAACUUUCGUACAAAAGAGAAUGAUUAAUGUAUUUUAUGAAUGAAUGCAUGAUAUCUUGUAUGAAAAUCCAAGUGUACUCCUUGUUGCAGUAUGCAUUCUAAUAACUAUUUGCUUUUUCUCAUUAUUAGUCCCUCAACAAAAAAAUCUCUAUGAUCUCAAUUAAAUUAUCAAUGUAUUUUACAAACCUAUGUAGAAGCAUGUAGCUUGAUAUCCACCAAUUAGUUAUAUAUUCACUCCAAAGAGAUUUAAACAUUUGAAGCAAUUGAGGGUUGAUCGUCAAGACUACCUUGAGCCUAAAUGUAACAAGGUCUUCUAAUUGAUUUUUUUUUUUUAAAUACAUCAUCAUCUUGACUGUAAGGAGAAUCAUGUACCCAAGAAAUAGAUUCCUUCCAAUGCUAAAUCAUAUGUAAGAUAAAAUAUAUGGAGCAGAUGGAAGCAAUGAAACAUGGUCUAGCAGGAAAUCUAUAGAGAACGGGUUAAACAUGUUUUUGAUUUUGUAACUGUUAAAAGUAAUCUGGACUAUGUGUUUUGUAGUUUAUUUUUUGAAUCCAGCCUACCGGCGGGGCGGGGGCACCAACUCUUAAGUCCCUAACCAAACUCUGUUUUGGCUGCUAGUCCACAUGAGCUAGGUAAUUACAAAAGCACCCGUCAAUUGAAGCUUUUUAAGACAUACAUUAUUAAUGAUUAAAUUUAAAUUAUUUCAUGGACGGUUAUCAUAGAAUUAAUUUGAUUCUAAUAUAACCAUUGUCCUAAUAAACUAAAUCAAUAUCAAUGAAGAACCUUUCCUCGGCAAUAAUAUUUACAAAAUCCCAUGGAACUCCUUAGGCUGCUAUGACUUAGAAAAAUUCAACAGCAUCAUGUCAAUUAACAAGAAUCCAUUUAUUAGCCAACGUCUGUCAUCUCUGUUUUCUUUACAUUUAUUUGUGCAUUGGAAUAUAAAAAAAAAAAAAAAAAAUUCGGAUUGGUUUAAAAUUAUUAUGUUAAUAAAAUAAAAUUGGGCUUGGGCUUUUCAAGUUACAAGUGUGAACUUGCAUUAAUUGCACACAACAAUUUCACAGAAAAUGAUAAACCGUUACAAGUUUUUUUGCACUAUCUUCAUAAAUUCAUUUUGGAUUUUUCCUUCCUUUUGUUAAUAUAACCAGAUUCGCUUAAAUGUCUCAAUUAUGUUAUUAAAAGGUUUUUUAGAAUUUUCUUUCCAACAAACUCUUUAAAUACUUUCUUAUAUAUGAUAACUCUCUGUAUUUUCGUUUGUGGUUUGAUUACAGUCCAAAAUUUAGAAAAAGAAAAAAAUGGAGAACAUAAAGGCUGCAUCAAUGGUGAUGUUUAUAGUCAUAAUGUUAUGUUUUUCAUCAAACAGACCUGGAGUAGAGGGGGUUAGAGGAGAAGAAAAUGAUCUGAUUGAGGCUAUUUGCAAAAAGACCUCGUACCCAGAUGUAUGUAUCAAGACUUUAAGGUCAAGUCCUGGUAGCUCUGGUGCGGAUGUCAAAGGUCUAGCUCACAUCAUAGUUGAAUCGGCAUCAACAUACUCUAAUGAUACGUAUGAACAAAUCAAGAAGUUGCUUAAGGAAACCAAAGAUAAGGCUAUGAGAACUGUCUCGAUGUUUGCUUUCAAGUUUACGAUCUAACUAUCCAUGACAUCCCCAAGGCUAUAAAAUAUCUGGAGAGUGGUGAUUAUGACUCUGCCACAGAGUAUGCAAAUGAUGGAAUAAUUGACAGUGAUACUUGUGAAAGUUCUUUUAAGGAAUUUCCAGAAAUUCCGAAGUCGCCACUUACUGAUAGAAAUAAUGGUUUGACUGAGCUUUGUGUAAUUGCUUUGGAUAUGAUCAACUUGUUAAAAUGAUAAUCUUAGGUGUUAUCCAAAAUAAAUAAAUAAAUCAAGAAUUCUAUUGCUAUUCUAUCAUGUCGAAUGCGUACAUUAUUAGCAAUUUUUAUGUUGAUAUGUCACUUGAGUUCAAAUUUUAAAAGGUAAGGCGUUAAUAAGAAAUUGAUAUGGGUUUUGCUAAAAGACUAAAAAAAUUAAAAUUUUUGUUCAUAGAGGUGGGGAUGGGUUGUGUUUAAUGAGGUUUAUAAAAAUCGAACUCAACUCACUAUUGCUGGAAUGAGAAAAAAUCAAUCUGAUGAGUAUUAAAAAUUGUUUAAUUAUCAAGCAACAAUAAUGUUAUUUUGUACUUAUAUUAUAAUUUAUAUUUCUUUUUAUCUAAUAUAUUAGGAAUUAUUAAUUAUGUCUUAACUAUAUUUAAAUUUGUGUAUUUAUGUGUGUUUUAUUAGGUAAAAUAUUAAUUUCACGUAAUUCGAGACUCCAAACAUAUAAACAUAUAUAAAUUUGGAUUCCGAAGGUCCAAAAAUCUUAAGAUGAGUCAAGACCGGCUUAAAAUUGAGCUUGUGCAAAAAAAAUUUACUUUUUUGUUAACCGAGUACUGAUUGAAUGAUAAAAUGAGCUUACAAUAGAUAUGAGUGCAUGGGAUAGAUGGCAAAUUUGACUAAAUCUCAACCGUUCAUGAUUCAAUGGCCACGAUUGUGCCACGUGGCAAUGUUUGUGAAGCAAGUUAUAGGAUCCGAAUUUUUGUAUUCGGGUCAACCUGAUCCAACCAUUAACUCCCAAAAUCUCAACCGUUCUUUGACCAAAUCGGAUGCUUCACAAGAUACCACAUAUAAUGUUGACUUUUGAAGUUUGAGCAGCUGUUGGAUCUUGAUCUAAUGGUUGUGAGGAGCGCAUGCAUGAAGCUUACGAUAGACUGCAAAGCACUGAAUUAUAAAUUUAUUUUUCUAUAAAUGGAGCCUCAUUUUUAUGUUUUUGAUCAUCUCUUAUUCCUUUCAAUUAUUAGUAAUUUAAUUUUAAUAAUUAUUUUUAUUUCAAUUAUGUUUAGCUAAAAAAUAAUAGUUAGGGUAAUUAAGGUGAACUCUUAGGAAAUAAAUAUGAUUUAAUCAAAUUCAAAUUUUUAUUAUGUAAAUUUAAUUAUUUUCUAUUUAAUUUUAUACAUAUUUUAUAUUUUAAAAUUUUGAUUUAUUGUAGACAAAUUGAUGUAGGAAGUUAAUUUAUGUUAUUUUAGGUAAUUUAGGAUUAUAGAAUAUUUAUUAUUUUAGGAUUUUCUAUUUUAAUUUAAGUCAAUUAUGGUAUGUAUCUUAGUUUUUUGUUUCCAUUAUAAUUGUGAUUUAGUCAAUUAUGGGGGGAGGUGUAGCGGAAACGGGAUUGAUUGGAUAGAAAAUGCUAGAUAUCGUUUUAGUAUUGGACCAAGCCAACACGAUUAGCUUUACACUCUAAUCGAAGCGUGAUUAGAUAUCGUUCUAACCAGGACGACUGAAUGAGAUUUUUAAUAACACAUACAGCGAGAUUAGAUGACGCUCUAAUCCAAACGAUAAUAUAAGAGAGAUUUUGAUAGAUAAUCCCAAAGGAAAUUAUAAAAGGGGAGUUUUAUUGAAUAAUUAAAUCUGAACUUCUCAAAAAAAUAACAAGACCUCUCUAUUUAUAAUAGAGGAAACCCACUUUCCUAAGUUAACGUAAAACAGGAAACUAAAUCAUAAUUAUAAUGGAAAUAAAAGACUAAGAUAAAUACCAUAAUUGACUCAAAAUAAAAUAGAAAAUCCUAAAAUAAUAUAUAUUCUAUAAUCCUAAAUUACCUAAAAUAACGUAAAUUAACUUACUACACCAAAAGUUUUAGGUGUAAACUGGGCACCAGUCGUUGGUAUCAUGGUUUUUGUAGAUGUGUUGAUUUUCUUGAACCUUGUCAAAGCAAAGGUGAUUGCACUGAAAGAUGUCCUCAAAAAUGCCCUGAAAAAACUUUUCUAGUAACUGCCAUUGCAUUUGUAAUUAAUUCUUUGAGCUUGAAAAUAACUUAAGAUGCUAAUUUAACCAUCUAUAAAAUGCAAUAAAUUUCAUAUGCGAUUUAUUUUUUUUAAAAAAAAAAACUUUGGCCACGAUUUCUAGAAAUAUUGCUUUUGAUAAUUAAGAAGAAAAGAAGUAUUGCAUGCAUAAGAGUCUCUAAAAAUAAAUGUGUUAAAACUAGUAGUUUGGAGGCCUAAUUUCAUAUAAUCCAACUAAAAUUUAGCCCAAAAGUUUACACCAAAGUUAUGGAGAGUCCUACUUCAAAAUUGAGAGAAACUCCACUUUUAAAUCAGAAGACUCAAAUCUUCCACCUGAAAAUGAGGUAAACAGGCAUAAAUCACUUCGCCAAAGAGUGGUUGACAUGAGAAAGUGACAUAGUACUUAUCUCCCAGAGACGAAUUGCAUCCAUAUACAUUAAUACUAUAAAAAAACCGUGCUAUAUAUUUCUGGCAAUGCAUUGAUCUUAUCUUGGUUUAGCAGUGAAAGUGAAAUUUUCUGAUGGAAAGUAAUAGGGAAUAGAAUAUUAAAGGAUCAUAUUUAAUUGAGAAUGAUGAUUGUUGAGUGUUAGAAAAUGCAUAUUUAUAAAGGAGAAAACCGUCAUUUUACAUUUCAAGUCUUAUUAACAACCCUUACUUUUAUGUAUUCAACCUUCUUGUGAUUUAAUUAUAUGUGUUUUAUUUUAAUUAAGUAUUUUAUGUAUUUUAGGGGCAUUAUAGUCAUUUCACAAUAAAGGAGAGAUCAGAUGGCAAAACGGACAUCACUUUUGAACUCAGGACGGUCGAAAACCUUAGGAGGGGCAUAAAAGAAAAAAUGGCACUAUUCACAUGUACGGUACUAUUCACGUAUACGGUACUGUAUAUGUUACUGUUCACGGCACUGUUCACAUAGACGGAUCGAUGACGUGGCAUUGACCGAUGAUGUGGCAUUGACUGAUGAGGUGUCACGAUCCUGUUGGACUAAAAUUCUUAUGUACUGUUGAUGGUGACGUGGCAGCAUAUCAGUGGACGAAAAAUCUCGCGUACGGUGCAUGCAUCACACAGGAUUAUUUUCAACCAAACCGCGUUACUGUUCAUCCGGGUCAAACCGUGUUACUGUUCAUCCGCGUGGUCAAACCGUGGACUGUUGACUGAUGACGUGGCGCAAUCCUGAGCGUCCAAACUGUUUUUAAUCCGAUGGCCAUGAUUUACUCCAUGUAUCUAUAAAAAGGGGGCCUUCCCCCCCUAAUUUGAUCUCUCUGAAUCCAUUUUUGGGAUCCAUUUUCUGUAAUUCCUUCUCCAUCUUGUAUUUUCUUUGUAUUUUAAUAAAUUCCCAUUUUGCCCCUAGUUCAAUUAUGAGUGGCUAAUUUUCUUUCAAGCUUGGGUUGAAGGUGAAGUCUCAACAUGUGUCAUGGGCUUAAUUUGGUAAAUUUAUUUUCUCUUCCCCUCUAGUUUUUGUGGAUGUUUUGACUUAUCGUCGACAAAUAAUACUGAUCUUGUCUAGAUACCGCCUUGGUUACACCGGCUCUCUAGUAUAAGGUUAUUAUUAUUUGGCACGAUAAGCCCUUAGCACCAUAUUGAUUAGAGCGUGGUUCAUGAGGUGUGGAUUCCCCCCUCAUGAUUUAAUUGGCAUUAAUACGGAUUAUUUAGCCCAUGAUGCAUGUUGAUACGGAUCCAGAUACCCAAGUACGUCAUUUUAAUAGAAUUCUCUUUAAUUUUAUUCUCGCAAUUACAAUUCCAAUUUUAGAAGUUAUUCUCGCCAUUUUAAUUUAAGUUUUAGCAUAUUCCAAAUCAUUUCCACCACAAAUCCAACCACCAAUUUACAAAAUUAAUUCUAUACACAAUUAAAAUCCACCUCCUCGUGGGAUCGACACUCGUCACCAUUGAUCUAUACUACAAUAGAUUCGUGCGCUUGCGAGUACAUUAAAAUUUGCACAACAAUGAUGUCAUGAAAAUAUAUUAUCUUAUUUAUGUUCUUUGAGAUGUUAUUAAUCAUUUAACUUUUAUAUUUUUACCCUUAAUUUGUAAGGGUACAAAUAUAAAAAUAUUAGUUUUCAUUUUUUAAAUUUAAAAAACGAACAACUUCAUAUUUAUUUUUAGCGAUUCAGAAAAAAAAAAUAUGAACAUGCUAUUCAGAUUCAGAUAUUCAGCUCUAUUCAGAUUUCAAAUAAAAAAACAAACGCCAUCCAAGUAUUUUGAUGAAUUGUGAGAGGGAAUUAAUUAGUUUCAGACAACCACAUGGGAUUUUAAUCAUUUUCCCCUCUAAAUGACACGUAUCUCAAAAGGUAGUGUAUAGGUUGUCCGUGUUCUAUGAUUUAUUACCGAUGUACAAAGUAUAAAUAAAAAUAUAACUCUUCAAAAAAUAAAAUUGUUCGAGUUGGAUUUUUCUGAUAGUGACUAGAAAUAUAGUCGACCCCAAUCUACUCAGAACUUAUUGCUGUUGACCUGACCUCAUUAGUACAACUGGAGCCUAUGUUGGCGACCUGAUUUACAAGUACGACCUGAGGUUUAUAUGAAUGACGUGGUUUAAGAAUACAACCUUAAGCCUCUAUGAGCGACCGGGAGAUUCACCAGUCCAAUCUAGAAGUGAAGUAAUCCGACCUCGAAAUUCAUUGGUCCAACCCGAGAAUUAGCUUAACAUGAAAAUUAUUGGUUAAGAUAACGUGGCCUAAUUUCUAGGAAAGUUGUGUGCCAUGAUUUAUUUAAACCACUUCCUACUAACAACUGCUUGAAACUGCUGAGCAAAGUGGGCUUAAACUAAGGAGAUAACCUCCCAUAACCAAGAGCCUAUUUAAGCUGAAGAGGGCAACAGAGGAAUGAGUUAGAAAAAUCAACCAAAAUAUUCUACAAGCCACCCAUUUAAAAGCCUUAACAUUCCCUACAAGAUUUUCAACUCCUCUACCAGAAAAAUUCCUUGAUUUUAACUUUUCACAAUUCUUCUUUCUCAUUCUUCCUCCUCUUAUACACAAUUUCUAACUUAUGUAUCAGAGGGUCUACGCCGGAACCCCACCGAUAUAUCCUAACCGUGUUUUCUGGUUGGUAGGUAUAUAAAGUUACGAUCACACCGAUGUUUGAGCUUGGAUUCGUGUUGUUAUCCCAUAAAGAAAACAAAUUCAGUUAUUGAGGUGUUGGCGUCGUCUGUGGGUAACGGUGCAAAAAGCCAUACAUUUUAGGAUUUAAAGGGAGAAGACUAUCAGAUUAGAAAAUUGCAAUGGAUGAUGACCGAGAUAGGCAGACCUUGUGCCAAUUGGCGGAGGAAAUAAAUGCCAUUGCAGAUAAGAGAUGGAAAGUAGGGAUCGAGAGGCAAAUGGCAAGCUUUGAGGAGAUGAUCAAGGGGUUGGUUGAUUCUCAAGUCAGAGGGGCUCAAAUUCGAAAUAGUGAUCCAGAGAGUAGGGGGGAAGAGAAAGAAAAGAGCUUGGUGGUGAACACCAGAGUGGGAUGAGGCUACCUCAAGUUGGGGUACGAUAGAAUAAUAGAAGUGCAGUAGAACAAGUGAAUGAGUUGAGGGGGAGAAUCAAUGACCUGAAUAAUGAAAGGGAAAGGGAAGAGCUGAGAGACCCCCAAUAGGCAAAUGAGCUUGAGCAGCGAAUGCUGCAAUUUCAAAAAACUCUAGAGGCAUUAGAGGUGAAAACGGAGGGCUAAAACGUGGUAGAAAGGUUUUUACUUGAUGACGAGUCCCCCCUUGGUACCUGAAGAGAUGGCGGUAACUUUGCCACCCAAGUAUGUGGUUCCAGCCUUAGUGUAUUAAGAAAAAACUGACCCGAAUCAUCAUGUGGAGAAGUUUAAUGAGAUGACCGGGAUUCAAGGUUUGAAUGAUUUUCAAAGGUGCCGUGUUUUUUCUUUAACUCUAGAAGGACAUGCACGGGAAUGGUACCAGAGAUUAAAGAAUGGAAGCAUAGGAAUUUCAAGGAGUUAUGUGAGCUUUUCACUAUGCAUUUUAGAGGUUCAUACAUACUAGAGUAGGAUACAAGCAAGUUGAAAAAUUUGGUCCAAGGAGAAUUUGAAAGUUUGAGGAGUUUCGUGAUCAGUAUCAUAAAAAGGUUAUCGAUCUAGGGGCCUUUGAUCAUUCAGAUGCUCUGAAAUGAUUAAAGAAGGGGUUGAGAAUCAAUCGAUUAUGGAAUAGCUUAUAUAGUAAAGGGAUAAUAACAUACGCUGAGGCAUACGACCAAGCAAAAUUAGAUACGAAAGCUGAAGAUGCAGAGGAAGAAAAAAGGAGAAUAGAAUUGCAGACAAUGGGUCCAGUGAGAAGGGGAGACCCGAGAAGAAAAUGAGAUAAUUUUGGGUAUAGCUCGAGAAUGAACACGAAUGAUAGACGUCAUUACAAUAAAGGUUGUUUAAUUACAGACGACCAGAAAGGCCGGGUCGAGAUUGGGAAAGAAAUCGUGCAAGAAGAUAAAUCUCAUUAAUAGGUAGGGACUGAGAGGGAGGAAAUAAUUAUGGGAAGAAUUAGCGGGAGAACCGAUAAGAGAGUAUAAUAGGUUGCCACCGCCUGUAGAUCGAAAAGGAUCGAGAUCUGACCAUAGGGUGAACUUAGUAGAGCAGGGCGAAAGAUACACUCCACUGAACACAGGCAAAGUAAAAAUUUAUGUUUUAAUAAAAGAUAAGGGGUUCCAAAGCCGAUUGUAGGGGGUCUAGGCAGAAGUGCUCGCCACAAGUAUUGCGAGUUUCACAAGGUGUCUGGACAUGGAACAACAGAUUGCAUAAACUUAAAAGAGCAGAUUGAGUAGCUAGUGCAAAAUCAAUAACUAAAGGAGUACGUGGAUGACCAAGGAAGUGGUGGGAGAACGGGGAACAUUAGAGAUAAUAUGGCGAUGAUGAUUAUGGGAGGGCCGACCCUAAUAAGAGACUUAAACCGUUCAAGGAGAAAUUACAUCAUAUAUUCAUUAAAAAGUUAUGAGGUGAAUUUUAAUAUUCCGGCACAAAAAAAACAGCGGGUUCAAAGGGUGCCAAUCAUGUUCACAAAUAAAGACGAGGAAGUGGUCGCACAUCCACAUGAGGAUGCACUUGUAGUGAAGGUUAUGUUGGCAGGGCAUGAGUUGAAUCGAGCUCCUGUGGAUAGGGGAAGCUCAAUCGACAUUUUAUUUAAGCAAACCUUGGAAGAUCUACAAAUAGGGGACCUCAAGUUUGAUCCUGUCAAAACACCGUUAAAGGGGUUUGGCAGAGCUGAGCUAAUUCCCCUUAGGGUGAUUGACUUAACACUAACAAUAGGGUCUAGCCCACUACAAAAGACAGUAAUAGUGACAUGGGUAAUAGUUAAUGAGCCUAGCCCUUAUCAAGUUAGUUUGGACAGACCAUUCAAUAGGAUAGUAUGAGCGGUGAGCUCAACCCACAUUGUAAAGUUUAGAGUUCAAAGUGGGGUUGGAGUGAUAAAGGGCCAGCAAUAAGCAAUUCGAAGCUGUUACGCUAUAAUAGCGAGAGAAUCCAUGCAAAUCAUAAGUAUCGACCCACAAGCUGAGACUAGAUUGUGCCAACAACGACCUAAUGAAGAAAUGAAGCAAGUGCCAGUAAGUGAGGAUGACCCGAGCAGAGUGGAAAGUGUGGGAACAAAAAUAACGGAUCACAUUUCUAAUGAGCUUCAGAAUUUAUUAGUGGAGUACAAUGAUAUAUUUUCUUGGAGUCAUGAAGAUAUGCUGGGAAUAGACCCACGAAUUAUGUGUCACCACUUGUCUAUAGAUAAAAGACAUAAGACCAUGAAGUAGAAAAGAAGAGUAUUUAACCAGGAAAGGUAUGAGGCCAUACAUGAUGAGGUAGAUAAACUGUUGAAAGCGGGGUUUAUAAAGGAAGUGAAUUAUCCAGAAUGGGUUUCGAAUAUGGUAAUGGUUAAGAAGGCGAAUGAAAAAUGAAGGAUGUGUGUAUACUUUACCGACCUUAACAAAGCUUGUCCUAAAGUAGUUUCAUUCUCUCAAAGAUUGAUCAGUUAGUGGAUUUAACAGCUGGGCACGGCUUGAUGAGUUCUAUGGAUGCACUCUCAAGAUACAACCAGAUUCGCAUGUCCGCAACAGAUGAAGAAAAGACAGCUUUUGUGCCCAACCAAGGAUUGUAUUGCUACCAUGUAAUGUCAUUCGAAUUAAAAAAUGCAAGAGCUUUUUAUCAGAGGUUGGCAAACAAGCUCUUCAAGCCUUUGAUUGGUAAAACGAUAGAAGUAUAUAUAGAUGACAUAAUAACCAAGUCUGUUGAGCUGGCCAAACGGGCAGCGCAUUUACGUGAGAUGUUUGAAGUGCUAUGAAAGAAUCAAAUGAAGUUGAAUCUAGAAAAGUGUGCCUUUAGAGUGGAGUUGGGGAAGUUUUUAGGCUUAUUGGUUAGUCAAAGGGGGAUAGAAGCUAAUCUAGAAAAAGUAGAGGUGAUCAUCAACAUAAGAUCACCGAAGGACCUUAAAGAUGUUCAGAAUCGUGCUGAGCGGGUUCAUUUCAAAAGCAUCAGAUAAAUGCCAUUCAUUUUUUAAAUUGAUCAAGAAAGGAAAAAGAUUGAAGUGGUUAGAAGAAUGUGAAACAACAUUUUAACAAAUGAAGGCGUAUUUGGCCAAUGUACCAAUUCUAGCUAAGCCCUCAGUAGGUGAUGCUCUCUUGCUCUACUUGACGGUCUUAAAUUAUUCAACUACCUCGGUUUUGGUAAAAGAAAAAGGUAGAGUCCAACGUCCGGUAUACUAUACGAGCAGAUCUCUUACAGGGGCGGAAGUAAGAUAUCUUAUUGCGGAAAAGUGGGCGAUGGCUUUAGUUGUAGUCGCAAGAAAGCUGAGGCUAUAUUUCUAAGCUUAUGAGAUUGUGGUUGUCACCAAUCAACCUUUGAGACAAAUUUUUCACAAACAAGAUAUUUCAAGAAGGCUAAUUAAGUGGUCAGUAUAACUAAGUAAAUUCAACAUCAGUUACCGACCGAGGUCCGCAAUUAAAGCAUAGGCUCCGGUAGACUUCAUCAACGAUUAUAGUAAAGGGAGUAAAGAGAUGGAUACCGAACAGGAGACUAAAGGUGUAAAAAAAAAAGAAUGAUAUAUGGGAACUUAAUGUAGAUGGAGCUGCAAACCCAGAACGGUUAGUGGGGGAAUUGUUCUGGUUUCGCCUAACCAAGAAGAAGUGUGCUACACUCUCAAGUAUGAAUUCCAACCUAUAAACAAUGAAGCAGAAUAUGAAGCUUUCAUUACAUGUCUAAAAUUAUUAAAGGCAUUGGGGGUUCGGCAUUUGAAGGUGAAGAGUGACUCGCAACUAGUAUUGAAUUACCUGAAUGAGAUAUUUCAAGCCAAAAGUGAGAACAUGACCAAGUAUUUGAGCAAAGCACUACAACUAUGGGGUAGUUUUGAUCAAGCUACAAUGGAGCAAGUUCCGAGAGGAGAGAAUUACCGAGCAGAUUAUAUAGUAAAACUAGCAGAUACAGAAUGCCCAAAGUUUCCAUGAGAAAUCCCAUUGGAGUCGGUUUCAAAGCCAUAUAUAGCUAAUCUUGAGAUAGAAGUUUGUAUGGUAGAAUAUGAGAAGAGCCUGAUGAUGCAUAUCAUAAGGUACAUUGAAUUUGGGGAAUAACCUUAAAAUAAAGCAGAGGCAAGAAGGCUGCGAUUCCAGGCAACACGAUACUUCAUUAUCGAAGGUGUACUUUUAGGAGAGGUUAUACUUUACCUUACGUAUGAUAUUUGGGCUCGGCUGAUGCCAAUAAUAUGAUGAGGGAGGUGCACGAGGGAAUUCAUGGAGAUCACGGUGGAGGUACGACAUUGGCCCAUAAAAUAAUAAAGCAAGGUUAUUUUUAGCCAACUAUGCAUGAAGAUGAGCGAGAGUUAGUCCGAAGAUACGGUGAAUGCCAAAAGUUUGUUGUAAUUACAAGACAACCACUAGAAAACAUGAUGACAAUGGUGAACACUUAUCCAUUUGUAUAAUGGGGGGUGGAUCUUAUCGGACCUGUGCCGACCAGGAGAGGCCAAAUGAAAUACGCAAUGGUGGCUAUUGACUAUUUUACUAAGUGGAUUGAAGUUGAACCGCUUUAAAAAAUAAUGAGAAACAAACAAUAGAUUUCAUAUGGAGGAAUGUGAUUUGCAUAUAUGGCCUACCGCAAGUUAUUAUCACCAAUAAUGGAAUUCGGUUCAAUAAUGCGAAUUCAAGAAGUUUUGUGCUCAACUCGGCAUUGAGCUUUGGUUUAGUUCACAAGCUCAUCCAAAGGCAAACGAACAAGUGGAAGUGGCGACCAAAACUACAAAGCAGUUGUUGAAGAAAAGAUUGGAUGAGAAGAAGGGAGCUUGGGUGGAUGAGCUUCCAGGAGUGUUGUGGGCUUAUAGAACGAUCGCAAAGACUUCAACGGGGGAGACUGCAUUCUCACUUGCUUUCGGACAUGAGACAGUAAUCCCAACUGAGGUUGGCAUUGAGACACAUCGCACAAAAUAUUAUGAUGAGAUAGGGAACAAAUAACAGAUGUUGUUGGAUUUAUAUUUGCUUGAUGAAAAGAGAGGGGCAGCAAGAGGUCGAGCAGUAAUUUACCAGCAAAAAGUGGCUAAGUUUUACAAUAAGAAUGUUCAACUGUGACAACUUCAGGAGGGGGACCUGGUGCUCCGUAAAGUCAACCAAUCAAUCAAAAAGCCAACUGAUGAAGUUCUAAGGCCGAGCUGGGAAAGGCCAUACAAAGUACUACACUCAUUUGGUAAUGUUGCAUACAAGUUAGGUUAUCCGGAUGGCAGGGUCAUCGACAAGGCAUGACAUGCAGAGCAGCUAUGAAAAUACAAUCAAUAGGCUAAUCUUAUCAAUAUUGUUCUUGUUUGUUUUCUUUAAAUAUAAUAGGAAAGUUUGCUUUAAUAUAAUAGGAAAGUUUGCUUAUUUGUUAUUUCAAUUUGUUCAUGUUUAAUUCUGUAAUUUUUGUUAUAUUAAUAUCAAUAAAGUUAUUCAGAAGUGCAACUCUUAAUAUUUCUCUACUUGUGAUAGGUCUUAUUUGAGAUCAAGAUCUACAUUCGGGCCUUAUUGAGGUCUGACGUGAAUAAUUUAUCUAAUCUUAUUGAAAUUGAGAUCGGUUUUUGGCCUUGUUGAGGUCCGACGUGAAUCAUUUAUCCAAUCUUAUUGAGAUUGAGAUCAACUUUUGGCCUUGUUGAGGUCUAAUGUGAAUAAUUUAUCCAAUCUUAUUAAGAUUGAGAUUGACUUUUAGCCUUAUUGAGGUCCAACGUGAAACAUUUAUCCUAUUUUAUUGAGAUUGAGAUUAACAUUUAGGCCUUGUUGAAGUCCUAUGUGAAUAACUAUCCAAUCUUAUUGGAGAUUGAGAUUUACAUUUAGGCCUUAUUAAGGUCCUAUAUGAAUAAUCAUUCGGUCUUAUUUUAGAUUGAGGUCGACAUUUGGAGAGUUCUUACAUGAAUAACCAUCCUCUCGUUCGAAAAUAAGAGUUCAUAGUUGGGCAUUAUUGAGGUCCAAUGAAAAUAUGUUGACCCGGACUUACCACGAUCAAGGUAAGAAGUUAAAUUUUAGUCUUAUCAAUGUCCAACCUAAUUUAAUCAUUUGAUAUUCUCAUUUAAAUUAUUUACUCCAACGUUAGUCAGAUAGAUAUUGGUUAUUUUACAAUCAUCCUCGCUUCAUUUAGGUUGACGAAUUGUUAUAAUUCUGUUAAGUUUGAAAUUGUAGGUUGAGGUCGACACUUUAGUUUUGUGAGAUCUACGAUUGAGGUCGACGUUUCAGCUUGGUAAGAUCUAUAGCUGAGGUCGACAUUUUAGUUUUAUAAGGCUUACGGUUGAGGUCGACACUUUAGCUUUGUGAGAUAUAAGGUUGAGGUCGACAUUUUAGUUUUGUGAGACCUGCGGUUGAGGUUGACACUUUAGUUUUGUGAGAUAUACGGUUGAGGUCGAUGUUUUAACUUGGUAAGAUCUACGGCUGAGGUCGACAUUUUAGUUUUAUGAGGCCUACGAUUGAGGUUGACAUUUUAACUUUGUGAGAUCUAAGGUUGAGGUUCACAUUUUAGUUUUGCAUUGUGAGGUCUACAGUUGAAGUCAGCAUUUUAGUUUUGUGAGAUCUACGGUUAAGGUUGACAUUUUAGCUUGGCAGGAUUUACGGUUGAGGCGUACAUUUUAGCUUUAUUAGGUCUACGAUUGAGGCUGACAUUUUCGCUUGGUAGAGAUUACGGUUAAGGUUGACAUUUUAGUUUUGUGAGAUCUACGGUUGAGGUUGACAUUUUAGCUUGGUAAGAUUUGUGGUUGAGAUCGACAUUUUAGGUUUGUGAGGUUUACAGUUGAGGUCAACAUUUUAGCUUGGUAGGGCCUACGAUUGAGGUCGGUAUUUUAGUUUUAUGAGAUCUGCGGUUAAGAUUGACAUUUUAGCUUUGGUAGGAUCUACGGGUGAUAUCGAUAUUUUAGCUUUGUAAGGAUUUAUGGUUGAUGUUGACAUUGUAGCUUGAGGUCUAUGGUUGAGGUAGAUCUUUUUUCGAGGUCUAUGGUGAGGUCAACAUUUGUGCUUCUUAAGGUCGACAUUUCCAGCCUAGUUACAGUCGGCAAUAGCCUAAACAUCUUUAGUCUUGUUGUGGUCGGCAUUAGUUUUGUUAAAAAUUAGUGUGCAUGGUACAUAAUGAUUAUCCGAAUACAAAAACAAAAUGAAAGCUCCACAAUGGUUAUACAAGUUCGUAACACUACAAAAAAGCAAGCCGUAUAGCAACUUUUCAAAUACACUUAGGAAGCAUUCUCCUCGUCUUCAACAACUCUACUAGUUAAGGAUGUCUCACCCUCUACUCUAAUCUCAUCACCCUGAAGAACUCGAUUUGCUUCUUAAUCCAUACCCGAUGAUUUCUUCCUAGCCUUUUCUUUGCUCACAUAAGCAGUCAACAUCCAUUGAAAGUCCAUGUCCGAGUGUUUUUCUUGGAACAAUUUGAUGCAUGUCAAAAUGACAUCUGCCUUCAGUUGCCUUUUCUCCAAUCAAAUGCGUUGAUCAACAUCAUACUUAACUUUUUCCAACUCAUAACUAGGAUCGGCAAUCUUGGAGUCUUUGCUCGCAUUAGAUUUCUUUUUAGUUACUAAGUCUUAUGUCAAGUGAGUAUUUUCCUCGUUACGAGCAUUGAGGUCACGCUUGAGCCGAUCUUGCUCGCUUGUUGUCUUUUUGUUAGUGAGGUUGGCUUUCAUCAGAGCGCACUCGAGUUCUUCUAUUUUCGCAUGGCCUUUCAAUGACUUCGCAAAAGUCUCGAUAUGCGCAACCAUUAUCAAAGAUUGCUAGAAAAGAAAGCAUGUCAACUAUGAUGAAAAGUAUAAACAUACAUCAAAGAAAUAAAGGUUGUGAAUUAAUACCCACCUUAGCUUAGUUUCGAGCAAGCCUUCAAGAGCAUGGUAGCCGACAACUGUGAAAAAUUUUCGAGGGUAUCCUGGCUCAAAAACCGAGCAGCUAAGUUCACCAUAAGUAGUAAGUCCUCCGCUCUUCCUCGCUUUGACUCUAUGAUGUCACUGCUUUUAAGUAAGCUCCCUUUCAGACAUAUUGGGGAAGGGGUAGGUCGUAAAAUGCGCAAGGGACAAGAGUCGCUAGCUCAGUCACUUUUGCUCUGAGAUAGCACGUUGCGAGCUGAACCGCAUGUUGUUUCUCUUUUUUCUCAUUCGCCUUGUUUUUUUGCGAUGCCCAUCGUGGUUUUUUACUAUGUGGUUCGCCUUCCUCAUCCGAUAUCUCCUCGAUCAAAGCUUUUGCAAUUUCUGUAGGGGUACACUUGGCAGUAGACAUGUUUCCUACGACAAUAGCAACAACACUAAAAUUAGUGAAUUUUUGGCAUAAGACAACAAGGAUAACCACUUAGUAAAAUUUUACCUUUUGUUUUCUUUUUCUUGCUGUUAUGUGGUAGAUUGGAAAUGAGACCGCUGCUCAACAAUCUCUCGGGUGUCAACAACAGCUUUCAAUCCUCUGCAUUUAGCAAUUCUUUCUCAACUCUAGCACUUGACUUCUCACUUAUAUCAACGUUCUUCUUCCAAGCCACUCUAGUAAAAACACGUAUUAGAUUGUAUCCUUAUUUCGACCUCAACCUGAAUAAAACUUGCAUUACUUGGUCUACUAAAAUGAGUGGGAACCUUAAACCAACCCUUGGUCAGCUCUACAUCCCUACCCCAAUUACCACCCACCACAAAAUACUUGUUUUUCCAACCUCAACAUGAGCCUGGAAAGUCAAGUACUAUUCUUCUACUCUUUAAUUUUGACAUAAAAUAGUAUCAUCCUUUGUGUGAUUGAUCCCAUGUUCAUUACAUGAAUAUAAGUGAGUAAACUCCUUAAAACAAGGCUCAGUUUUGUUAUGCUCAGCCCAUACAACAUACAUACCACCUAAAAUCUUCCAGCCAUUUGGGUCAAGCUGACCAGGACUCAAACCCAUCCUUACCAACAUUCGAGCAAAGUAAGGUUAAAUAGGCUAGUUUAAACAUUUCCAUAUAAAUCAAAGUUUCUCCAUCACCAAAUCUGCUCGCCAUCUCAUCUUCGCCCUACAACCUCAUUGUAAUACUGUUGGUAAUCUGAUAUUCCUUCCUCAAUUCUUCAACCUCUUUUUCUCUGUGUAUAUAUAUAUAUAUAUAUAUAUAUAUAACGAACGAAAUAGGAAACGAGGGGCAUAUGACACUCACCAUCUAGCUCUAUUUUGGCUAAACUUCGUCAAUUUUUUUUAUUAGCACAGACGGCUGCAAUUCAACAUUUCAAUGGGCUUCGCUGUGAACAAGUGGAGAAAGUGAGUUCAUGUCACACGAGCCAAAUAUCUUGAGAAAGUGACAAACAUGCAUGUUUUUAAUAUACACACUUCAAGUCACGUGCCAUCAUUACCCUUUAUGGUUUUAUUGUUAUUAUUAUUAUUAUUUUGUUUUGUUUUGUUUUCUUCUUUCAUUUUCUUUUUCUGUUUCUUUUCUCUAUUCUUUUUGCCAAAUUUCUUCAAACUUUUAAAACUAUUAAUCUUGGCAUUAUCUCUGUUCCGCUCUACACCAUCGUUUUUCCGCUGACGGCCAUAUUGCUCUUUCUUUUUUGUUUCAGUUUCCAAUACCAUUCAUGUCUUCUCAGUAUUGAAAACUAGGGGCUGGUGUUAGGUUCACAACAAAUUUUUGUUUUUCAUUAAUUAGUUUCCAACAUUGGUAAUGGCUUCCUAGUAUUGAAAACGAGGGGACUAGGGUUCGAGUUGGAUUUUUCUGAUAGUGACUAGAAAUAUAGUCGACUCCAAUUUACCUAGAACUUAUUGUCAUUGAGCUGACCUCAUUAGUACAACCUGGAGCCUAUGUUGGCGACCUGAUUUACAAGUACAACCUGAAGUUUACGUGAAUGACCUGGUUUAAGAAUACAAUCUUAAGCUUCUAUGAGCAACUAGGAGAUUCACCAAUCCGAUCUAGAAGUGAAGUAAUCCGAACUCGAAAUUCAUUGGUCCGACCCGAGAAUUGGCUUGACAUGAAAAUUACUGGUUAAGAUAACGUGGCCUAAUUUCUAGGAAAGUUGUAUGCCACGAUUUAUUUAAACUACUUCCAACUGACAACUACUUGCAACUGCUGAGGAAAGUGGGAUUAAACUAAAGAGGUAACCACCCACAACCAAGAGCCUAUUUAAGCUGAAGAGGGCAACGGAGGAACGGGUUAGAAAAAUCAACCAAAAAAUUCUACAAGCCACCUAUUUAAAAGCCUUAACAUUCCCUACCAGAUUUUCAGCUCGUCUACCGAAAAAGUUCCCUGAUUUUAACUUUUCACAAUUCUUCCUUCUCAUUUUUCUUCCUCUUAUACACAAUUUCUGACUUAAGUAUCGGAGGGUCUAUGCCGGAACCCCACCAGUGUAUGCUAACUGUGUUUUCUAGUUGGCAAGUAUAUAAAGUUGCGAUUAGACCGAUAUUUGAGCUCGGAUUCGUGUUGUUAUCCCCUAAAGAAAGUAAAUUCAGCUGUUAAAGUCAUUUUUCGGCAUCAACAAAAACAAUGAAAAGAAAAUCACCAAUUGGCUGAGGAGUAAAUGUUGUUACGUGAUCAAUUUUUCAUUUUCUCCUUUGUCCAAGAUGGUAAUGCACUGAUUCUAAGUAACGCGUUUUUGAAUUGGGGGCGGGACCAGACCCCAACCCAGUCACUUAAAGCUCUUAAUUCUAGACCAUUAAUUAGUCAAAAGCGCCCAAAACAUUCACUUAGUAGACCUAAUAUAGUCCACAAAUAGGUUAUAGCUUUCUUAUUCUUUUUGGCGACCCAUUUAAGAUAAAAAUGACAAAGUCUGAAUUAUGUUACAAUAUGAACAACAUCAUGAAGUUAAGUCACUUUGAAAGACUUUUGACAAAGUCUGCAACAUCAUGAUUGCAGUGGAGUAUAGUAAUUUUGCACCCUCCUCUCUCCCACUAUCUGCCAUUUCAUUUCAUUUCAUUUUCAUCUCCGGAUGAUUUCUGAUAUGAGCAAAAGAUACUAUUGAUCCAUCUUCCCUUAUUUUAUUUUUUAUAUUAUUGUUUCUUCCCUCUCUCUAUUUUUUUCUUCGUUAUUUUCAAUAUGCCCACUCUUUUAUUUAUGCUUCUCCAUGUCUAAUUAUAUUUAAAUUUGCUUUUGAAGUAGAUUGUUAUUAAAGUUAUACAAACUAACGUUCAUAAGUUUGCCAAUUUUCUUAGUUCUCCUCUAUAAAUAACAUACUAUCAUCACGAAUUUUCUUAUUACUUGACUGUUGUUUAUCCAGUAUUUAGUUCUGACUUAUCCAACUUGGCUAUCUAUUUGAAGUUUAAACCAUGAGUUGCCACGUUUUUAUAUUGUUCUUGAGUGGCUAAAUAUAACGCAUGUAUGCAUAAAAAGUUUUGAGCUAAUUAAACAUAAUUUUCUAUUUUAAAAAAAAAACCGAUAUCGACCUAAAGAUAAUUUUGUAAAAAAAAAAAAGAAACUAGCCAAUUAAACUUAAUUCUCGUUAGAUAGUUAUGUUAUAUUGAUAAAUAUGAAAUAGGUAAAUAGAAGAUUCACGAGGUGUGUGAUGAUCAACAUAAAAAUAAGUUAUCAAUCUAGUUGAUAUUUUGACAUUCUAAAUGUAACCAGGGUCCAGGUACCUUGCAACAGUCGUAAGGUACCACAAAUUUUUAUCUUUUGUGAUGUCAAAUUUUAUUUAACCCCUUAUCUUCCUUUUUAUUUAUAGUUUAUUUAUAACAUUAUGUAUUUUGGCAGGUGACUUUUUAUAAUAUAAUUUUAUUUUAUUUAAUAUUAUUUACUUUUUAUUUAUAAGUUUAUGUGCUUUGGCUAGUGAUCUGUUAAAAUGUAAUUUUAUUUCAUUUAAUAUUAUUUAACUUCUAAAAGAAUAAAUAUAACAAUAAGCUUAUGACUAGAUAAUAUUAAAUAAUAUUUUUAAUAAAAUAAAAAUAUUAUAAAUAUAUUCUUUUAAAUAAAAUAAUAUUUUAUUUUUUAGGACUCACAAUUGCUUAUUCUAUUUUAUUUAAUAUUAUUUAAUUUUGAAAAAUAAAUAUAAUAAUAAGUCAUGACUAAAUAAUAUUAAAUAAAAUAAAAUAAAUUUUAUUAAAAAUAAUAUUAAUUUUUUGAGACUCAUUACUGAUUCUUUUAUUUUAUUUAACAUUAUUUAGUUUCAUGAAGGAAUAAAUAUAAUAAUAAGCCUAUGACUAUAUAACGUUAAAUAAAAUCAAAUAAAUAAUAUUAAAAAUAUUUAUUUUUAUUAAAAUAAAUAAUAUUAAAAUUUUAUCCUUUUGAAUAAAAUAAAUAAUAUUAAUUAAAAUUAUAUUUUUUUAAGACUCACAACCGAUUAUUUAUUUUAUUAAUAUUAUUUAGUUUUUUAAAGAAUAAAUAUAAUACUAAGGUGGCGUUUGUUUUUUUAUCUAAAAUCUGAAUAGACCUGAAUUAAUCUGAAUUCUGAAUAGAUCUGAAUGUCUGAAUCUGAAUAAUAUGUUUAUUUUUUUGUCUGAAUCUCGGAAAAUAAGUAUUAAGUUGUUUUCUUUUUUCAACUUAAAAAGCUGAAAAUAUGUACUUUUAUAUUUGUAUCCUUAUUAAAUUUGAAUGUCAAAUAAAUAAUAAAUUAAAUACCACAAUAUUUUAACAUUUAUAAGUAAAACUAUAUUCAAGUGAAUACAUAAUUAUUUUAGAAUUUUAAUAUAUAAAAUACCAUAAAUUUUAAAUUUUAUCGUAUAUAAUAUAAGAAAGAAAAAAUAGAGAAAUUUUUAUGUGGAGUAAAUGUCUAUGGGUGAGUUUUGGGAUAGACAUGAAAAAUAAAUUAUAAAGCAGGGAUAUUUUUGACAUUAGCAAGUAAUUGACUUAAUUCAUAUUUCUCCAUUAAGUAAAAAGCCAAAAAAAUUGGCUUAUUUUAUUAAGUCAAAAUUAUCUAAAAAGUCUCAUUAAGUUAUAAAAACAAACACUUCUAAUUAACUUAAAUAAUUAAGUUAAGUCACUUUAAGUCAUUAAGUUAAAAAACAAACGCCACCUAAGUCUGUAACUAAAUAAUAUUAAAUAAAACAAAAAUAAAUACUAUAAGUAAUAUUAAAUAAAACAAAAAUAAUUAAGAUUAAUUUUUUUUUAAUGCUCACUACUGAUUAUUUUAUUUUAUUUAAAUUUUUUAUUUUUUUUUGAAAGAUUAAAUACAACAAUAAGCAUGUAACUAAAUAAUAUUAAAUGAAAUGAGAAUAAAUAAUUUUAAAUAAUUUUUUUAAUAAAUAAAUUAUAUUAAAAAUUAAUUUUUGAAAUAAAAUAUAUAUUAUUAAAAUAAAGGGAAUUUAUCAUUGCACCACCUUUAUUUUGCAUUAUGUUCAUCCAACCACUACAAAAUUUUAACAUGUACUUUGCACCACCUUUAUUUUCACAUUUGUAUCAACUAGUCACUUUUACAUUAACACUAUUAAAUAAUUUUAAUAAAAUGAUAAUUUUACUUCCAAAUAAAUUAAAAGACUAUUUUAUCUUAUAAAAACUUUUAAAAUUAAAAAUUAUGAUCAUAAAAAUAUCCCUAAAUUUAAUAAAAAAUAAAUCUAAAAUAGAGGUGAUCAACAGAUUUUUACUAAAUUUAGAUUUUACAAAAUUUUAAUAAUUAUUUUUAUUAAAAAUUAUAAUUUUACAAAAUUUUAAUAAAAAUAAAUUAAUUAAUUUAUUAAAAAUUAUAAUUUUUUAAAAUUUUAUUAAAAUAACUGAAUUUAUUUCUUAAAAGAAUAAAUCCUAAAAUUGUAAUAAUUUGGGGGAUCUUUAUUAAAUCCCAAAAUUUUGCAAUUAUUUUUAUAAUAUAAUUUUAUAUUAAAAUAAUUUUUAUUAAAAAUAAAAAUUCUAAUUUUGGGAUUUAUUUUUAUGAAAUUUAGGGAUAUUUUUAUCGUUAUAUUUUUAUUUUUUAAAAUUUUUAUAAAAUAAAAUGGUCUUUUAAUUUAUUUGGGGGUAAAAUUAUCAUUUUAUUAAAAUUAUUUAAUAGUGUUAAUGUAAAAGUGACUAGUUGUUGCAAAUGUGAAAAGAAAGGUGGUUGAAAGUACAUGUUAAAACUUUGUAGUGGUUUGAUGAACAUAAGGCAAAAUAAAGGUGGUGCAAUGAUAAUUUUCCUAAAAUAAAAUUUAUUUUUUAAGACUCACUACUAAUUAAGCAAUAUAAAAUUUUAAAUAAUUUGGAUUUAUGUGCUAAAAAUUUUAAUUUUUUAACUCUUUUGCGCUUUUGAUAAAUAGUAGGGAGCAUAAUGUUAAUAUUCAAAUAAACGAAUCUCAAUCUAUCUUUUCAUUGAAUCUAAUGGUCAAGAAUUAAAAGUUAAAACCAUAAAAAAACAAAAUCAGGUGGUACCUUACAAUUAUUGUAAGGUAGUUGAGUCCUUGUAAAAUCAGUUAACCACAACUUUUUUAUUUUUACCUUUUCGUGUUCCUAGGUAGAUAAGAUUGGGGAAAAAUAAAAAAUAAAGUUUUCACUUUUUAUUUCAUUCUAGUAAUGGAGUCAUUUUCAUUUUUAGCCCUAUGUCGUGCGAGAUGAAAUUCUCAUGAAGGGCUCUUAGGGACAAUAAUGCAGUAUUACUUUUGUAGUAGUCACUAUCAAUGUUACAACAAAUGCUUAUUGGUAGAAGAUAUUUAAAUAUUUAAUGCCCCAAAUUCUUAUUCUUAUUUUUACUCUUAUUUUUUUAUGUAUUCUGGACCACGAGAUUUCUUUAUUUUUUUUAUUUUUACUUUGUUAAUUAAUGUAUCCAUGCCUGUUCAUUUCUAUUUUCUUUAAUUUGUAUUAACACUAAUGCAACCGAACUUGAUAGUUUUGUCAAGUGCCUACUUUCAAAUCCACUUAAUACAUGCUGGUGUGGGGAAUGAGAGGUGUCAUAACACAUCUCCUUGCUCCAACUCCAAUAUUAGAGUAUAUUUGGGAUUACUUUUGCCAAGAAUCAAUUUCUACCUUGAUUUUUGAAAAAUCAGUUUUAUAAAUAAUUUAGGAGGGCAUUUAAUAAUCACUUUUCAAAUAAUUUACUCCAGAUGUUUGGUAAAUAAAAGUGCAAUAUUCAAUGUGCAAUGAAAAAAAUGAGUUUAUUUACUUAUUUGUAUUAAUGAUUUAAAAACACCAAACAAAUCACUGAGAACAGUGAAUUUGAAAUGGAUAUAAAAAUGGACAUAGCCUACAUCCACUGAGAACAGAGCAAAAAACUCUAUUGAAUCACCGAGAACAAGAUACAAGUGAAGAAGUUACAAGCUUUCAAUCAUGAUUAAUCAGAGUCUCGAAGACUAUAUAUACUGAUCAAGACGACUCUAGGAAGAUCUCAAUUUGGCCAGCUGCUAUUUGUAUCUGUGAUUGUUCUCACCUUUAUAACCACCAAUGACGGCCUCGAAUCGGGUUUAAACCACGUGCUGAUCUUGUGACGCUUAUAAGUAAUCGAAAGGAUCCCCCAAGUUGUCGUUUUGAGCCGAACCAUGAUAAGUGAUUGCACGUGAUAGACACGUGCUCCACGUAAGUGAAAGUCUGACAUUGCGCGGAUGUCGUUUGCUUCGUCUAUUUCUAUAAGGCCGAUAAGUCACACGUACUCCAGAAGCCAAAAUGACAAAACAUCCGAGAAUUCAGUUUCGAGAUCGGUACUUCAACGUGUAAUUUGUUUGUAAUUGUAUUAUUUAAAUCAUUUUUUAUUUACUGCUUAUUUCUUACAGCAUACCUAUUUUAUUUAUUAUAUUUUUAAAUAAUUUUUUCAUUACCUACUUCAUUUGGCUAUAAAUUCAACUUAUAAAUACUUUUUACUAAAAAAUUUAUUACAUACAAUACAUGUACACAAAAAUUAAUAUAUCAUUAUUAAAUUGAUUAAUAAAUGUUUUUAAUAUUACAACAUUAAUAAAUUAAAUAAAAAAAAUUGAGCAAGUAAAUUCAUGGAAAUAAUAUUCACAUGACAAAAGUUCUUUAAAACUAUCAUAAUCAAAAUAUUUUAUAGAAAUGUAAUUGUAUAGAUAUGUAUGUACAUAAUAAAAAUACCAUCCAAUCGUCAAACUUGUAGCAAUAUUAUUUCUCAAUCUCUCCACCUCUCGAAAUUCAGGAACAUUACUACGUACUAUGAUCUUCUUGAAUUAUGACCUCUAUAUUUGUCUCUUCAUUUAGAACAAAAUUCGAGUCAUUUUUAAUUUUUUCGAAAUGAUAGUCAUGCAAAGCAAACUUCCUAAUGUAAACCACCUCCCUCUUUUCAUCCAUUCCAAGUCUCAGUGCCAUGGCUCUCCACAGCCACUGAAAAUGUCUAUGAAGCCAUAUACAGACAUAACAUUUAGGGUUCUUUUUCACAUUGAUGCAGAAUGAUUGAUACAUAAUAUGAUUUUGGCGAAAAUUGAAAUUAAAAUAGUUUAAGGAGGACAUUUUAGAUAUUUCAUCCUAAAUAAUCAAAUUUUCAAAUAAUUAGAUUUUUCAAAGCUGGUUCCAGCCACUUUUUAAUUGAUGCUUAUUUACUAGAUUCUUGAGGAAUCAUAUUUCUAAAUAAUAUAUUUUAAAAAGUGUUUACUGAACACUCUUUGAGUGCUAGAUUAUCAAAUAUGUGAUUAUUUGACAAUUUAAGCAGUCCCAAAAAUAUGCUCUGAAUCAAGUUGAAAUGAGAGAAUAAUGGGAACUUGGUGUUUAUGCAAUUAUAAUUUAUCGGUUAUCAUAUCUGCGCCUCAUUGUCUACAAUUUUGCAUUUACCAACUUCUCCGUUUGUGCUUGAACCUAUACAAAUGCAGCAAAGAUAUCAAAGAAAAUGUAAUUCCAUAAAUUACAGAAAUCAGACAAAAUACGUACUCCGUGGCUAAGGGGAGUUACCUGGAUCACAGUGACUCGUUCUACGGGGCAAUCCUUUCACUAAUGCAUAUGGUACAUUCAUACUUAAACGUAACCUUUAAGUUAAAGUUUUUAUCUUAAUUUUAUCCAAAUAUUCGCAAGUAGUAUAUUUCUAGUGUUGGAGAAAAAUUAACAUGUAAAAACUUACGAACAAGUGAAAUAGAUUAUUAUUCCACGUAAUUGUUGUGGGGGGGGGAUUAAUAAUUAACUGUCUUACUCUAGAAAAAUUCAUGUCAAAUUAAACACAGCAGAUGAUGCGGCCUCUGUACAGGAAAAAUCAACACGUCAUGUCGUCGAUAAAAAUACAACUAAAGCUUUCUCUGUAAAUAUAAAUUUCACACCGUCAACGCCAACCAUGUGAGAUUCUUUAGAUUCCUCUUCGCCCGCGGUUAGAUUUCAUCCACGUGGCAAUGGCAUCUGAUUCAUAAAAUUUUGGAUAAUCUGUAAUGUUGAUGUAUUUUUAAUUUUUAGAUUGCCAUAAUUAACUUCUUAUUGUUGCAAUAUUUAAUGUAACAAUAAGAAGCAACCACAAGGAAAUCUAAAGAUACACAACAGUCACAAUUUAAAAUAAUUUGGCAAUAUCAUACCGUUUAACGUAUUUAUUUUGAAGAAAUAAAAGAGGUUUGAGAAGAAGGAAUGAUUUUAUGUUAAGCUAAAUAAUAAAUUUGAGAUUAACUUUCCUUUUUUUCAUUUUUUUUUCUUCUCUUCUCUCCUUUUAAUUCCUUUUGUCUCCUACCAUUUCUUCCAAUCAAACAUGCAAAAUGUAUUUAACGAAUUUAUUUAAAUCUUUAUUGGACUUGUAAAUUAAAUUUUUAUGUGAAAGCUAUCAUGUCCAAAUGCUUUUAAAUACAUAUAAACAAAUAAAUAAUUAGCACUCAUUAUCAAACCUCAAAAAACGAAAAACAAGCAUCUCAUUAAGUAAUUGCACAAGGAGAGGGGUUUUAUACGGAGUAUGGAAGGGUGUUAAUAGUCAAACUCAAAAGAAAAAAAAUUAUCCAUCCCUUUACUCAAAAUAUUAUGCAUUACUAUUAAUCAAGAAAAAGAAGAGUAUUCUGUAAAGAUUAAUGUAUUAGUAUUUUAAAGAGAAACAAUAUACUUACAAAAUUGAAAAUCAAAAUUUAUAUACCAACUGAUGUGUGAGACAAAUCAAUGUAAGCAUACCAUUACUAUAUUUUAAAAAAUUUUAACUAAAAGAGGACAUUAAUUUGACUUGAUAAGAAAGAAAAAAAAUUUUUAUUAUCAUUAUUUUACUCACACCUAUUAGCUAUAUAUUUAUGGCUUCUACUUUGUUUGCAUUGUUGCAUCUGCCAUUGAUACUUUCUAACUUUCAAACCUUCGAAAGAAAAAUGUAUAAUGGUCAUAUUAUUUGACAAUCAAAAUAUUUCUUUGGAAAUUUGUAUUAUUUGACAAUCAAACCAUCAGCAAUAACUUGACUCAUCUCUAUUUAUCUUAUUUUGAAACAUUUUGGAUAAAAACAAGCUUUGAUAUAAGACAUAUAAGACAUUGGUUGAUCUCUAUCGUUCAUCUAAAUGAUUACUCGACCGUUCAUGUUUCAGUAUUUUAUCCUUUGAAUAUAAUUAACUUGUGAUGUAAUCCUAGACCUUCCAAUUUUACCAUUUUGUCCUUUAAAUAUUUUUUUACUUAAUACAUAAUCCUUUAUAUCUAUUUAUCAAACCUAUGGCAUUGAGAUUCACAUGGGCUUAUUAUUACACAAAUACCCACAUUUUAGGAUUAAAAGAAAUUAGAAGUAAGAAAAAUUGGAUCCAACUAUGGUGACAACUGUGGCUGAAUCCAAUGGCUGGGUUAGUUUUGUCUUGAAAAAAUAGGCUUUUUCUAAUACUUUUUUUUAAUAGCUUGUUGUAGCUUGUUGUAGCUUGUAGGUGUAUUUAGUGACAAAUUGGUUGCUACAAAUUAUAGUUGUUGAAAAAAACACUAAUAAAAUAAUAUUUGUUAGUUACUUUUUUUUGAUAAUUUAGUUUUAAAAAGAAUAUUUAAAUCAUGAAAGAAGCCGGAUGUCAAAAGGUACAUUAAUCAAAAUAAAUCAAACUGCAAUCCUCAGACACAAGCCAUUCAAAACCAUCCAUUUAUAUUUUUGAAGACAACCAUAGAAGCUUAUGAAUAUAAUUGGGAUAUUAAGUAUUGUAUCGGACAGGUGUUUGAUAAUUUGGCGCUAUAAGAAGGUUUUCUAUAAAAAUAAUAAAAAACAAAAUUCAUAAUGAUAAUUAAUAAUGAAAUCUAUAACUUCCUAACAAACCCAAAUCCCAAUACACCCUCUGAAAGAAAAACCUACACCACCUGUCACCUAAAAAAUAAUAAUAAAAUAAUAUUGCCAAAGACCUAAUAUAAGCUAAGGAGCCAUUUGUUUUUUUGACUUAAUGACUUACUUGACUUAAUUGUAAUUAGUUAAGUCAUUAAGUCUGUUUGUUUUUUCAAUUUAAUAAAAAUUUUCAGUCAUUAAGUUAUUAAGUUAAUUUUUUUAUCUUUCUGUUUAAUGUAAAAAGUCUGAAGGAUAUCAUUAAAAAAUAUUCUCUAAAAUAUCCUUAUCUAAUUAAUUAGUUCUCAUCCAUACCUAAAUAAGUUUAAUAAUUAGCAUUAUUACCCAUUUCUAUAACUUGUGAUAAUAUAGUGGUAGCCUAUUAUUUUUUUUAUUUUUUAUUUUCUUCAUUAAUUUUCAAUGAAUAUUUUUCAUAUAAAACAUCAUAAACAACAAUAAAAUUGAUUAACAUAUACAAAUUUAAAAUAUUAAAAAGUUGUAUUCAAUUGAGCAUGAUUAUAUUAUGAAAAUAUAUUAUUUUAUUUAAAUUCUUUGAGAUGUUAUUAAUUAUUCAACAUUUAUAAUUUGUAAGGAUAUAAAUGUAAAAAUAUUAAUUUUCAGAUUUUUUUAAGUUUAAAAAAUAAAUAACUUAAUGCUUAUUUGUAGCAAUUCAUAUAAAAAAAAAAAAGAAUAUGUUAUUCAAAUUUAAACAUUCAACUCUAUUUAGAAUUCAAAUUUAUUCAAAUUUCAUAGUAAAAAACAAAUGUUACCUGACUCUAUUGUAUGGGUCAGGCCAGUAACAUUCCUUCGGUGGUAAUCCAUCGAAGGUUUCUUUAGAUUUAUUUUAUCUAAAGUUUCUAAAUCCCCAAGUCCAUAGUCUUUGGAUGGCGAUGUCCUUUUCAUUAAUUACGUGGUACGCCGGACGCCUUACACGUACAUAAAAAGAAAAACAGAGUAAAAAAUUUAAUUUUUAAAUAACGAAGAGGCUGCGUGACAAGACCAACCCCAUUCGAAUACGUUCUCUGUUCCUAAAGAUUGUUUGAUGCCAUCACCCAAAGCACUUAAUUCUAGGGAUCUCGAUGGAAACAGAAAAGAAAUUGACAAACAAAUCAACAGCAUCACGCCACAUGUAGCUGUUAUAAUUCUAAUUUUAGUUAUUGGAGCGGUUUGAAGGCGGUUAGAAAAAAUCAGGUAACAUUUGUUUUCUUUGUUUGAAAUUUGAAUGAAUUUUAAUUUAAAGAAGCUUAAAUAGAUUUGAAUGUAUAUAUUUGAAUGGAAUGUUCGUUUUUCUUUUUUUAAUAUCUGAAUAUAAGUUUUUAGUUGUUUAUAUUUUAAAAGGAAAACUUCUUAAAUGUAAUAUUUUGACAUAUAUAACCUAAUAAAUAUUGACAAUACUUAUAUUUAUUUUUUAAAUUGUAAUUAUAAAUACAAAGAGAUAGACUUAUUAUAAAAUACACUCACCUAAAUCUUAUCAUGUUUAAAAUUCUUAUUCACGAUAGAAAAAAGAAAAAAAUUGACAGUUGAAUAUGCAAAGAACAAAGAAAACAGAUAAAAAAUAAUAAUAAAAUGAUAGGAAAUAAACGUAUUUAAUAGGGGUAUUAAUGAGAGAGAAUAUUAAGAUUCUAUUGGGAUGUUUUGCCAUCCAAAUAAAAGUCAGAAUAUUCAACUUUUUUCAUUCAAACAUAAAAAUCUUAUAAUUGGACAUAAGUUAUAAAAAAACAAAUACAUUAAAAAUCUAAAUGUCUGAAAAUAAUUAAAAGGGAAAUUAUCACUGUACCACCUUUAUUUUACCUUAUGUUCAUCUAACCAAUAUAAAAUUCUAACAUAUUUUCUACACUAUCUUUCUUUUUUAAUUUGUAUCAAUUAGCCACUUUUGUACUAACACCAUUAAAUAAUAUAAAUGAAAUGAAAAUUUUACAUCUAAAUAAAUUAAAAGAUCAUUUUAUCUUAUAAAAACUUUGAAAAAUAAAAAAAAAAAUUAUAAUUAUAAAAAUACCCCUAAAUUUAAUAAAAAAAUAAAUCCCAAAUAGAGGUGAUCAGCUAACUUUUAUUAAAUUUAGAUUUUCCAAAAUUUUAAAAAUUAUUUUAAAAAAAAUAUAAUUUUGAAAAAUUUUAAUAAAAAAUAACUGAAUUUAAUUAUUAAAAAAUAUAAUUUUACAAAAUUUUAUUAAAAUAACUGAAUUUAUUAAUUAAAAAUAAUCCCAAAUUUUUACAAUUUAGGAGAUUUUUAUUAAAUCCCAAAAUUUUACAAUUAUUUUUAUAAUUAUAAUUUUUUUCAAAAUUUUUAUAAGAUAAAAUGAGCUUUUAAUUUAUUUUGGGAUAAAAUUAUUAUUUUAUUUAAGUUAUUUAACGGAGUUAGUAGAAAAGUAGAUAAUUGAUACAACUUUAAAAAGAAAGUGAUGAAGAAAACAUAUUAAAAUUUUGUGGUAGUUAGAUGAAUAUAAGACAAAAGAGAAGUGGUGCAAUAAUAAUUUCCCUAAUUAAAAUUCAGAUUUCGGACAAGAAAUAAACAAUUCCAAGGUCAAAAGAGAGAGAAUUUCUCUUGUUGCCCGUGUAACCCAAAAUGACGUUAUGGGUUAUCUGAAUUGCUACUAAGUACUAACUGCUCAAAAAAGAGAGUUUUGCUGUCUGUUGAAGCCUGCGAAAGAUGCAGUUUCAUGUCCCACUCGUAUUGGAUGAACAAAAUCAAAAGUUAAUUGGAUUCAUUCUUUUUUUUUUUUUUGGCUGCAUUGAUUAAAUGACUGGAACAUAACUUAUGGAGUUCAAAAAAAAAUCAUAGAGGUGAAUUUAUGGCUGCUGCUGUGAAAUGGCACUGUUGAGCUGGUAGAAGUUGAAGGUAUCAAUUCCGGAUUCUUUUGCCUCUUGUACUUGAAUCAAAUUCGAAGAGUAGCAGUUGAAGGUAUCAAGUUGGAGAGCAGCAGUUCGAACCCCCACAAUGCAUUGUGGGGUUCUUCCUUCCUCAAGUAAAUUUAAGUGAAGACAGUCUGCUUCCUUACCCAAGUGUGAGGAGUAGACAUCCCUCGAAUAUUUGAGAGGGUUAAAAUCUGGGCAGCGCUCUAUUAGUAUUGAUGUAUGUUGGUCCCAGUUAUAGUCUGAUUUAUAAAUAUCAGUUAUAUUCUCAUGUAAUAUGAGUUGUAAUUUGAGCAAUAAUCUCAUAUAAUCAAAAAAAAAAAAAAUUUCGAAGAGUAGCGCUCUACUUUCACCCGGUAAAGCCAAGCAGACUUUAAAACGACCUUUCUCAAUUUCCCAUCUCACUUCUUUUUACUGUUUGUUUCAUUUCCAUCCGUUGGAUUUUACUCUUUAAAUCUAACGACCCUUAUGGCAUAAUAGAAUGAUUCAUUGAUACAAUUGCUAGGCAUUGGGAACAUUCUUGAAAAACACCCAAAAGUUUAUAGAGCCAUCAACAUUAAACCGACAUUUUUUGUUUUUUAAGAAUUACACCGACAUUCCAAAAACAUUGAUGGGCCCGUAAGUUCGUGGCGAUUAGAAAAACAAAAAUUGAUUUAAAUUCCUAUUCCUUUCAUUUUAAGGAUUCGUAAAAUUCUAUUCACUUUCUGUUAAAAAUUCUAUUUUUUAUCUUAAACAAUUACAUAUUCAUUUAAUAUUCUUUACUGUAAUUACAAAAGUCUUUGGUUGCUCUUUAAUUACUCAUGACGUCUUCGAUGUUGACUAAUUAAAACAGCAAAGAGUCAUCGGGAUCGAGCUUGUCAAUAUUUCUCAAUGUUUAUAAGCAUAUUUGAUGUUAAGUAUUUCUCGAAGUUUGUAAGCUUCUAAGGUUAAUACAAUUAAAAAGAAAAGUGUUGUUUGUUUUUUAAAAUGAAAUCUCGAUAGAACAAGGAUAGUAUCACUAGAAAAAUGUACAUGCAACUAAUCAGCGGACAAUAAGUUUACCUUUUAAAAGUAAAUUAAGUACAAAAAACAAAAAUAAAAGUUCAAAUUAAAUUUUUAGGCGCAUAUCCUCAUGAUUUUAAUUCUAGUGGUCAGCUAAAAUCAAAGUUGGGACAUCUAAUUUAUUUUGAAUCAAAAUUGACUGGGAUAUAUAGCACAAAUCCUCAUAUCAGAGACUUGGAUUUAUGUUACAAACACAAAUUGUAUGAAGUUAAUUUGAAGAGCUCUUAUCUCCAAAAUAAGAUUUGGUUAUUUGGAAAACCAAAAUAAGAUUUGGUUAUUUUAAAACUUUUUAACUAAAAGAGGACAUUAAUUUGACUUGAUAAGAAAGAUAAAAAAAAAUUGUUACUAUCACUAUUUUAUUCAGACCUACUAGCUAUGGAUCAAUGGCUUUUAUUUUGUUUGCACUGUUAAUCACUAUUUUAUCAAAAUUUCCUGAUUUUGAUAAAUCGGCCAAAACAUGUCUCUGUAGAAUUACCCGAGCUUAGGCUUUCACUAAAAAGCUUCUAUUUUCCGCAGUCUUGCUCUGGUGCCUGCUUCACCUGUACAUUUUAGCACCAAAGAAAUUGAAAAUUUAUCAAACAAUUGGUCAAAAGCCGAAUUAAUGGAGACUUGUGAAUCAGGUACUGGUUUAAACAAGGCUGAAGAAAUUGCCGAUAAUUCACCUCCUUUUGCUUCACUCCCCAAUCUAGCACCAUUCUCACUCUCCAUCACUUGCUCUGCAAUUGUCAAAAAUGACUCGGUUCAAAAUUAUCUUACAUUCAAUGACAGGCAAAAAGGAGAAAUUACCAUCAUUACACUCAUAUCAAAAUUUUAGAAAAUGUAGCAUAUAUUCCUGAUAUAGAAUUUGAUUCAAAAUAGUUUAUGGUCCUUAAUUAGAUAGCAAAUAACAAAAAUGCAGGAGAAGAAAUUACCUUAGGCUUAGGAUGAUCGUAAUUGCAGUGCAACCGCUUGAGAAUUUUGUCAGAGGCCUUGAAAUGGUUUCAUUUUCUUUGGGUCCUGUUACUGGAAAUCCUUCCACUAAUAAGCUUCUCAUUUCAUAUCCUUCCAGCAUCUUAUCAUACAUUAAAUUGAGCUUUUUUUUUUUUUUUAAAUUGUCCUGACCUCGAGCGGUCAUUACUCAACUCCAAAGCCAAACAAAAUGUAGGUCGCUUAACCUGCAAAACAAUUGCUCAUAUUGCAUCAAUAAUCUUUUACAGUAACGUUACCCAUAUCACAAAUUAAAAAUCGUGUAUUCAAAACGCUAUUAGAAACGCUAUUUAUGCUUCUUAAUUAGAUUAAAAACAGUAACAAAGCAAAUUAUAAUGAGAGAAGAAAUUACUUAUCAAGGCCCAAUCUCGAGGUUGGGAAUGUGAGAUAUCUUAUGCCAGUCUUCUCCUUCCCCCUUGCGAUAACGCUUUUCCAGAAGCCCACAGUUCCACCCAAUGUUAAAUUCCUUCAACGUUGUCGUCUGAUGAAAGUGGUCGGGCAGUGCCUUUAAUUUGGGGCAACUAUCAAAUGUCAAGGAAGAAAGACGUGGCAUGAUGCUGAUGAAGGCGUUUCCCGUUUUUGCAAUCCCAUAAUCCCAGUCUUCCAAUUCCAACAUCCAAGAAAUUGUGAGUGAUUUCAAUUUGGGGAAGGCAAUAGUAACUGAUGAAGAUGAACAUGAAGAUGAGUCAUGAUGAUCACUUUCUAUCCCCAAAAUUUCAUUAUCCACUCUUUUCACACUACACAUGAACGAUAUGCUGAGUUUUUCAAGGGAUGGCAAUUUUCCCAAAGGCGGCAGCUUCUCACAAUUUUCACAAUCAUCGAGAUCUAAACUCCUCAGAUUGGUUAAUGACAUCAUCCAGUUAGGGAAAACAGUGUUGCCUCUGUAUGACCCUAUCAACAAUUUCCUUAAAUUCGGAGGUGGUUGCAGGAAUUCAAGAAGAAGUUGAUCGUCCUCGUUCUUCCUCCUUCGUCCAUCUCCUUCUUCCUUGUUAAACAAAAGUUUCAAACAGGAGAGGUUUUUCAUUUUAUCGAGCUCUAAUCUCUUAGCCUCACCCACAUCCGUCACAUUUCCCAGUCUGCGUAUACCACAUACUUGAAGGAGUUCCAAGCUUUUAAGAGAUUCAAGCCUACAUGCUUUCCUGCCAUCAAUACCUCCUCCUCCACUCACAUAGAACUCAUCCAAGGUCCGAAGACUGGUUAAUCUCCCAAUCCCUACUGGCAUGUACCUUAAAGAAAUAGUACCAUAGUUUAGUAAAUGCCUCAUGUUUAUUAGCUUUCCAAUCCCUUGAGGUAGCUCUUUAAGUUUACAGCAGCAACUAAUAUCCAACUUUUGUAGAUUAUACAACUCACACAACGUGUCCGGAAGUUUCCUUAUGGAUUGAUUAGACAAGUUAAGGUACCUUAAAUGAACCAACCUUUCUAUGUUUCUUGGAAUCCGAGUCAAAGGCCCCAAUUGUAAUGACCGGGCCCAAUCGCCGAAUUCUAAUACCCUUAAACUUGUCGAUUCCCUAAAUAAUCGUUCUAAGAUCUUACCAUUUAAAUACAAAUGAAAAUAUCUGGAAUAAUCAAUUAUGAGGCUACGCAUUUUUUUAACCCCACAAGUGGAGACAGGAAAUGAAGCCCCGUUACCAACGAUUAACAGUAAAUGACGAACCUUCUCAUCAAAAGAAUUUAUGGCAUUCAGUCCACUAAUUUCCAUCGAAAGACAUUCAUUUUGACUUAUAAAUUGGCCAAAAUCAUGUACCAUAUCAUGCAUCUUGCACUGCAUAAUGCAAUUAUCAUAACUUUUCGUAAACUCUUGAAAGAAAGAGCGAGAAGCUAAGAUGCCAAAAUACUCUUCACCUUUUGACUCCAUCUCUUCAUCUUGUUCUGUAUCAAGAUAACCUUGAGCCAUCCAUAAUGUUAUUAGUCUAUCUUUUUCUAUAUUAUAAUCUUUUGGAAAGAUAGCACAAUAAGAGAAACAUUUUUUCACUUUGGACGGCAAAUCGUUGUAACUCAACAACAAUGAGGAUAGAAUGUCUUUCUCAAUCUCUUCUACUUUCCAUAAACCACUAUUUAAAAUUCUUCUCCACUCUUCUUCAGUUUCUUUAGAGCGCAUGAGACUCCCUAUUAUCUUUGCAGCAAGAGGUAAACCUUUGCACUUGUUUGCAAUUUUUCGCCCAAUUUGUUCUAAUUUUUCACGUUCCUCAAUGGGUCGAUCAGAAAAUGCUAUCUUAUUAAAUAACAACCGACAUUCCUCUUCAGUUAAUUCCUUAAUGGAGAUAAUAUUUGUGGAUCCCAUCAUGGAUGCAACUGACUUCUUACGUGUGGUAACUAAAAUUUUACUUCCAUGGAGACCAUUCUUUAGACAAUGAAAGAAUGGUUCCCAUUUCAUAUAAUUUCCAUCCCACACAUCAUCUAAGACAAGAAGAAAGCACAUUCCUGCAACGGAUUCAUAGAUAUGUUUAAUAAGAGAUUGGAAUUCACCUAAACGUGAUUCAUGACCAUCCAAAGCUUCAACAAUCGCUUUGGCAACCCUAAACUCCUCAAAAGUUUCUGAUACGCACACCCAUAGAAUUUUAUCGAACUUUCUCUUCACUUCCUCAUGAUUACAGGCUAGUUGUGCAAGAGUAGUUUUCCCCAUGCCUCCCAUGCCAAUAAUUGAGAUGAUAUGCAGGCCUUUUGGAGAAUCACUACUCUCACACAGCAGCUUGCUUAAGAGUUCAUUCUUCUCAUCAACUCUACCACAAAUCUCUUCCUCAUCAAUCAAGGAGGUGCUCUGAGCCCGCCCCGGUCUCUCACGAGUACUGUUACUCCCAUUCUCAACAAACUUAAAUAUAUAUUUUUGAGUGGCAAUAGCAUCUAGCUUUUCAUUGAUUUCUUUAAUCUUGACAGCAAUGUCAGGACGUAGAAUGAUUUUUUCAAAACCAAUGCUAGAGGCAGGGGAGCAGGAACAUACCUGCUUCUGAGGGAAAUGACCAUUCUGCUUCAUUUGCAAUUUGCGCCGUGCAGUGAUCCACUCAUCCAGCACAUCUUCAAUGUCGUAGGAUACGUCCUUGAGCCGACCCAGCCAAAGUCUGACGGACUUCUCCUUCACUUGCCUCUGCUCUGCAUCAUUGAGCACAGCAUGAAUCAUUUGAAGAUGGAUUGUAAGCUUUUCAACUUCCUGGUCAACCCCCUUAACUAGCUUUACCUGCUGUGUUACCUCUUUAACGGAAAAGGAAAUCAGCUUUUCUAAGAGAGGAGAAACAAUGGCAUCAACCAUGGUGUUGGUGAAUAAUUUGGGAUGACAAAAGGAUAGAGCAAAAAUGCUAAAAGGCAAUUACGUUGUGAGAAUGCAUCCAGCCUUUUGCGUUCUUUUUAUAUGCUGCAUCUCUGCAUCUACAAUAAUGCAAAGGAAUUCCCACACACUAAAGCUGAUGGGGAAAUUAAGUGAAUGUAAAUGACAUGCAAUUGCUGGGAAGUUUCAAAGCCUAUAGAAAAUUAAGAAGUAAUUUUUUGUCUGUAAUGGAUGCAAGUAAUACAAAGGAGUCCCCACGUGCUAAAGCUGAUGGGGAAAUUAAGUGGAUCUAGAUGACAUGCAAUUGCUGGGAAGUUUCAAAGCUCAUAGAAAAUUAAAUAACUCACUUUUGUAAUAUAGUAAAUCUUUGUUGAUUCAUUUGUGGUUAUGAUUUAUUUAUUAAUUUUCCUACAUAGUUGAUUAAUUAUCUUUUUCAUUUUCAAAUCAAAAUGUGAUUAUAUUUUUCUUUUCACUUCUCUUUCUUUUAUUCAUCAACAAUGAUAUCGAACGUUCAAGGAUUAUUAUUGAUGUUUUCAAAAGCUUAUUUGAUUUGCUUAUUUCGAAUUAGGAAAAAGAUAUCUAUAUAUUUGGAAAAAUUAAUAUAUUUUUAAGUUACUUAUAAUUGGAAAGAUUAUUUUUAGACAUCUCUUUAGUUAAUAAUUAUUCCAUCUUUAAUUAAUAAUUAUCUUACAAGAAAGAAUUUUCAUACAAAUUAUAUAUUGGAUAAAAUUUUCAUACAAAUUAUAUAUUCGAUAACCUUAAUAUUAAAGACUUAUAAUUAGUAAUAUUGUCUAAUCACCAAUUCAUUAUUAAUUUUUCUAAGAAAAAGAUUAAAUUCUUUAUCUAUCUAAAAAAACUUCAAUUAUCUAACAUUGUAAAAUUUCUUACGCUUUGCUUUAUAAAGAAAAUUAUUACAUUUGUUAGCUCACUUUUGAAGUUAAAAGAAAAAAUAGUUUCUUGAAAUAAUAAUUCUAAAGGAAGUAAAAAUAUACCUUAUUGACUACUUUUCAUUUUUAAAAUAUCUCACUAUCUUGUUGAUUAUUGAUAUUCAAGAUAUAGUUAAAAAUUGAUUGAAUUUGAACUCUUUUAUGUUUCUUUAAGUGUUGAAACUGCUGAAUGUAAGGAGCACUCAUACAAAAAUUUUGCCUAAGACCUCUAGUACACUAGAGCUGGCUUGAGGAGUGGUUAUCUUUUAAUCACUCUAGAUUUAUUUAAUUAAUUAUUUUGUAUUGAUUGGCCUCAACUUUACACUGUAAUAAUAAUAAAUAAUAAUUAAAUUAAUAAAAUUAAUAAAAUUUAAUAGCAACAACAACAAUAAUAAUCACAUAAUUAUAAUAAUAUGAAAAUAUGAUUCAAUUAGUAGCCCAUGUUAAUUUAAUUUAACAAACUUUGACACUAACAUUGAUUGUUUUGAAAUUGGUCAAGAAAUUAUGUUUUGAAAAUCUGCAUUUGCAUCCGCAAUAUAUAAUACAAAGGAGUACCCACACGCUAAAGCUGUUGGGGAAAGUGGAUGCAAAUGAAAAUGCAAUUGGAAGAAAGUAAGCGUAAAUUUUGUAUGUAAUAAAUGCAAGUCUUUCUUUAUUGUUUGUUCAUUUUUAUUCUUUUGUGGUUAUGAUUUAUGAAUAAUUUUCCAAUAUGAGUUAAAUGGAUCGUCUUUUUCAUUUUCAAAUAAAAAUAUGAUUAUAUUUUUCUUUUCGCAUCUCCAAUAGUUAUUCAUCAACAAUGAUGUGGAAACGUUCAAUGAUUAUUUAUUAAUUGAUGUCGUUUUGCUCGUUUUAAAAACAUUACAUGUUGUGGCUCAACUUAAUAUGCUCCCAUAGUUCCAAAUCUAGAUCCAAUUUACAAAUGUAGAUAUGAUCAUUUUGUGUUUUUUUUCAAAAUUUUAUUUAUUUUUGUUGAUUGCUUUGGUGGCACUCUCAUAUAUUGUGUACAAGUUAUAGAUGAAUAUAUUAACAGUUAGUACGCCAGUGCACUAUUUUAUCCACCAGUCAGUCAGUAAAAUUUUAAUUGUUCACCAAAUUAUUUUUUUUUACUAUAACAUGUAAUAAACAUAUUUUAAAUACAGCAUAAUACAAUAUAAUAUGCUAAACACACCUUAAAUGUUUUGACACAACCAAUUAAAAGGAUAAAAUUUUAAUAAGGAAAGGAUAAAAUUUUAAAAUAUCCUAAUUAUCAAUAUUUAAUUAUGCAGUUAAUUAAUGACAGAAGAAACUGGGUCACAAUCUCAAAUUUAAAGAUCCGAAUCAUUUAGACGUUUGCAUCAAAUUUCUUAAAUGAUGUAACAACGUUGGGAUCUCAGAGUUCUUAAGUUUUGACAAAACGGACACAAUGUGGUCAUUUUAAGCAAACGGGUCCCUGACUCUGUUGAAAUUGUUUGAAUUAACCUUCGUGUUAAGGUACAUUCUCCCUACCAAAAUUAUGUCAGAAACAGACGAAUAAUCGAUAAUUUCAAUAGGAGACAAGGAGUACAAAUGGGAAAUUAUAUCCCUAUUUGCAAAAAGAUUAAAAGAAAAAAAAAACUUAGAGACUUAAAUAUAUUUAUCCCCUUCUUAAAUUUGUUUUCGGCAACAGCUCCAAUAAAUAAUACAAAUGAUGUAUGACAGCACAGCACGAACAGUGAGUAUGAAAUGCAACCUAUUUGUUCAUAUUUCAAUGAUGCAGUCUCUUAAGGAUUUGGUGGCGACAAAAUUUAACUUGGAUGCAAAAUGGUUGACUAAUAAGAGUUUGUGAUUGUUUUAUUCAUACAUUAUUGACAAUGAAAUAAAUGUUAAGAUGAUUUCACAUAGAUGUGUCAUUUUAUCAUAUGCAUAAUAAUUUUUUGAGAUCAUUGAUGAUGAUUUUGAGCUACUUGGUUAGAUUGUCAAACUUCAAUCGUGGCUGCCGUAGAUAGUUAGAUUCAAAUUUUUUGAGGACAUUUUUCAGUCCAAUCAUCUUUGCUUUGACAAGGUCUAGGAAAAUCAGCGCAUGUACAGUGACCACUUGGGACCUAAAACUUUUGCAGACCUCACUAAUACAUCAGCUGACACCUUUGAAACCGAGAAACCUGUCGAAAGAGUCCUAAAAAUGUUAACAGACUUAAUCUUAGGUGACAAAACGAUAGGUGUAUCUGCGGUAUAGCCGCUGAUCAAUUAUAUAUGCUCUUAAAAUUUGGUAUGUUAUGGGUAACACGUCAUAAGUGAAGAGUAUAACAAAAAAUAUAGAGUUUUAAUGAUCAGAGAAUAUGAGGAGCUAUAAAUAACAAAGACUGUGCUAUGUUUAUUCUCCCUAAUGUUUUUAAAAUAUACAAAAUAUAUAAUUUAAUAAGUACAUAUGAAAAUUUUUAAAUGCAAACGUCUUUACAUUUUACAGUAUCAUCUCGUUUUUAAUUCACAUUUUAAAAUAUUCAGACUUCCCAAACAAAAUAUAUACAUAUAAUGUCUUUCAGGAGAUGGGAAAGAGACUAACGAGAUUGACUGCACAAGAUGAGAAUGAUCCAGACUGAGGUCUUGAUAGAAGAAGCUUUAUCCAUGUUUGCAGAAUAAUGUCCUUGGGACUUUGAUUUUACAGUGAGGGAGGACUCUGUAAUUGGCUACUGGCCUAUGGGUACUGAUAAUUUUAUAUCCAAAACUUUGAGACAAAAGCUAGGUGUAAUUGGCUACUGGCCUAUGCGUCUGAUGUGAGGUAAGUCCUGGCAAUAGAGGCUGCUUGCUCCUAGCUCUGUUUCUGUUUUGGGCUUGAACAUAAAUGAAGUAGAUGUCAAUAGAAAUGAAAUUUCAUGAAAUAAAUAAAUCAGCUAGCCAAUGCAUGCAUGUACUCUCUAGAAGCAAGUAAACAACAAUUAACUGAAUCAAAUGACAUAUCUAGCGAAAAAGUAACUGGUCACUUACUUCAGAAUUUGUUCAACUCAAAUAUUCCAAAUUAAUGUAAGACUUGUGAAUCAGGUAAUGGUUCAAACAUGUCAAUAAUUCACAGCUUUUGACAAGUUGAGCCACCACAGCUUCGUUCCUUAAUUUACUCGUGUUUAAAAUAGUAGAAAAUAGAUUUUGUAAACAAAGAAAACUAAUUGUUGAAUAAAGAGAGUGAAACAGAGUUGUUACACUGAUUUUCUUAAGCAACUCGCAUCCGGUCAUUCCAGGCAUACAGAAAUCUGUGAUUAUCAAAUCCACCUUUAAACCCUGAAUCCUGUGCACGAUUGAUUAAAAUUCAGCACGAAUUUUAUUUAAAAAUACAGAAAACUCAGCCUAAAUAUGUCAUUUCAAUUUGUCAAUCGUCUGUUUGACACUUCCUUUUUAUCGAUUAGUCAGCCGUCAGCCGACACCAAUGCCUAAGUGUGUGCACAUUAUUCCCUUAAUCCAGCAACUUUAUAUGUUCACAUUAUGGGAAUUGUUGGUUAACUUGCUGAUGAUUUUGCAUACUUUUUCAUUACCUUUUUGACAUUUUAAUCCCCACUCGUUACACCUUUUAUCUGCUGUUUCAUUUAUUUAUUUAGUUACUCUAUCAAAUCAAAUCUCUCUCAAGAAAUCUCGUUUCUCCUUUAUAAAUCUUUCAUUAUUUGAUCUCGGUACUCUUGCCUUCCAUUUGUUUCAUCUUCCUCUUUCACUUGAUUUUUAAUCCAAUUUAGUGUAUUAGUAGUUAGCAAAUUAAUUAACAGAAAGAGAGAGCCCGAUCGCUUCAUAAGAAGAUUUGGCAAUUUUGGAAUAAAUUUCAAGGAAACAACCAACAAGUAUUGCCAAUGUAGCGCGAUCGUCGGCUAGGAGUGGAAAACUUAAAAUUUUUCCAAGUAAGAUACCAAACAUCCUUGGGAUUCAAUCAUUUUCCCCUCUAAGUAAUACGUAUUUCAAAAUGUAUUAUAUAGUGUUGUGAAAUUAACCCUUGUAUCACUCGAUUAAUCACACCCCAUGAUCUAACUCAGACUCCAAGAAUUAAGAAUCAAACCUAAGCUAAUUGAAACAAACAACAGAUCAAAGAACACAGCUCAAAGAAUCAAGAUACACAAAGACUUAAGUGGUUCAGCACCUUUGAGGGUGCCUACAUCCACUGGAGAAAACAACAUAGGCAGCAACUUUAUUAAGCUUCAAGGUUACAGAGAUGAUAACUAGUAAUACAGAGAACACUCAGCAAAGCUUCACUCUCACCAUAGCUUCUUUAUCACUCUCUCCUCGAUACAGUUUGUUUACCACCAAAACCAACAUAUAUAUAUCAGUUGUUGCAGGCGUUACAGAUCCAGAAGAUUCCUUCCAAAAUCAACAACCUUAACUGACUGAUCACAAGCUUCUCAUGUGCAACUGAAAGACUUCCUUAAACGAUAAUAAGCCACGCCGUUUAAGUCUUUAAUAGGCGUGUGUUAAUCACGUGAGUGCUUAAGUGUUUGAACAACAUCAUCCACUUGUCGGUGCUGGAUUCUUGAUUAGCUGAAAUGACAUGUCACCCAUCUCUACAACUUUAAUACGACAAGUUGUUUUGACGAGUUUGAGUUCAUUUCAACAAUCUCCACCUCGAACUCAACACUCAUAGCUCCCUCAUUUCUCAUUGUCUUCUCCCCAUCUGCAGCUUCUUAAAACCUGCAGAUUCCUGCUAAGUUCAUGCAAAGGAUGAACUUGGCAGUGGGCACAACCUUAGUUAACAUGUCAGCUGGAUUUUCUUCAGUAUGGAUCUUCAGCAACUUCACAGCCCCCCUUGAUACCUCAAGCCUCACAAAGUGCAACUUAACAUCUAUAUGUUUUGUCUUCUCGUGAUGAGAUUGAUUCUUGCUAAGAUGUAUAGCACUCUGGCUGUCACUGUAUAUUGUUACAGUCUCUUGCUUAGCUCCUAACUUAGUUGUCAUGCCUUUUAGCCAAAUUGCUUCUUUGAAAGCUUCAACUGCUGCAAUAUACUCUGCCUCUGUAGUGGACAAAACUACUACAUUCUGUAAUGUUGCUUUCCAGCUAACUAUGCAGCCUCCUAGAGUAAACAAAUACCUUGUCUGUGACCUCCUUUUAUCAAGAUCACCACCAAAGUCAGCAUCUACAUAACCAAUUAGUGUGUGUCCAUUUUUAUCUUCUCCACCAUAAACCAAACCAACCUCCAAAGUCCCCUUGAGGUACCUCAUAAUCCAUUGAACAACUCUCUAAUGUUCAUAGCCUGGAUUUGCCAUAAACCUGCUCACCAAACUCACAGCAUGUGAGAUAUCAGGUCUGGUGAGUACCAUGACAUACAUGAGGCUACCUACUACACUUGAGUAAGGUAUACAAGCCAUUUUCUGUUGUUCUGCAUCAGUUUGAGGGCACUGAGCAGCAGACAAUUUGAAAUGGUUUGCCAAUGGUGUCUGCACUUGCUUAGCAUCAUUCAUUCCAAACCUCAUCAUAACCUUUUUAAUGUAGCUCUUUUGAGUUAAGAACAAAAUCUUGUUGCUCUUGUUCCUGAUAGUAUCCAUCCCUAGAAAUCAGAAUUCUCUUAGCUUCCCCAAGUUCCUGCAUUUCAAAUUCCCUACUUAAUAGUUUCUUUAGAUGAUCAAUUUAUUCCCUGUCAUGACAUGCGAUCAGCAUGUCAUCUACAUACAGCAGGAGAUAUAUCAUUCCCCAUCCAUGUCUCUUUAAAGUACACAAAGCAAGCAUAGCUGCACUUGUUAAAGAAGUGUGUUAUCAUGAAGUUGUCAAACCUCAAAUACCAUUGCCUAGGUGAUUGCUUUAACCCAUAUAGAGACUUUUUAAGUAAGCAGGCAAGAUCUUUACCAGAUGCCACAUACCCUUCUGGCUGCUGCAUUACAAUUUCCUCUUGUAAUUCACCAUGAAGGAAGGCUAUUUUUUCAUCCAUCUGCUCAAGAUGCAUAUCCUGAAUAGCCACAAGUGCAAGAAUAAUUCUGAUGGAAGCAUGUCUUACUACAGGGGAAAAUACUUCAGUGAAGUCAAUUCCUUCCUUUUGUGUGAAGCCCCUUGCCACCAGUCUAGCCUUAAAUCUUUUAGGCUCAGCUCCAGGUAUCUCUUCUUUUAUCUUGAAGAUCCAUUUACAACUUAUUGUCUUCCUCUUAGCUGGUUUUUCAAUUAAUUACCAGGUUUUGUUUUUCAUCAGGGAUGCCAUCUUUUCAUCCAUUGCCCUCUUUCAUUCCAGCUUUUUUUUGCCUGUGAUAGCUUCCUGAUAAGUCCUAGGUUCAUCAUCAUUCAGCUCUUGAGCAGCAGUCAAAGCAUAUGAAAUUAGAUCAGCCACUGCAUAUCUUUUAGGUGGUCUUAUAGUCCUUCUCUUUUUGUCUCUUGCCAAUUGAUAGGUGUCCCCUUCACUUUCUGCUGAUUCAUAUUCAACACCAACUUCAGGUUCUAUUUCAGCACCCUUAAUUUCUGGCUCAAGUUCUUUCAAGUUGUGAGGCUCCACCUGAAACUUCACUUUAUCAGACUCAGCACCUAAUUCAGAGUUGUUAACAGGACUCUUUGGUUGAUUCAAAAUCUCAUCUUCAUGGAAGGUUACAUCUCUGCUUAUAAUGCACUGUGGUGCAUUUGAGUCAACACACCACAAUCUAUAGUCUUUGACACCCUCUGGAUACCCUAGAAACCUGUAUUUUAAUGCUCUUGGUUCCAGCUUACCCUGCUUUACAUGAGCAUAUGUUAUGUAGCCAAAAAUUCUGAGUUUUAAAUAAUCACUUAUUCUUCCUGACCACAGUUCCAUUGGUGUUUUACAUUCUAUAGCAAUUAAUAGGCUCAUAUUGACUAGAUAUCAUGCUGUCUUUAAAGCUUCUGCCCAAAGAGUUUUUGGGAGCUUAGAAUAGAUCAAAAUGCACCUUACUUUCUCUACCAAAGUUCUAUUCAUCCUCUUAGCAAGGCCAUUUUGUUGAGGAGUAUAGGUGAUAGUUUUGUGCCUCUGAAUCCCAUUCUUCUCACAGAAAUCUUCAAACAGCUUAUUGCAAUACUCUAGGCCAUUAUCUAUCCUUAGAGUUUUCACCUUCAAACCAGUUUGGUUUUCAACAAAGAUCUUCCACCUUUUGAAUCUUUCAAGAACCUCAUCCUUACUUUUGAGUGCAAAGACCCAAAUCAUCCUUGAAAAAUCAUCUAUAAAAGUUAGAAAGUAUUUACACCCACCUAAUAAAGUCACUUGUGCAGGCCCCCACAGAUCAGAGUGUAUGUAUCCCAGCUUCUCUUUCGUGGUAUGCGCUGCAGUCUCAAACUUUAGCCUGGAAGACUUUCCUAGAAUAAAAUCUUCACAGGACCCCAAAGCUCCUAUAUGAUCUUUCCCAAACACUCCUUGUUUUUGUAGCUCUCUCAGACCUCUUUCACUCAUAUGCCCCAUCAUCAAAUGCCACAACAUUGAUCUGUUCCUACCAUUGUUAAUUACAUUUGCCUCUCCAACAGCAAUAUGUCCAUCCAACACAUACAGACCAUUUUCUUUUAUACCUUUCAUAAUCACCGUUGAGCCUUUAAUUACCCUCAAUACCCUUUUUCAGCCUUAAUCACACAGCCUGUUUGAUCUAGCAUGCCAAUUGAGAUUAAUUUUCUUUUCAAAUCAAGAAUAAACCUAAUUUGUGUUAACUCCCUCACCACACUAUCAAACAUUCUAAGGCUGACAGUCCCAAUACCAACCACUUUACACAUUGAGUUAUUACCCAUUAAAACCACACCCCCAUCACAUGGUUGAUAUGUAGUAAAAUAGCUUCUAUUUGGACACAUGUGGAAGGUACAACCUAAGUAAAAAACCCACUGACCUUUAGGUUUCUGAUUUGAGGCAAUUAGCACUCCAGCUGUUUCAAAGCUUGCUUUUUCUGUGGCAAUGGCUGCAUUUCCUGUAUUUUUCUUGGUUUCUUUAUUCUUGUUCUUUCUUUCAGAGCAAACUCUUUUGAAAUGCUGUUCUUUAUGGCAAUGGAAACACUUUAAGUGCUUCUGUUUUGACUUUGAUCUCCCUUGCUUCUUUCCUCUGUUCUCUCUUUUCUCAGGUCUGCCUCUAGCCAUCAGUCCCUCACUUGAUUCACUUUAUGGAUUAUCUUGCUUGUCUUUCAAUUUCUUGGUACCAAGAUCAUAUUUAACCUUUUCUAGGGAGAGUGUUUGCCUCCCAUAGAACAAUGCAUCCACAAAGUGCUCGUAUGACUUUGACAAAGAACCGAUUAACAGCAAAGCCUUGCUCUCAUCACUCGGUCCCUCAUCAAUAGUCUCCAAUUCAUCACAGACCUUAUUGAACUCAUCUAUAUGCUCAUCAAGUGAUGCUCCUUCAAUCAUCCUCAGUGAGAACAUCUUCUUUUUUAUAUAAAAGUCUAUUGGCUAAUUACUUUGUCAUAGACAGAUUCUCUAACUUGGCUCAUAGACCAGCAACAGUCUUUUCUUUUGCCACUUCUCUGAUUACAGAGUCACCAAGACUCAUAAUGAUUGUGCUUCUGGCUUUCUUGUCUAUCUCUGCUGCUUGUUCUAGGGUCUUGGAUGAUGAAGCUUCAUUUCCUUCAAGUUUAGAGACUAGAUCUAUGGCAUCUCCCAGGCCUUGAGUGAUCAACAAAGUCUCCAUCUUGAUUUUCAACAUAUUAAAGUCAUUCUGCCCUGUAAACUUCUCAAGAUCCACCUUCGAAGCCAUUCUUGAACCUUGAAAUCAGAAUUAAGGCUAUGAUACCAAUUGUUGUGAAAUUAACCCUUGUAUCACUCGAUUAAUCACACCCCACGAUCUAACUCAGACUCCAAGAAUUAAGAAUCAAACCUAAGCUAAUUGAAACAAAUAACAGAUCAAAGAACACAACUCAAAGAAUCAAGAAUACACAAAGACUUAAGUGGUUCAGCACCUUUGAGGGUGCUUACAUCCACUGGAGAAAACAACACAGGGAGCAACUUUAUUAAGCUUCAAGGUUACAGAGAUGAUAACUAGCAAUACAGAGAACACUCAGCAAAGCUUCACUCUCACCAUAGCUUCCUUAUCACUCUCUCCUCGAUACAGUUUGUUUACCACCGGAACCAGCAUAUAUAUAUAUAUAUAUAUAUAUAUAUAUAUAUCAGUUGUUGCAGGCAUUACAAAUCCAAAAGAUUCCCUUCAAAAUCAACAGCCUUAACUGACUGAUCACAAGCUUCUCACUUGCAACUUAAAGCCUUCCUUAAACGACAAUAAGGCUCGCCGUUUAAGUCUUUAACAGGCGUGUGUUAAUCACAUGAGUGCUUAAGUCUUUGAACGACAUCAUCCAUUUGUCGGUGCUGGAUUCUUGAUUAGCUGAAACGACAUGUCACCCAUCUCUACAACUUUAAUAUGACAAGUUGUUUUGACGGGUUUGAGUUCAUUUCAACAUAUAGGCUAUUCAUUUUCAUGAUUCAUCACCCAUAUAUAGAGCACAAAAAAUUUUCUUUUUUCUUUUUCUCCCUUGUCCAGGCUGGUAACACACUGAUACUACAUAAAUCAAUAAACUAACUAUACUAAGGUAAAUACAUAAAUCAAUUUUUUUUUUCAAAUUUUAAACAAGAAAACUCAUUUAUUAAACACAAGAAGUGAAAUCAGGAUUUUUAUUGAGAGAGACCAUAUCAAUUAAUUAGUAUACGCGAUAUUGAUAGAUUUUUCUUAAUCUUAAAUUUGUCAAAAUUUGUUUGAAGCUGUGUUUUAAUAUUUUAUCUAUCUUCGAGCCCUUUUAUUUUCUUCUCAUAAAAAAUUUUCCCUCAAAUUUUCUGUAUUUUGGUUUUAUUCAUUGAUCAACGUAAUCUACGAAUUGAGUAAUUGAUGAAGAAAUUGAAGUAGAAGUUACAAUGGGCAGCAGACAAAGAGGAAAAAAAAUUAGAGAGGGAGGGAAAGGAUAUUAAGGCAAAUUCUAUCAGCAUAAAGAUAAUAAAAUUAAAAUUAAAUUAAAUGUUAUCAAUAUUUUAUUAUUGAUUUAAAAUUACAUAGAAACCAAAAUAAUGGGACACGUGGCGAGAGGGGACACUAGCACUUCUCUUUCGAUCAAUACAAAAGCUUGUCUGAUCAUUAAAAUCAUAGUUUGGUGAUCAUUAAAAUCAUAGUUUGGUCUAAACAAUAAUAACACUUGAAAGGACUAGCUUGAAAAAAAUUUAAGUCCUUCACUCCUAGCCGGCGAACGGGCUACACUGGCAAUAAUUGUUGGUUGUUUCCUCCAAAUAUAUUUCAAAAUUGCCAAAUAUUCUUAUGAAAUCUCUUCUUAUAAGCAACAACAAGAAGAACAAAAGUCCAUAUGAUGAAAUUGAAAUGUCCAUAUGGGUGUGGUAGAAUAAUGGAGACUAAUGAGAUUGAGGAAAGAGAACUUGAGAUCAUAGCAAUUGCCUUGGAGAUUUGAAGCUCUGAUAUCAUGGCGACAAUUUAUACAAAGGCAUAGAUGAGUAGAGCCAACAAAAACGGGCACAUAAUCAUCAAGUGUGUUGCAAUUAAGAAUUUAUUUUGUCUUGGACAUUAUUAAUUCAAUAACUUCGAUAAGCAAUGAAAUUAGAAAUACAGAGAGCGUGUGGUAUGGUGCCGAUGAUGAUGAGAAAUUUUUCACGCUGCAAAACCAUUAAAAUAAGAUAUGAUUACUUAAUAUAUCAAAAUAAGAUAUAUUUUUUCAAUCUUAUCUAAAAACAUGAAAAAGUGAAAAUAAAAAAAUUGUGGUCAACUGAUUAUAAUUAGAAUGUCAAAAAUUAACAGGAUUGAUUGCUUAUUUUUAUGUUGAUCAUCGCACACCUCAUGAAUCUUCUACUUAUUUUAUUUUUAUAAAUAUAAUAUAACUAUCUAAUGAAAAUUAAGUUUAAUUGGCUAGUUUUUUUCUUUCUUUUUUGUUUUUCAACAAAAUUAUCUUUAGGUUCAUAUUGCUUUUUUAAAAAAAUAGAAAAAUAUGUUUAAUUAGCUCAAUAAUCUUUUUAUUCAUCCGUUCAUUAUGUAUAGCCACUCCAAACUAACACAAAUUAUCAUGGCAACUCAUGGUUUAAACUUCAAAUAGAUAGUCAGAUUGGAUAAGUCAAUACUAAAUACUAAAUACUACCCCAUUAAAUUAAUAAGAAAAUUCGUGAUGAUACCAUGUAAUUUAUAGAGGAGAAUUAAGAGAAAGGAGAUUACCAAUUUUUCUCUUACUGUAAUUAAUAUAUAUUAUUUACUCCCCUUCUAUUUUAAUAAUAGCCAAUAACCAUCUUGAUAGUAUAAGUUUACAAUAUUACACUUGUUUUCAAAUAUACAAUUAUUUAUAUUUAUUAUAAAUUAAAUAAAUCAUAUGAAUAGAAACUAAAUAAAAAAAUUGAAAUAUUAAAAACAAGAAAUAUGCGUUUUGAUGUGAACAAAAAAAUUAAUAAUAAAUUUUUUUUCUUGCAUUUUUUAUUUUGUGAAUAUUUUCUUAUAAUAAAUGCUUUAUAAUAUUUUAAAAUUAAAUAUAAAAGUACAAGAAAAAUAUUUUAUUAUUAAUUUUUUCACAUCAAAACAUAUAUUUUUUAUUUUUAAAACUUAAUUUUUAUUUAAUUUUCAUUCAUGUGAUUUAUUUAAUUCAUAAUAAAUAUGAAUAAAAGUGUGUUAGAAAAUAAAAGUGAUAUUGUCAACUUAUGAGGUCAUGAAAUUAUUGGUUAUUAUAAAAACAGCGAACCAAAUGGUAUAUAUUAAUUACAGUAUGGGAGAAAUUGACAAUCCCCUUGAGAAAAUUGGCAAAAUUAUGAACGUUAGUUUGUAUAACUUUAACUUCAAUCUACUUCAAAAAAAAAUUUAAAUAUAAUUAGACAUGGAGAAUUAAGAAAAUUAGUCCGUAGACGAAUUAGUACUGUAGCAGCUUUGCAACCGGCUUGGGCGGUCCUCCGCGUAUACAUAUGGGCCGUGGCACAUCAACGUUAUAAGAAAGCCGGUCCAACUUUGAAAGCUCUAUAAACUUGGAGUGUUUUACAAGAAUGUUACCAACGUAUCAAUGAAAAGUUAAAAGCACCAAAAACUUUCACUAGUAGACCUAAUAUAGUCCACAAAUCGUUUAUAGCUUUCUAAUUAUUUUUGGUGACCCAUUUAAGAUAAAAAUGACAAAGGUUGAGUUAUGCUAUAAUAAAAACUAGAAUUAAGUGCUUUAGGUGAUGCCAUCAUUUUUGAAAGAAGAACGUAUAAUUAAACGCUUUAUGGGAUGUCACCAUAUUUGAAACGAGAACCCUUUUUUUUUUUUUUGGUACUUCUUAAUCAUGAAAAAUGAAUAGCCUAUACACUGCAAUUCUAAACAGGCCGACAUUGGCAAUAAUUGUUAGUUACUUCUUCCAAAUCUAUUCCAAAAUUGCCAAAUCUUCUUAUCAAGCCUCUUGUUAUAAGCAACAAGAAGAAGAACAAAAGCACAUAUAAUGAAACUGAAAUGUCCAUAUGGGUAUGGCAGAAUAAUGGAGACCAAUGAGACUGAGUAAAGAGAUCCUGAGAUCGCAGCAAUUGCCUCGAAGAUUUGAAGCUCUGAUUUCAUGACAGCAAAAUAUGCAAAGGCGUAGAUGAGUAGAGCCACCAGAAACAAGCACAUACUCAUUGAGUAUGAUUUGAUCAAGGAUUUAUUUUUGUCUUAAACAUUAUUAAUUUCAAUAUCUCCGACAAGUAAUGGGAUUAGAAAUACAAAGAGUGUGUGGUACGGCGCCGAUGAUGAUGAGAAAUUGCACACUGCCAAACCAUCAAAAUAAGAUAUAAUUGCUUAAUUUGCAUAAUAAAGUUUUACGUCAACGUAAUGUAAAUGCUAUGGACAUUACUGUAAAGCUUAACUUCUUAUUCUUUCCCUUAAAUAUAUAUUUACGGAUUAAAAGUAGAUGCUUACCCAAUAAUAGUUGGUCCAUGUAUAUGGGUUACAUUGCCGGACAUGUUAAUCAGAGUGUAUGACCUGCAAAAAGUCGUAUUCUCUAUUAUGAAUUAAUGCAUUUAUCUCUCCACUUGAAACCCAAAUUCUGUAAUGAAACCAAUGGAUAUUAUUGAAGUUAAGAUUGCAUAUUGUCCAGAUGAAAACCAAUGGAUAAACGGGCACAUACCCAUCAGAAUAAUGGAUAUUAUUGAAGUUAAGCAAAUGAUUUAUACAUAUUUGAGAGAAGAGAAGAGGGUAAAUUCAUACCUUUGACGAGGGUCACGUCUCUGCACUUCCAUUUCUUUGCUUUCUCUUUCUGUUAAUUAAUUUACUAACUACUAAUACACUGAAUUGGAUUAAGAAGCAAGUGAAAGAGGAAGAUGAUGCAAAUGGAAAGAAAUGAAAACACAGAUGGUGAAGCAACAAAGAGUAAGCAGAGAAGUGCUUGUGGGGAGCGAGAGAGAGAGAGGAAGAGAGAGUUGAAGGCGGGAGUUCUGAGAGGAGUGGUGAAGGGGUUUUAUAGGGCUUUUUGAGGACGGCCUAAAUUUUGUACUUUUGGAAGGACACAAGCGAAUAUGAUUAAAGAUCAAUCUGAUUGAAGAAGCUUUAACCUUUUUAACUGCUUUAACCUUUUUGGAGAAUAACUGCUUUGUUCUUUAGUCAUACAUUAAUCCAAUGAAUAUGGUCAAAGAUUACCGUGGGAGCUGGCUAUAUCACUCAAAGCUUUGUCACACGCAUCUGUUACAAAAAUAGCUACCUUUUCUUUGCCAUUCUCUUUGUUCACAUAAACAAAUUUUAGAAAGAGCUAGCGCUACUUAUUAGAGGAAGAUAAUCGCGAUCCGAAUGUUAAAAAGAUUCUUGAUCUAAAAACAAUAUUCAAGGCACAAACUAUUAACGGAGCCAAAGCCAUCAUCCUCUCUCUUCUCAAGAAUGGAUCCCCCUGAGUUACAGUUAACGUAACUUACUGCUGCUUUUGUCUUUUUUGAAUUGUUACUGUAAAAUAUUGUUGAGCCCCUUGUACUUUAUAUUCUUUACAAUUUAUGAAUAAGUAUUAUGAAACUUUGCAUUGUAACAUUUCGUGCAGCCCCUUACACUAUAUUUUUAUUUCAUUGAAACCCUUAGAGUAUCAAAUUCAUAUCUAUAAUUUUUAAAUUCCCAAAAUACCCUCCAUUUAAUUAUAAUUAUAAUUAUAAUUUUAUUAUAAUGAAAUAAAACAUAGUAUAAGGGGCUGAAUGAAAUUCAUAAUACUUAUGAAUAAAUUGUAAAUAAAAAGAAAGCAUAAAUUUCAAUUUACAUACCCCCACCUAGAAUGACAAUAUUCUUCAACUAAUUCCACAAGGUUCUGAAAACAUAACUUUACUCCAUUUGUCGUUAAGAAGAUAAAAAGUAUUUCAUCAACAUGCCCUCAUUUUGCCCUCAUCUUUUAAAAUGAAAAUAGUAGUAAAUUGAUAAUUUCAUAUCUUGCAAGUAAAUUAAAGAUUGUCAUUUUAGUUGGGGUAAAUCAAACUAUAACCAAAUACAAAUGUUCAUUAAAAUAAAUGAGUGCCUAUAACAUGAUCUGCAUUUGAUUUCCAAACUUGUUAUUUGAAAAGCAAGCCAAAAUUGACCUUCUAAAGUAACUCUUGCUUGCUACAAAUCAAAUUAUUGGGAACUAGUGGAGAUAAUUUAAUUCAUUAGAAAAACUCUUAAGAUUGUGAUUGAUUUGAACUUGAAGAUUUUUCACCCAUAGGUAUAUUUAUUUCUUUCCCAGCACAAACAAAUUAUGUACUUUACAAAUGUGAAUAAAACAGUACCUCAGUUUGUUUACCUGCAACUGCGAGCUGCGUGAUAGUCAUGCCAUAAUCAUCCUCAG